UAGUGGAAAGUUGACAGCAACAACUGAGCCCACUCCUCUGGUUGAUUUAUUGAUGGCUGCUGACAAAUUUGAGGUCGUUUCCUGCAUGAAGCUUUGCGUUCAGCUUCUCAUGGUCCUGCCUAUGACUCCAGGAUCUGCAGUGAUGUGCCUAGAUCUCCCAUGUUCCAUUUCAAUGGCAGCAGACCUGAUAGAGGCAGCUAAGAAAUUCCUUGGUGAAAGGUACCCGGAAUUCCUGUCAACAGAGUAUGUGAUCCCAUAUUCUUUGGAUUGAGACACCUCUCCGUUUUCCCUUUACUAGGAAGCAUGUGGACAUUGUUGUCACAAAAUGACAUGGUUUUGCUACACUGCAUGUUCCAAGAUGAACUUAUGAGGAUCCCUGCUGCUGGGAUUGAGGACAUGUUAUCAGGGAAUGACUUCGGGGUUGCUUCUGAAGUAAUUGUCUGUGACUUCGUGCUCAGAUGGGCCUGUUCACCAUGCCCAAAUUCGGAAGAAAGGAGGAAUAUCUCGAGUUCUCGUUUACUUCCAGUAAUGCGUCUUCUUAUGACCAAUGCUGUCGAUUAUUCUUGCCGUACAGUUGACUGGGCUGUAAAGCGUGACCAGUGCCGCUCUCUACAAAUGCUGAGAGCAAUACUCAGUCAGCCAUUCAGUUGGGAAGAGUAUGUAUUCUCCCUCUCGGUACACUGGGUUGGUCAUCUUGGUCUCUAUAUAGAGAGGGAACAAAACAAAAGGCCAACAAGGGCAGUGGUUGUUCACAUGGAACCCAUCCUAUAAAACUGAGAUUAAAUAUAAUUGAAUCCGAAUUUUAGUAUCGAACCAUAUUAAAUGAAGUUAUUGUAUAUGUGAACACCACAAUCUUUAAAACAAAAUAAAAUGUGAACACCACAAACUAUCUCAUAUGUUAUUUUUCCCUCUGAGAUCGAUCUAUGCGAGCACAUCAAGAUCAGAGUAAGAAAUACAAGAUUAAGCAAACUAGAGAUUGCUACUUAACCAUGAUAUUCCACUUAUCGUCUCAUGGUUUUGUUUUCCCUGAGAUCUAUCCAAACAUAUAUGAUAAUAGUAUGAAAUGCAUGAAUCGUAUUUGUUUAUGGAGGGAAAAGCUAGUCUUAAAGGUGACUAGCUUUUGCGAGGCCUCUAAGUACAUAUUUUUAGCUCAAACCAUUUUAAAUAAGUAAUAGAUGAGACAAACCAUGUAUAUUAAAAGAAGCAAUUAUAUGUCUGUGAACCUCAAUCAUCGUUCAUGUUGUCUUAUUCCUCUGAGAUAUAUCCAGAAACAGCAACAUCAGACUAAGAAAUACCAGAGUAAACAAACUAGAAAUUGGUACCAAAUCUUAAACAUGAAAUUCAUUUUAUCGGCACAUCGUUUAUUUUCCCUGAUCGAUCUAUCUAACAGCCAAACAGCUAAGAUAACAGUAUGAAUGCAUGGAUCUUGAUUUUUAUUGAGGCAAGACGAGCCCUUGGGAGGCUUCCAAGACAGAUCGGUGGCUGAAGCCAAGGCGAGGUCCAAGGUGCUCCCCGAGCCAUCAGCCUCCUCCUCGGCGCUGUCCGCCGGCUGCACACUGCUGCUGGACGAAUCCCACUGCCCCAGAAAGUCUAUCUCGGCUGGGGGGUCCCCUUCACUGCGGUACUCCUUCCAAAACUCAGAGUUGGCUGCAACCAUGCUACCGGUGCCGCCAUUCCCACCUCGAACUGGCACAAGUGCUGGCGCCACAUUCGGGGCUCGGGGGCACCACCAUGACAAGCGGUGCAGCAGGGGCUGGCUGCACUGCAGCCGGGACUUUGCGAGAGGUCUGGGUGCCGCAGCUGGGAGCGGCACCAUGGGCAGAUGCGCAAUAAGGUUUGCCGUCCCAGCAAGGGUCUGCGGCCCUACAGGUAGCAUCCUCCGAGGGGUGAUGUGCCACUGUAUGUGGACAGCAAGGACGUUGUGCGAUACACACUGCACGUUGCAAAACGGGCACGGAGGUGGCAGUGGCCGUUUGGGUUCCAAGCCAUCUCGGGUGGAUUUUGGGUGAAGAGGGGUUUGAUGGCAAGGUGUUGGAAGAGCUGGCUUGCUUGGGGAAAUGGCCUGGGAUGGUUACAUUUAUAUAGGAUGCGGCUGAAUCACCCAACGGUCAAAAUGGAGUAACAACGCGUCAUCUCCAUGCGGAAACUUAUGAUUCGUGCUUUUUUUCAAUAAGAAACGUGUGCCACAAUGGAUGUACUUACAACUUUUGUGCUAUUUUAGUAAGAGACAACGGACGUACACACUAGCUUCCCGGUUUAUAUCGCAAACACCGUCAAAGCAAUAAUUAUAUGAGUCAGGGACACCACUUUUAAAUUUUUGUAAUUUCUAAAAUAUUUCAGGCGCCCAUAAUUUUUGUUUUCACUUCUGUUCGGCCAAGUGACCAAGUGAUUCUGCGUACUUUACUCGUAAAUCAAUCCCAAGAAAUUUUUACAACUUAUUGAUUUAUCGCACAAAUACAUGCAUGGCUCAUCGAGGUAUUGUCUUAGAUUUUGGACAUCAAUAACUGCCACACGUCUCUUUAGUAAAACAGAUUGCCAUGUCACCGCAUGCAUGCAUGUGCGAAUCUCACUACUGCAGGAAUGUCUAGUAGUGGCCGGCGCAAAAAGAACAGUUAUGGCGGGCCAGACUCCUAGGCUCGCCCGCCACUGCUAGUACCCCAUCAGUGGCGGGCAUGUCCACCCGCCCGCCACACCUAGAUGCUAUAGUUAUGACGGUCAAAUUCCGCCUCCCGCCGAACGUACAUCCACCAUGACUAAAAGUACAACCAGCAGCAAGAAUUUACAUAUUCGAUCAUAUGCAUUACGAUGUAUCAUAAUUUGUAGCACAUUUUAUCAUAGUCAAUAAACAAGCUAACAAUAGGUUGCCCAAGUACAUAUAGCAAAGUCUACAGGAACUAUGGAGACCACAUUAUGGAAACCAUAUUACCGCGUUCGUAGACGCAGAGAAAGUACGUUCAAGCAUCGAUCAUGGGGACCACAUUAUGGCAGUGCACAAAUAGUUAGCAAAUAAAAGUUCAGCUCCAUCAAUGCAACUUGCAAUUAAGCUCAGCUCUGUGAAGAGAUGUCCUCGUCUCCAAUCAUCUUCUCAACCUCGGCUAGGACGGACUUGGCAGUUUCAAAAACUUUCUCGGCACACUCAACGGCUCCUAACACCCUAUAGCAGCUUUGCAGCUUCUAGCGGCUGCACACGCAAGAUCGGGAGAUAAUUCAUCGCUCUUGGCAUAUUGUAGAGCCUUCUGGGUGUCUACUAGGGUCCUCUCGGCAUAGGGUUGUAGGAGUCGUAAAUAGGCCUGUCGGCUCCUCCAUCUAAAUCGCAAAAGUUGACAGUUAGAUAAACUACAUUUAUACGAAAGCAGGUAUAUAAUAAGAUAACUUAAACUGUAGGUGAAGGUGGUCCUUCACCUUGUCCUCCUGCUUUACCAAGUUCUUAGAGGAGGAGAAGAGAAAGGACAACCCCUACGACAACAGUUGGUAUCCUCCUCCGAAAACAACCCUUAUCUCAGUAUGUGGAUUUAAAGUGAGAAUUGCGUCGCCGAACAAAAAAUGUAGCUAACAAUAUCAGUAGACUAAUUAAAUAUUACAUGUAGAAAAAUAUUAAAUAGCUACGAACAAAGAAUGAAAAUAACAAUAUCAAACCACUACAUUAACUAUUAUUAUGAACGCCUGCAAAGAAAGUUCAUACCAUCUACGGUCUAUGAUAUACGAAUAUGAAUAAGAAAGUUCCUAUAAUCUACAAACAAAUAAUGUAACUAACAAUACCAACACCACUACAUUUAAAUUUGGGCAUGAACUGUGCUUUAAAAUGGACACAUUAAUUGCUAGAAAUUUGAAAAAACGGAAAUAAAUCGUUUCGCCAAAACAUUUGCUCUUAUUAUGAAUCCCUGCAAAGAAAGUUCAUAUAGUCUACAGUCUACGAUAUACGAAUAUGAAUAAGAAUGUUCCUAUAAUCUAUGAACAAACAAUGUAACUAAUAAUACCAACACAACUAUAUUAAAAUUUGGGCAUGAACUCUGCUUUAAAAUGGACAUAUUAAAUGCUAGAAAUUUGGCGAAACGGAAAUAAAUCAACGGUUUGCCGAAAACAUUAGCUCUUAUUAUGAAUCCCCGAAUCAACAUUUCGCCAAAACAUUAGUUUCUAUAAUCUACGAUCUAAGAUCUAUGAAUAUAAAUAAGAAACUUCGUAUAAUCAACGAACAAAGAAUGUAACUACAAUCUACAGUCUAGAAACCCUAGCCGUAACCCCAUAACUCACGUACUCCUAACUCUAACCCUAGUUGCCCUACCAAUGUGGGGGCGGCCACAGGCCAUUGGUGUUGGUGGCGGCCACGGCUGCGUUUGUAUUGGUGUUGGUGGCGGCCAAGGCCGCGUUGGCCCCAUCGGCCGAGUUGGUGUUGGUGUUGGUGUUGGUGGAAGCCACACGGCCACUUUGGUGUUGGUGUUGGUGGCCCCGACCGUUGGUGCGGGUGACGGCGGGGACGACGAGACCGUACCGGAUCCCAUGGCGACGGCGACGGUAGGGCCGACGGGGGCGACGAGGAGGACGGCUGGAACGACGGGGGCAAUGAAGAGGAUGGUGUGGCCGACGGGGCCGGUGGCUAGGAGGACGGCGGGCCUGACGGGGCCGGCGAAGAGGACGGCGAGGCAGAGGCGAUGGGGGUGCGCGUGGGUUGAUAAACUGUGUUCUUGCUACGGCGGGCGGCAACGAGCGACCGCCACAGCUACUUUCUGACAGAAGUGAACAUGUGGCAUGUAUAACUAGUGGCGGUUGCAUGGAGCUACCCGCCAGUGCUUACUCACAUACCUGUGGCAGGCACUUGGACGCGCCCAUCACUGCUGAGUUACGCAGACAAGGGAUCCCACUAGUAGAAAACAGGGCUUUGGUUCAGCCCUGGCCAGCCCAUUAGUCCCGGUUCAGUCACAAACCGGGACCAAUGGAGGCAUACGUCCCGCUUCGUGAGCCCGGGGGGCCGGCCGGGCCUCGUGGGGCAUUCAUCCCGGUUCGUAUGGACCCAUUUGUCCCGGUUCUAGGCACGAACCGGGACCAAUGGGCCUCUCUCCUGGCCCACAUCCAUUGGUCCCGGUUCGUGCCUGGAACCGGGACACAAGGGGGGCCUUUAGUCCCGGUUCCAGCCACGAACCGGGACCAAUGAGGUGCCUAUAAUACCCGUGAGCAGAGCACUCCACUACUCUGUUUUUCUGGCCGGCGAGGGGAGGGCAUUUUGGUGCUCUAGCUCACCUCCUAUGUACAUGAGGUGUUGGAUGAAAUGCCCAAGCCACACUAGUUAAGCUUUCUCCUCUCCAAACUCGACCUCCAAGCUCCAUUUUCUUCAAGAUUUGUCUAGGUUUAGCGGUCCGUCACGUCUCGUCCCCGUCUGCACCGCCGUUGAUCGCCCGCGCCGAUCUCGUUGUCGGCACCACCGUGGUGAGCCUCUUGUUCUUAUCUUCUUUCUCAAAGGAAAAAAAAUUCUUACUUGUAUGAUUAGAUAGAUACUUGUCUAAUUUUCUUACUUUUAUUAUUGCUUGUUAUUAUAUAGUGCGAAGGUUUUGGUAUCCACCCCCGUCGGCCCUUGUCCUGUCUAUGUUUCGGAUGUGGUAUAUAUUAUCUUUUGUAACUAUUAGGUUCAUUUCUUGUUUAUGACAAUUAUGCCGACCAACGUGACAUAGAUUUUAUUUAUCUAGGAUGUAUGUGAACCGGAAAUUCCAACCGACCCUAUUGUCGAGAGGUUAAAUUUAGUUGAAGAAGAAAACAAUUACUUGAAAGAAAAAAUAAAAAAAUUGAGGAGGAGAAGAUGAUAUUGGAGUUGCAUGUUGCGGAUGUCGUCGAUGAUCACAAGAUCAAGAUGGACGCAAUGCCUUUGAAGAUUAGAAAGAUUAGAAAAUAUGGCAUUCAUACCGAGGCUUGGUAUCAUUAUGCCGUUGGAUCAAUUGUUACCUUGGUUGCGAUUAUGAUCGCAUUUGUUGUUGCAUUGAAAUGUUUUACAUAGUUUCAAUGUAUGGUUUAAUUAGAUGCUCUGGAGAGCUAUAUGUUGUUCAAUGAGAACUAUGUAUGUACUUUGGUUUUAAUGUGAUGAUGAACUUCUAUUAAUUUGGUCACUUAUCUAUCCAUGAUGUGCUGUAAUGGUUUUUGACACACUUAAUUAUAUAUAAUGCAUGCAGAUGAACCGGCAAUGGAUGUACGGUGACAGACAAACCUCCGAGUAUGUUAAGGGCGUGCAUAAUUUUCUCGAAGUGGCUGAGGCAAACAAGCAGAAUGGUUUUAUGUGUUGUCCAUGCCCUAUAUGUGGGAAUAUGAAGUCUUACUCUGACUGGAAAAUCCUUCACAGCCACCUGCUUUAUAAGGGUUUCAUGCCACACUAUAAUUUUUGGACCAGGCACGGAGAAAUAGGGGUUAUGAUGGAAGACAGCGAAGAAGAAGAGGACGAUGACAACUAUGUGCCCCCGGAAUACGGUGAUGCUGCAAGGGGGAAGCUGCUGAAGAUCAAGAGGAAGCAGACGAUAUUGUGCCCGAUGAUGAUCUCCGUCGGGUCAUUGUUGAUGCAAGGAGACAGUGCGAAAGUCAAAAGGAGAAGCUGAAGUUCGAUCGCAUGUUAGAGGAUCACAAAAAAGGGUUGUACCCCAAUUGCGAAGAUGCCAACACAAAGCUCGGUACCGUACUGGAACUGCUGCAAUGGAAGGCAGAGAAUGAUGUGCCUGACAAAGGAUUUGAGAAGCUACUGAAAAUAUUGAAGAAGAAGCUUCCAAAUGAUAACGAAUUGCCCGACAGUAUGUACGCAACAAAGAAGGUCGUAUGCCCUCUAGGAUUGGAGGUGCAGAAGAUACAUGCAUGCCCUAAUGACUGCAUCCUCUACUGCGGUGCGUACGAGGAUUUGAACGCAUGCCCGGUAUGCGGUGCAUUGCGGUAUAAGAUUAGACGAGAUGACCCUGGUGAUGUUGACGGCGAGCCAUCCAGGAAGAGGGUUCCUGCGAAGGUGAUGUGGUAUGCUCCUAUAAUACCACGGUUGAAACGACUGUUCAGAAACAAAGAGAAUGCCAAGUUGAUGCGAUGGCACAGUGAGGACCGCAAGAAAGACGGGAAGUUGAGAGCACCCGCUGACGGGUCGCAGUGGAGAAAAUCGAGAGGAAGUACCAGGCUGAGUUUACAGGUGACCCAAGGAACGUAUGGUUUAGUUUAAGCGCGGAUGGCAUUAAUCCUUUUGGGGAGCAGAGCAGCAAUCACAGCACCUGGCCCGUGACUCUAUGUAUGUACAACCUUCCUCCUUGGAUGUGCAUGAAGCGGAAGUUCAUUAUGAUGCCAGUGCUCAUCCAAUUCCUUAAGCAAGCCGGCAACGACAUUGAUGUGUACUUAAGGACAUUAGUUGAAGAACUUUUACAGUUGUGGAUUGGAAUAGGUGUACGUGUGUGGGAUGAGCACAAACAGGAGGAAUUUGACCUGCAUGAGUUGCUGUUUUUAACCAUCAACGAUUGGCCUGCUCUCAGUAACCUUUCAGGACAGAGAAACAAGGGAUACCAUGCAUGCACACACUGUUUAGCUGACACCGAAAGUAUAUACCUGGACAAAUGUAGGAAGAAUGUGUACCUGGGCCAUCGUCGAUUUCUUCCGACCAACCAUCAAUGUCGAAAGAAAGGCAAGCAUUUCAAAGGCGAGACAGAUCACGGGAAGAAGCCCGCCAUGCGUACCGGUGAUCACGUACUUGCUAUGGUCACUGAUUUACACGUAAUCUUUGGAAAGGGUCCCAGCGGACUAUCUGUUCCGAAUGACGCUGAGGGACGCGCACCCAUGUGGUAGAAGAAAUCUAUAUUUUGGGACCUACCCUACUGGAAAGACCUAGAGGUCCGCUCUUCAAUCGACGUGAUGCACGUGAUGAAGAACCUUUGCGUGAACCUGCUAGGCUUCUUGGGCGUGUAUGGGAAGAUGAAAGAUACACCGGAGGCACGGGAGGACCUGCAAUGUUUGCACGAAAAAGACGGCAUGCCUCCAAAGAAGUAUGAAGGACCUGCCAGCUACGCUCUUACCAAAGAAGAGAAGGAAAUUUUCUUUGAAUGCCUGCUCAGUAUGAAUGUCCCGUCUGGCUUCUCGUCGAAUAUAAAGGGAAUAAUAAAUAUGCCACAAAAAAAGUUCCAGAACCUAAAGUCUCAUGACUGGCACGUGAUUAUGACGCAACUGCUUCCGGUUGCAUUGAGGGGGCUUCUACCGGAAAACGUCCGAUUAGCCAUUGUGAAGCUAUGUGCUUUCCUCAAUGCAAUCUCUCAGAAGGUGAUCGAUCCAGAAAUCAUACCAAGGCUAAGGAGUGAUGUGGUGCAAUGUCUUGUCAGUUUUGAGCUGGUGUUCCCACCAUCGUUCUUCAAUAUCAUGACGCACAUCCUAGUUCAUCUAGUCAACGACAUUGUCAUUCUGGGCCCCGUAUUUCUAGACAAUAAGUUCCCCUUUGAGAGGUUCAUGGGAGUCCUAAAAAAUAUGUCUGUAACCGUGCUAGGACAGAACGAAGCAUCUCCAUGGGCCAUCAAAUAGAGGAUGUCAUUGGAUUUUGUGUUGACUUCAUUCCUGGCCUUAAUAAGAUUAGUCUCCCUAAAAUCGCGGUAUGAGGGGAGACUGACUGGAAAAGGCACGCUUCGAGGGGACUCUAUAAUAUGCAGGGACGGACAUUCUUGGUCUCAAGUGUUGGAAAUAUGCCCUAGAGGCAAUAAUAAAUUGGUUAUUAUUAUAUUUCCUUGUUCAUGAUAAUCGUUUAUUAUCCAUGCUAGAAUUGUAUUGAUAGGAAUCUCAGAUACAUGUGUGGAUACAUAGACAACACCAUGUCCCUAGUAAGCCUCUAGUUGACUAGCUCAUUGAUCAAUAGAUGGUUACUGUUUCCUAACCAUGGACAUUGGAUGUCGUUGAUAACGGGAUCACAUCAUUAGGAGAAUGAUGUGAUGGACAAGACCCAAUCCUAAGCCUAGCACAAGAUCGUGUAGUUCGUUUGCUAAGAGCUUUUCUAAUGUCAAGUAUCAUUUCCUUAGACCAUGAGAUUGUGCAACUCCCGGAUACCGUAGGAAUGCUUUGGGUGUACCAAACGUCACAACGUAACUGGGUGGCUAUAAAGGUGCACUACAAGUAUCUCCGAAAGUGUCUGUUGGGUUGGCACGAAUCGAGACUGGGAUUUGUCACUCCGUGUAAACGGAGAGGUAUCUUUGGGCCCACUCGGUAGGACAUCAUCAUAAUGUGCACAAUGUGACCAAGGAGUUGAUCACGGGAUGAUGUGUUACGGAACGAGUAAAGAGACUUGCCGGUAACGAGAUUGAACAAGGUAUCGGGAUACCGACGAUCGAAUCUCGGGCAAGUAACAUACCGAUUGACAAAGGGAAUUGUAUACGGGAUUGAUUGAAUCCCCGACAUCGUAGUUCAUCCGAUGAGAUCAUCGUGGAACAUGUGGGAGCCAACAUGGGUAUCCAGAUCCCGCUGUUGGUUAUUGGCCGGAGAACGUCUCGGUCAUGUCUGCAUGGUUCCCGAACCCGUAGGGUCUACACACAAGAGGCCCAAGGCGCAGGGAAGGGGGGAAGGGGGAAACCCUAGGCUCAGAUGGGCCUAAGGCCCACCUAGUGGUGCGCCCCCCUCUCUCCCCCCUUGGCCGCCCCUCCAAGUCCCAUCUAGGGCUGGCCGCACCCCUUGGGGGGGGAACCCUAGAUGGGGGCGCAGCCUCUCCCCCUCCCCUAUAUAUAGUGGGGGGUUUGGGGCUGCCAGAGACAUGAGAACACCUCCCUCAUAGCGCAGCCCUACCCCUCUCCCUCCUCGUCUCUUGCGGUGCUUGGCGAAGCCCUGCUGGAGUGCCACGCUCCUCCACCACCACCACGCCGUUGUGCUGCUGCUGGACGGAGUCUUCCCCAACCUCUCCCUCUCUCCUUGCUGGAUCAAGGCGUGGGAGACGUCACCGGGCUGCACGUGUGUUGAACGCGGAGGCGCCGUGGUUCGGCGCUUAGAUCGGAAUCAACCGCGAUCUGAAUCACUACGAGUACGACUCCUUCAUCCGCGUUCUUGCAAUGCUUCCGUAUCGCGAUCUACAAGGGUAUGUAGAUGCACUUCCCUUCCCCUCGUUGCUAGAUUACUCCAUAGAUUGAUCUUGGUGAUGCGUAGAAAAUUUUGAAUUUCUGCUACGUUCCCCAACAGUGGCAUCAUGAGCUAGGUCUAUGUGUAGUUUCUAUGCACGAGUAGAACACAAAGUAGUUGUGGGCGUCGAUUUUGUCAAUUUACUUGCCGUUACUAGUCUUAUCUUGAUUCGGCGGCAUCGUGGGAUGAAGCGGCCCGGACCGACCUUACACGUACACUUACGUGAGACAGGUUCCACCGACUGACAUGCACUAGUUUCAUAAGGUGGCUAGCGGGUGUCUGUCUCUCCCACUUUAGUCGGAUCGGAUUCGAUGAAAAGGGUCCUUAUGAAGGGUAAAUAGAAAUUGGCAUAUCACGUUGUGGCUUUUUGCGUAGGUAAGAAACGUUCUUGCUAGAUUCCCAUAGCAGCCACGUAAAACAUGCAACAACAAUUAGAGGACGUCUAACUUGUUUUUGCAGGGUAUGCUAUGUGAUGUGAUAUGGCCAAAAGGAUGUGAUGAAUGAUAUAUGUGAUGUAUGAGAUUGAUCAUGUUCUUGUAAUAGGAAUCACGACUUGCAUGUCAAUGAGUAUGACAACCGGCAGGAGCCAUAGGAGUUGUCUUAAUUUAUUGUAUGACCUGCGUGUCAAUGAAAACGCCAUGUAAUUACUUUACUUUAUUGCUAACCGUUAGCCAUAGUAGUAGAAGUAAUAGUUGGCGAGACAACUUCAUGAAGACACAAUGAUGGAGAUCAUGAUGAUGGAGAUCAUGGUGUCAUGCCGGUGACGAAGGUGAUCAUGCCGCGCCUCGAUGAUCGAGAUCAAAGGCGCAGGAUGAUAUUGGCCAUAUCACAUCACUUUAUGAUUUGCAUGUGAUGUUUAUCAUGUUUACAUCUUAUUUGCUUAGAACGACGGUAGCAUAAAUAAGAUGAUCCCUCACUAAAAUUUCAAGAGACGUGUUCCCCCUAACUGUGCACCGUUGUGAAGGUUCGUUGUUUCGAAGCACCACGUGAUGAUCGGGUGUGAUAGAUUCUAAAGUUCGAAUACAACGGGUGUUGACGAGCCUAGCAUGUACAGACAUGGCCUCGGAACACAUGCGAAACACUUAGGUUGACUUGACGAGCCUAGCAUGUACAGACAUGGCCUCGGAACACAAGAGAUCGAAAGGUCGAACAUGAGUCGUAUAGUAGAUGCGAUCAACAUGGAGAUGUUCACCGAUGAUGACUAGUCCGUCUCACGUGAUGAUCGGACACGGCCUAGUUUGACUCGGAUCAUGUAUCACUUAGAUGACUAGAGGGAUGUCUAUCUAAGUGGGAGUUCAUUAAAUAAUCAGAUGAACUUCAUUAUCAUGAACAUAGUCAAAAGGUCUUUGCAAAUUAUGUCAUAGCUUACACUUUAGCUCUACUGUUUAAGAUAUGUUCCUAGAGAAAAUUUAGUUGAAAGUUGGUAGUAGCAAUUAUGCGGACUGGGUCCGUAAACUAAGGAUUGUCCUCAUUGCUGCACAAAAGGCUUACGUCCUUAAUGCACCGCUCGGUGUGCUGAACCUCAGCGUCGUCUGUAGAUGUUGCGAAACAUCUGGACAUACACGUUUUGAUGACUAUGUGAUAGUUCAGUGCGUAAUGCUAACGGUUUAGAAUUGUGGCACCAAAGACGUUUUUUUUAAACGUCGCAGAACAUGUGAGAUGUUCCGAAGACUGAAAUUGGGAUUUCAGACUAAUGCCCACGUCAAGAGGUAUGAGACCUCUGACAAGUUUCUUAAGCCUGCAAACUAAGGGAGAAAAACUCAAUCGUUGAGCAUGUGCUCAGAUUGUCUGAGUACUACAAUCACUUGAAUCGAGUGGGAGUUAAUCUUCCAGAUGAGAUAGUAAUGGUUCUCCAUAGUCACUGCCACCAAGCUAUUAGAGCUUCGUGAUGAACUAUAACAUAUCAAGGAUAGAUAUGAUGAUCCUUGAGCUAUUCGCGAUGUUUGACACCGCGAAAGUAGAAAUCAAGUAGGAGCAUCAAUUGUUGAUGGUUAGUAAAACCACUAGUUUCUAGAAGGGCAAGGGCAAAAGGGAUACUUCAUGAAACAGCAAAUCAUUUGCUGCUCUAGUGAAGAAUCCCAAGGUUGAACCCAAAUCCGAGACUAAGUGCUUCUGUAAUGAGGGGAACGGUCACUAAAGUAGAACUACCCUAGAUACUUGGUAGAUGAGAAGGCAGGCAAGGUCGACAGAAGUAUAUUGGAUAUACAUUAUAUGAAUGUGUACUUUACUAGUACUCCUAGCAGCACCAGGGUAUUAGAUACCGGUUCGGUUGCUAAGUGUUAGUAACUCGAAAUAAAAGCUGCAGAAUAAACGGAGACUAGCUAAAGGUGAGAUGACGAUAUGUGUUGGAAGUGUUUCCAAGGUUGAUGUGAUCAAGCAUCGCAUGCUCCCUCUACCAUCGAGAUUGGUGUUAAACCUAAAUAAUUGUUAUUUGGUGUUUGCGUUGAGCACAAACAUGAUUGGAUUAUGUUUAUCGCAAUACGGUUAUUCAUUUAAGGAGAAUAAUGGUUAUUUUGUUUAUUUGAAUAAUACCUUCAAUGGUCUUGCACCUAAAAUGAAUCUCGAUCGCAGUGAUACACAUGUUCGUGCCAAAAAGAUAUAAAAUAGUAAUGAUAGUACCACAUACUUGUGGCACUGCCAUUUGAGUCAUAUUGGUAUAGAACGCAUGAAAAAGCUCCAUGUAGAUGGAUCUUUGGACUCACUCGUUUUUGAAAGGAUUGAGACAUGCGAACCAUGUCUAUUGGUAUAUAUGCACGAAGAAACUCCAUGCAGAUGGAUUGUUUGGACUCACUUGAUUUUGAAUCACUUGAGACCUGCAAAUCAUACCACAUGGGCAAGAUGACUGAAAGGCCUCGUUUUCAGUAAGAUGGAACAAGAGAGCAACUUGUUGGAAGUAAUACAUUUGAUGUGUGCAGUCCAAUAAGUGCUGAGGCACGCAGUGGAUAUCGUUAUGUUCUUACUUCACAGAUGAUUUGAGUAGAUGCUGAGUGUAUUUACUUGAUGAAACACAAGUCUGAAUUAUUGAAAGGUUCAAGUAAUUUCAGAGUGAAGUUGAAGAUCGUCGUGACAAGAGGAUAAAAUGUCUGUGAUAUGAUCAUAGAGAUGAGUAUCUGAGUUACGAGUUUGGCACACAAUUAAGACAUUGUGGAAAGUGUUUCACAAUUAAUACCGCCUGGAACACCACAGUGUGAUGGUGUGUCCGAACAUCAUAACUGCACCCUAUUGGAUAUGGUGCAUACCAUGAUGUCUCUUUACCACUAUCGUUUAUGGGUUAGGCAUUAGAGACAACCGCAUUCACUUUAAUAGGGCACCACGCAAUUCCGUUGAGACGACACCGUUUAGAGAAACCUAAGUUGUCGUUUCUUAAAAUUUUGGGGCUGCGAUGCUUAUGUGAAAAAGUUUCAGACUGAUAAGCUCGAACCCAAAGCAGAUAAAUGCAUCUUCAUAAGAAUACCCAAAACAGUUGGGUAUACCUCCUAUUUCAGAUCUGGAAGCAAAAGUAAUUGCUUCUAGAAACAAUUCCUUUCUCGAGGAAAAGUUUCUCUCGAAAGAAUUGAGUGGGAGGAUGGUAGAGACUUGAUGAGGUUAUUGAACCGUCACUUCAACUAGUGUGUAGCAGGGCACAAGAAGUUGUUCCUGUGGCACCUACACCAAUUGAAGUGGAAGCUUAUGAUAGUGGUCAUGAAACUUCGGAUCAAGUCACUACCAAACCUCGUAGGUCGACAAGGAUAUGUACUACUCCUGAGUGGUACGGUAAUCCUGUCUUAGAUAUCAUGUUGUUAGACAAUACUGAACCUACGAGCUAUGGAGAAGCGAUGGUGGGCCCAUAUUCCGACAAAUGGUUAGAAGCCAUGAAAUCCAAGAUAGGAUCCAUGUAUCAGAACAAAGCAUGGACUUUGGUCACUAGUAGAAAAGGGGGCUUUUGUCCCGGUUGGUAAGGGCCUUUAGUCCCGGUUUUUGAACCGGGACUGAAGGGUCGUUACUAAUGCCUCCCCCCUUUAGUCCCGGUUCUUACACGAACCGGGACUAAAGGCCGUCCACGUGGACGCAGCCUGGAGCUCCACCUUUAGUCCCGGUUGGUGUUACCAACCGGGACUAAAGGAAAUUUUAUGAUUUUUUUUCUUGAAAAAUUAUUUUGCGGAUUUUUUUUAUUUUUUUAUUUUCAAAUUUCUGAAUUAUUUUAACCUCUAAUCUCUAAUCACCACCCCUCAUCACUGCUCAAUUUAUCCUCUAAUCUCUAAUCACCCCUCAUCAUUCCAAAUCAUCUAACUUCCCGGACGGUCACCCAUCCUCUCACUACUCCAGCCUGAGCACGCUUAACUUCCGGGUUCUAUUCUCCCUCGUUUCCAAGUCUGCACUUGUUGUUUUCCUGACAAUAGUAAGAUGUCAAUUCUAUUAACCCUCAGGAAUUUAGCUUGAGCAUGAAGUGACACAUUUCACUUUUGAGUUUGAAACUAUUGUUUUAAAAAACAAUAAUUAUUUAGUAACACUAAUAUUUCUGGAAUAAUUAGUUUGACCAUUGUUUGACCACAGUUUGACCACAGUUUCACCAGAUUUGACCAAAAUUCAAAAAAACUGAAAUAAUUAUUUAGUAACACUAAUAUUCUAGAAUAAUUAGUUUGACCAUUGUUUGACCACAGUUUGACCACAAUUUGAAUUUUUUUGCCUCUCCAGAUCUUAAAAGCCCCGUAUCUUUUUUCUGUUAGGUUUUUGAGGAUUUUGAAAAUGUUUAUCGGGGUUGCCCCGGUUAAAUUCGGAUGUAACUUUUCGAGUAGAUGAUUUUUCAUAUAAAAAACUUUUUCAUCCGAGUUCGUAUGCAAAAGUUAUGCCCAUUUUAAGAAAUUCCAGAGAGAUUUUGCAAAUAAAGUCGAAAUUCAUAUUUGUUAAUUUUCCCGACAACUAGACCACAUAUCACAUGGGAAACUUAUUUUAUUUUAUUUUUUUGACAUUUCCAUCAUUUUCUUUUGUUUUUCUAAAACUGAAAAGGAGGUCCACGGGGGGAGGGGGGUAGAGUUUGAUGGGCCCUUUAGUACCGGUUCGUGACAUGAACCGGUACUAAUGCCUCCAAGCCCAUUAGUACCGGUUGGUGGCACCAACCGGUACUAAUGGGCAUCGCACCCUUUAGUCCCGGUUCGUGGCACCAACCGGGACUAAAGGGCCCAGGUGAACCGGGACUAAUGCCUUAGCCGCACGAACCGGGACCAAUGCUCACAUUAGUCCCGGUUCGUUACUGAACCGGGACUAAUGUGAAUAUUGCCCUGUGACGAAAUCCCUGUUUUGUACUAGUGGGUGAACUUGCCCGAUGACCGGCAAGCCAUUGAGAUAAAUGGAUCUUUAAGAAGAAGACGGACAUGGACGGUAAUGUUACCGUCUAUGAAGCUCGACUUGUGGCAAAUAGUAUUUUCACAAGUUCAAGGAGUUGACUACGAUGAGAUUUUCUCAUCCGUAGCGAUGCUUAAGUCCGUCGGAAUCAUGUUAGCAUUAGCUGCAUUUAUGAAAUCUGGAAGAUGGAUGUCAAAACAAGUUUCCUUACUAGUUUUCGUAAGGAAAGGUUGUAUGUGAUACAAUCAGAAAGGUUUUGUCGAUCCUAAGGAUGCUAAAAGGUAUGCUAGCUCCAGCGAUCCUUCCAUGGACUAGAGCAAGCAUCUCGGAGUCAGAAUAUACGCUUUGAUGGAGUGAUCAAAGUUUUUGGGUUUAUACAAAGUUUGUUAGAAACUUGUAUUUACAAUAAAGUGAGUGGGAGCGCUACAACAUUUCUGAUAAGUAUAUGUGAAUGACAUAUUGUUGAUCCGAAAUGAUGUAAAAUUUCUGGAAAGCAUAAAGGGUUGUUUGAAAGGAGUUUUUCAAAGGAAGACCUGGAUAAAGCUGCUUACAUAUUGGGCAUCAAGAUCUAUAGAGAUAGAUCAAGAUGCCUGAUGAUACUUUCAAAGAACGCACACCUUGACAUGAUUUUGAAAGAGUUCAAAAUAGAUCAGCAAAGAAGGAGUUCUUGGCUGUGUUACAAGGUGUGAGUAUUGAGUAAGACUCAAGACCUGACCACAGCAAAAGAGAGAGAAAGGACGAAGGUCGUCCCCUAUGCUUUAGACGUAGGCUCUAAAGUAUGCUAUGCUGUGUACCGCACAUGAAGUGUGCCUUGCCAUGAGUUGGUCAAGGGGUACAAUAGUGAUCCGGGAAUGGAUCACAUGACAGCGGUCGAACUUAUCCUUAGUAUCUAGUGGACUAAGGAAUUUUCUCAAUUAUGGAGGUGAAAAGGAGUUCGUCAUAAAGGGUUACGACGAUGCGUACUUUGACACUGAUCAGGAUGACUCUGAGUAGUAAACCGGAUUCGUAUAGUAGAGCAGUUAUUUGAAAUGGCUCCAAGUAGCGCGUGGUAGCAUCAACAAGAUGACAUAGAUAUUCGUAAAGCACACACGGAUCUGAAAGGUUCAGACCCGUUGACUAAUAACCUCUCUCACAAGCAUAACAUGAUCAAACCAGAACUCAUUGAGUGUUAAUCACAUAGUGAUGUGAACUAGAUUGUUGACUCUAGUAAACUCUUUGGAUGUUGGUCACAUGGUGAUGUGACCUGUGAGUGUUAAUCACAUGGUGAUGUGAACAAGAUUAUUGACUCUAGUGCAAGUGGGAGACUGUUGGAAAUAUGCCCUAGAGGCAAUAAUAAAUUGGUUAUUAUUAUAUUUCCUUAUUCAUCAUAAUCGUUUAUUAUCCAUGCUAGAAUUGUAUUGAUAGGAAACUCAGAUACAUGUGUGGAUACAUAGACAACACCAUGUCCCUAGUAAGCCUCUAGUUGACUAGCUCGUUGAUCAAUAGAUGGUUACGGUUUCCUGACCAUGGACAUUGGAUGUCGUUGAUAACGGGAUCACAUCAUUAGGAGAAUGAUGUGAUGGACAAGACCCAAUCCUAAGCCUAGCACAAGAUCGUGUAGUUCGUUUGCUAAGAGCUUUUCCAAUGUCAAGUAUCAUUUCCUUAGACCAUGAGAUUGUGCAACUCCCGGAUACCGUAGGAAUGCUUUGGUGUACCAAACGUCACAACGUAACUGGGUGGCUAUAAAGGUGCACUACAGGUAUCUCCGAAAGUGUCUGUUGGGUUGGCACGAAUCGAGACUGGGAUUUGACACUCCGUGUAAACGGAGAGGUAUCUCUGGGCCCACUCGGUAGGACAUCAUCUUAAUGUGCACAAUGUGACCAAGGAGAUGAUCACGGGAUGAUCUGUUACGGAACGAGUAAAGAGACUUGCCGGUAACAAGAUUGAACAAGGUAUCGGGAUACCGACGAUCGAAUCUCGGGCAAGUAACAUACCGAUUGACAAAGGGAAUUGUAUACGGGAUUGAUUGAAUCCCCGACAUCGUGGUUCAUCCGAUGAGAUCAUCGUGGAACAUGUGGGAGCCAACAUGGGUAUCCAGAUCCCGCUGUUGGUUAUUGGCCGGAGAACGUCUCGGUCAUGUCUGCAUGGUUCCCGAACCCGUAGGGUCUACACACAAGAGGCCCAAGGCGCAGGGAAGGGGGGAAGGGGGAAACCCUAGGCUCAGAUGGGCCUAAGGCCCACCUAGUGGUGCGCCCCCCUCUCUCCCCCCUUGGCCGCCCCUCCAAGUCCCAUCUAGGGCUGGCCGCACCCCUUGGGGGGGAACCCUAGAUGGGGGCGCAUGUAGGAGAUAUGCCCUAGAGGCAAUAAUAAAUGUUAUUGAUUAUCUCCCUGUUCAUAAUUAUGUUUAUGUUCCAUGCUAUAACUGUUGUGGUUCCCGAGCCCGCAUAUCCAUAAAGGCUCUGGGGAGAACCCAUCUGCACGUGUGGAAUAAUAAACGGUAAAAUGUAUUCCUAGUCGUGCCUCUAAGACUAGCUCAAGUAUUGCAUGAUGAUUAUGUUUUCCCAAUCAUGGGCAUGUCUAUGCCAAGCAACUUUGAGGGCACAAUGUCAGGAAGGACAUUUGUGUUGAAUCGACCCGAAUUGAUGUUACGCUAUGAGAUACAUUCGUCAAAAUUUAAUGGUUUAUAACACAGAGAUAGUUAAUGUUUGCACAAUUCCUUAGACCAUGAGAGUAUCGAGUUUCUUCAUGCUUGCUUCAUGAACUUUGGGGUUUGUUAAACGUCAUCCGUAACUGGAUGGCUAUUACGGCGGCUUACGGGUUCAUGGGAAAGUAUGUUAAGUAACUUGAUAGCUCGAGAUUGGGAUUUGCUCCUCCGACGAUGGAGAGAUAUACUCGGGCCCUCUCGGUGUUACGGUGUCCAUCAUCGUCUGGCCAGACACUUUGUGAUUUGAUCACGGGGAUGCCGGAACACGAAACGAGAAAAGAGAACAAAACCGGUAACGAGGUAACUUGCAUAGUGGACAAAGUGUUGGCCCACGGGGAUGCAAUAAAUCUCACCUCAGGUGUUUGUGAUAUAUCGUGAAGCAACAGGAAUAGCUCACUGCAAUUGGAGGUUCACUCGAAUAUUCAUUCAUGUGGGUAUAGGGGUCAAUAUGGGUGUCCACGGCUCCGAUGUUGAUCAUUGAUCGGAAGGGGUUCUGGGUCAUGUCUAUACUUCACCGAACCUAUAGGGUCACACGCUUAAGGGUCAUCUAUCUGCUGAAUACUAGAUAGGGAGUCUGAGAGAAAAUCACCGAAAAAGUUUCGGACACCGAAAAGUUUCGGACAGCGGAAAAGUUCCGCAGAGAGAGGUCACCGGAUGAGUUUCGGUGAAACCGAAAAAGUUGUUUCGGGGUAUGCCAUUAAGUCAAAAUGGUUUCGGCACAUGCCUGAUAAUUCUUGGAGGGUGCCAGAAUCAUUCUGGAAACUUUUUGGAAUUUUCAGAAAUAAAAACCGAAAGUGUUUCGGAGCUGCCGGUACCGCUUUGGCUGUUUUUCGCAGAUGAAAUUCACUAAUCUGAAAUUGUUUCAGAACGAAUCCAAAAUCAUUUUAGUGGGUACUAGAAUUAUUCUAAGACCCACAGAAAUAUUUUCGGAUUUAGUGGACGCGAAAAAUUGUCUUCAUGAAUAGUGAAAACGCAUUCUUGUUUGCUUUUCGCAGAUGAAAAUCACUAAACCGAAAUUGUUUCGGAACGCGUUGAAAAUUAUUUUAGUGGGUACUGGAAAUGUUCUGAGCCCACAUAAAUAUUUUCAGUUCGAACGGACGCUGAAAAAUGUCGUCAUGAAUAGUGAAAGUGCUUUUUGCUUGGCUUCUUGGAGAAGCCACCUUGAGGGCCUUUUUGGUAUUUCCCCCCUUGGCUUCUUGGAGAAGCCACCCUUGGGCUUGGCCUAUAAAUAGGGGUGAAGGGGGCUGCCUAAAGGAUCAUCCCUUCUCACAUACAAGUGCCAUGCAUGAUCUGGCUUUUCUCUCCCUCCCAGCGAAAUAGUUUCGUAGAGCCGAAAGGCAGUCUGGGUUCCGGUGGGAACUAGUUCUGGACGGCGAAGCCCUGCCGGAUAGAUGACACCGUAUGUGUGCAACUCUGUAGAGAGAUCGUAGUUUCGGUCUUAGUUCGUGAGUGCCUCCCGAAGGGCUGUCUGUGUGACCGUCCGAGUUUCGAAGGUCCUCCCGAAGGGCUGUCCGAGUGACCGUUCGAGUUUCGAAGGUCCUCCCGAAGGGCUGUCCGCGACACUGUCCGGGGGACUGUUCGACCACCUCCCGGAGGGCUGUCUGAGGAGCAGAUGAGGGUAUACAUCCUCGCGGUUGGGAGGUUGUAAAUCCUAGCUGCGGGGAUCUGCACCGCUGAUCGUCAUCGACUCUACUUCCCGCUGCGCUACGAGUCGGUAACGAAAAAGAUCAAACCUUGUAUGCAGUCUCCAUAGUGGUCCUGGGCUGGUGCGUAGGUCGGAAAUUUUUUGUUUUCUGUUGCGUUACCCUUCAGGUGCAUCAAGAGCCGUGCUAUGCGUAGAUGCAGGUUAUGAUCUAGAAUACAUGGAGAUGUAUGGGUAUUGCAUAAUAUAAUUUUGGAGUGGAUGAGAUCUAUUGCUGAAAAUUAUUUAUGCGGGUGACAGAUGAAAUCUGUUACCUGACGUUCUUGUUGCUUCCCUAGAAUUUGCGUUUGCUCAAUCUCGAGACAGCAUGGUGGAAUUUGACAAAGUUCUGGCAAUCCGUGAUCCUGAUUGAUCAUGGAAGUGCUAUCAGUUCUUUGGGUUCUGCCAUAGUCAAAAGAAAGAUGAAAUUCGUAGAUGAAAGGGCAUUGCAGAUAUGAUCUGCACGGGGGUCAUGCGUAUGACGAAGUUUAAUAUGGGGCUCGGGAUUUAAUUAUCCCGUGUUUCAUACACCCCGAGAUCUUAAUCUAGCAACAUGAACUAUCAUACUUGAUGAUGAACGUUGGUCGCUGCAGUUUAAGUCAAAACCUUAGAAGCCACGUAAAAUAAAUUUUGCAUAAACCGAUUAGAGGCGUCUAACUUAGUUUUGCAGGAUGUGCAUGUGAUGUGGUAUAGCAGUGCUCAUACUAAUUCGAUUAUGUAUGAGAUGACUAUAUGAUGUAAUUUGAUUAACAUGACCUGCGUGUCAUGGUUCGGCAUGAUGGCUGGAGCCAUAUGAUUGCACUUUAAUGACCUGCGUGUCAACCUUAAGUAAUGCAUUAAUUUUAUACGCUAUGGAGAUAGCAAUAUUAUCUGGUGCAUCGACAAGGUGGUGGCAAUCUUCGCGAAGGUGAACACCAACACGAAUGCCGAAGACGAAGAAAUGAAAUACUUCUCCGCCAGAAAGGGCUAUACCAUAUCAUGCUAUUAUGAAUUGCCUGAGAUGUUUAUCCCUUAUGUUGCACCCUUCUUGAUUGCACGGUAGUCGCUUUUUAUUAGGGUGAUCUCUCACAGAAAUACCAAGUAGUUAGUGUUCUCCCAAGUGUAGCACCGUCACGGCACCUAUCUUUUCGGGGUGCGCCGUGUCACACGGGUACGAACGAUUAGAGAAGCGUGAGGCGGGUGAGUUGAGACCUCGCAGCGAGAUCACUUGGUUGUCUUGACGUUCAGGCAUGACCGUCAUGAGCUCGGAACACAUGCAUCAAAAGAUGAACAAGAGUCACAUAGAGAUGUGAUUGGCAAGUUGGCCUACCGGUUGAGAUUUUUCGUCAUCAGUGGUGUUACACCAAUGACGAACAAUUGAAAUGUGGGUCUUGUAACACUCACAAUCAAUUUUGAGAGAUAUUGAUUUGAGUGGGAGCGCACUGUUGAAUUAACAUGUUUAAUUCUCAAUGCAAUUAAUUUUGUACACUGUCUAAGUGUGGUUUGCAUAAUAGUUAUAGAAUAAUGGCUCGCAUUUCCACCUUCCUUAUUAAAAUUGAAUAGCUGUUAAAUAUCUGGUUAAAACUUUACGAUUGGUAACAUAAUAUGAGGAUUGUCCUCAAAAGUGCUGAGAAGGACUUUGUCCUAUCGCAUGCUUUCCGUAUCCUCCCGCUAAUGCUAUGGAUCAUGUGACUCUCGUCCUUCGAUCCAAAAGCUAGAAUUCUGUUACGGUCAAGUGGAAUAUGUUUGCUUCCAUGAAACCCAAACUUCGAAAGUUGGGAUAGUUAUAUGAUAUUCAUGGAACUGAAAAUUAUUUUCAGAUACAAACAAGCAAUGUUUGUUUGCAAGUAUUAGUAAAAGUGUUUACUAUGCAUUUGACUGUUGGGAAAGGGAUCCAGAAGAACGCCUGUCAUAUAAUGAAAGGUGAAUAAAACAACAACUUAAAGAGAAAGGAAGUGUCCAAAGGGUGUUAGUAUGACUUACACGCCUAGGAAGUCCGGGGCUAACGCCACUCUUAAGUUGGGUGCUUCUUUUGCGAGUAGGAGAAAUACUAAAAGUUAAACUGCUAGAAGUAUAAAGGUAGAAAGAAAGAUGACUGGAAUAUCCAGCUCAUGUAUGAAUGUCAUACAAGUUUUUGAUGUAUAGUAGGCUGGUCAAAGAUAUAGUUCUUGGGAAUUAUGGUUAAACAUGUUAAUCACUAAUUCUUGGGUAUUGUGAGUUAAUCACAAAGAUACCCACUCGAUUGCAUUCUGUUACGAAUCAAUGUAAGAGCUACUAUGGCCUAAAAGGCUAGCCAGAAAUGAGGUUAAGGUAUACACAGGGAACAUAGUAAAUGUUACUAUACCUUCCAUCGGUGUAUUGCCGUUUGUAUUUAUUUUCAUAAUUCAUUUAGAGUUUUACAAACUCUAUCCCAUUGCAUAAGGUAUCUUGCAAGAACGUUGUUCAUAAGAGAACUUUUUAUGUUCAAUGUUAUGAAUAACACAAGGGCCAUACUUUCAUUAUGAAUGAGAUGUAUGUUAUGAAUAUUGAUAAUAAUAUAAUACCUCUGGGUUUACUUUCAUAAUUCAUUUUAGAGUUUCAUAAACUCUAGCCCAUUGCACAAUGUUUGUUGCAAAAGAGUUGUUCAUAAAAACAACAAUUGUUGUUAAGUAUUAUGAAUAACAUGAAGGGCCAUGCUUCCAUCCAAGAUGGAUGUAUGUUAUGAAUAUUGAUGGUAAUAUAAUACAUCCAUAACACUGACGCUAAAUGUCGCAAGACUAUGAGAAUACCACACAUGUGUGGCCUGUAUUUGGUCACAUUGGAGAAAUCCGCAUGGAAAAAUUCCAUUAUGAUGGGUUUUGAAGUCGUUUGAUUUUGAAUCAUCUGGCACUUGCAACUUUUCUCCGAAAAGUGAAGUGACUGAAAUACCGUUCACAGGCCAUAAGGAACGAGCAACAAACUUAUUGGUGAACAUACAUUUUGAUGUGUGUAGUUCAAUAAAUGUUGUUGCGAGUAGUGGCUUUAUAUAUCUUCAUAAAUGACUCAAGUAGAUAUAUGGAUAUUUGCUUGAUGAGACAUAAGUCUGGAUCUUUUGAACUCAUUCGAAAGGUUUUCAAAAAUGAAGUAGAAGUUAUUGUAACAAGAAAAUUAUGUUUCUGCAAUUUGAUUGCACAAAGGAAUAUUUGAGUUACAUGUUUAGCAAAUAUCUGAUGAGUUGUGAAAGGGGUUUCAUAACUUGCACCUCCCGGAACACCACUGCAAGUGAAAAGUCCGUGGAGAUGUAAUCUAACCAUUUAUGACAUGGUAAGGUCAAAGAUGACAUAAAUAAAUUUGCCAUUAUCCCUUUUAAAGUGAUGCUUUAGAGACUGCGGCUUUUACACUGAAAAGAGCUACAUCGGGUCUGUUGAAAUGAAGCCAUGGUAUGGUACGCCCAACCAUGUUAUAUCUUUUCUUAACAUUUGGAAUAUGGGGCUUGUGUAAAAGGUUACAAACCUAUUCCAAAUCAGACAAGUGCUACUUUGUAGGUUAUACCAGAAUGUUGGGUAUUCCUCCCUCACUAUACCGAGGCAAAUAGUUUUGCCGCGAAACGGUGUGCUUUUAAAGAGAAUGGUUCUUUCAAAAAGGUGAGUGGGAGAAUAGUGCAAAUCGACGAGAUAAACAGUAUCUACGUCAUCAGAUCAAACGAAAGAGACCUUGGAAGUAAUUCCAGAGUUUCCUACUGUGACUGAUACGGAAGUCUCUACAAUAAAAUGUAUGAACUUCGGUCGAACUUGCAGCUGAAACACGUAGGCAAGGCUCGUGCAAACCUCUCAGGUGCGCAAACGAGAUAUUGUUGUUAGACAACAUUAUACCUACGAUACACAAGGAAGCGUUGAUGGGCCCUGACUCCGGAAUUGGCUAAAUGCCAAUACAACCCGAGUUAGUUUCCAUAUAAGUGAUUCAAGACUUAAACCUUGAUACACCUUUCGGAAGACUUAGAGUCUAAUGAAUAUUUAUGGAACCUAAAACUGAUAUGGAUAAAAUGUUUUAUGCAUAAAGCUCGACUUGUUGAAACAACAAGUUCAAGAGUUGACUAUGAUGAUGUUGUUUUCAUCGUAGCGAUGCUUAAAGUCGGUUCGGGUUGAACUAGCAAUUAAUACAUAUUUCAAUCAUGAGAUAUGAAACAUGGAUGACAGUAGGAUUUCCAUAUGAUGGAAAUGAAACCAAGGACUUGCAUGUGUUACAGUCCAAGGCAUUUUGUCUGUCCAGAGGAUGCUAGUAAGGGUGCAAACUUCAGAGUUCCAGCGAUGGACAGAAGAGAGCAAAAUGAAGUUGGAAUCUUCGUGCUUUGAUGAAAUGGUCAAAGGGGUUUGACUUCAUCAAUGGGUAACGAAGAUGCUUGUAAUUCAAGAAAGUAAGUGGGAGCGUAAUAAUAUUUCUAAAAACCUUAUGUGCUUGGCACAUUGGUAAUUGGAAAUAAAUUUCUUGACACGAAUUAGGACUUCAUUUGAAAAUAGUUUUUUGAUGAAGUGCUUAGGCUAAAUAGCCUCAAUAUUAGGCAUGAUGAUCUAUGGAGAUAGAUUUACCUAAUGGGCUAAGCAAUGAAUACAUAUUGACAAGAUGCUAAAACUUUUUAGCAUUUAAAACGCCAAGGAGUGAUUCUUGCCGAAGUCACAUGGAAAGAGUUUUUGCAAGACUCGGUGUCCCAAAACACUGAUGAGUAAAAUACAUGAUGGAGAUUCCACACACUCUUGUGUUUGGAUUAAUCAUGUAUUCCAUGGUAUGUAAAACAACCAGAUAUGUCCGAUACUCCCAAGGUGUUGCGAGUAUGGAUACCAAAGUGAUCAAAUUACUGAUCAUGGGACAACAGUGAAAGAUGUCACAGAGUACUAGAGUAAGUACUGAUGACAUGGUUUUCUCGCAAGCAGAGAUCAUGAAGAGUUCGUUGUGAAAUGUUACAUCGAUACAUUCUUCAUCUUUUCUCCAUGCGAUUUUCCAUUUAAAUUAAGGGUUUUGUGUAACACACAAUGUGGUGGCACAGUUAGUUGGAAUUUGUUCAAACUAGUUACUGUGGCGAAUUCUAUAACAAGGGCUAAGUAUGUUGACGCUUUAGAAGUGACAAAGAAGAUGUUGAAUCAUAUAGUUCAUUCAUGAACUUAGUAUGGUUCCAAGAUGGCUUUUGACAAUGGGACACUACUGCAGAUAGUUGCUCCAUAACUCAGUCUGAGGAAUCCAGGUUCGACCUGUGAUUCACAUACAUACAAAGCCAAGUCCACACAAAAUAUGAAUUUUGUGAAAACAUGAAAACGCGAGGACAUGCAAAGAUACACACGGAGUUGAAGUCGUCAGAUCCGUUGGACAUCAGGCUAUACCACAAGCGAAGCAUAUUUACACCGGUGUGCCACAGGUGUGAAGUGCAUUAGCAUAAGCUAGAUUAUUGUCUCUAGUGCAAGUGGGAGUCUGUAGGAGAUAUGCCCUAGAGGCAAUAAUAAAUGUUAUUGAUUAUCUCCCUGUUCAUAAUUAUGUUUAUGUUCCAUGCUAUAACUGCUGUGGUUCCCGAGCCCGUAUAUCCAUAAAGGCUAUGGGGAGAACCCAUAUGCACGUGUGGAAUAAUAAACGGUAAAAUGUAUUCCUAGUCGUGCCUCUAAGACUAGCUCAAGUGUUGCAUGAUGAUUAUGUUUUCCCAAUCAUGGGCAUGUCUAUGCCAAGCAACUUUGAGGGCACAAUGUCAAGAAGGACAUUUGUGCUGAAUCGACCCGAAUUGAUGUUACGCUAUGAGAUACAUUCGUCACAAGUUAAUGGUUUACAACACAGAGAUAGUUAAUGUUUGCAUAAUUCCUUAGACCAUGAGAGUAUCGAGUUUCUUCAUGCUUGCUUCAUGAACUUUGGGGUUUGUUAAACGUCAUGCGUAACUAGAUGGCUAUUACGGCGGCUUACGGGUUCAUGGGAAAGUAUGUUAAGUAACUUGAUAGCUCGAGAUUGGGAUUUGCUCCUCCGACGAUGGAGAUAUACUCGGGCCCUCUCAGUGUUACGGUGUCCAUCAUCGUCUGGCCAGACACUUUGUGAUUUGAUCACGGGGAUGCCGGAACACGAAACGAGAAAAGAGAACAAAACCGGUAACGAGGUAACUUGCAUAGUGGACAAAGUGUUGGCCCAUGGGGAUGCAAUAAAUCUCACCUCAGGUGUUUGUGAUAUAUCGUGAAGCAACAGGAAUAGCUCGCUGCAACUGGAGGUUCACUCGAAUAUUCAUUCGUGUGGGUAUAGGGGUCAAUAUGGGUGUCCACGGCUCCGAUGUUGAUCAUUGAUCGGAAGGGGUUCCGGGUCAUGUCUAUACUUCACCGAACCUAUAGGGUCACACGCUUAAGGGUCAUCUAUCUGCUGAAUACUAGAUAGGGAGUCUGAGAGAAAAUCACCGAAAAAGUUUCGGACAGCGGAAAAGUUCCGCAGAGAGAGGUCACCGGAUGAGUUUCGGUGAAACCGAAAAAGUUGUUUCGGGGUAUGACAUUAAGUCAAAAUGGUUUCGGCACAUGCCUGAUAAUUCUUGGAGGGUGCCAGAAUCAUUCUGGAAACUUUUUGGAAUUUUCAGAAAUAAAAACCGAAAAUGUUUCGGAUCUGCCGGUACCGCUUUGGCUGUUUUUCGCAGAUGAAAUUCACUAAUCUGAAAUUGUUUCAGAACGAAUCCGAAAUCAUUUUAGUGGGUAUUGGAAUUAUUCUAAGACCCACAGAAAUAUUUUCGGAUUUAGUGGACGCGAAAAAUUGUCUUCAUGAAUAGUGAAAACGCAUUCUUGUUUGCUUUUCGCAGAUGAAAAUCACUAAACCGAAAUUGUUUCGGAACGCGUUGAAAAUUAUUUUAGUGGGUACUGGAAAUGUUCUGAGCCCACAUAAAUAUUUUCAGUUCGAACGGACGCUGAAAAAUGUCGUCAUGAAUAGUGAAAGUGCUUUUUGCUUGGCUUCUUGGAGAAGCCGCCUUGAGGGCCUUUUUGGUAUUUCCCCCCUUGGCUUCUUGGAGAAGCCACCCUUGGGCUUGGCCUAUAAAUAGGGGUGGAGGGGGCUGCCUAAAGGAUCAUCCCUUCUCACAUACAAGUGCCAUGCAUGAUCUGGCUUCUCUCUCCCUCCCAGCGAAAUAGUUUCGUAGAGCCGAAAGGCAGUCUGGGUUCCGGUGGGAACUAGUUCUGGACGGCGAAGCCCUGCCGGAUAGAUGACACCGUAUGUGUGCAACUCUGUAGAGAGAUCGUAGUUUCGGUCUUAGUUAGUGAGUGCCUCCCGAAGGGCUGUCCGUGUGACCGUCCGAGUUUCGAAGGUCCUCCCGAAGGGCUGUCAGAGUGACCGUUCGAGUUUCGAAGGUCCUCCCGAAGGGCUGUCCGCGACACCGUCCGGGGGACUGUUCGACCGCCUCCUGGAGGGCUGUCUAAGGAGCAGAUGAGGGUAUACAUCCUCGCGGUUGGGAGGUUGUAAAUCCUAGCUGCGGGGAUCUGCACCGCCGAUCGUCAUCGACUCUACUUCCCGCUGCGCUACGAGUCGGUAAUGAAAAAGAUCAAACGUUGUAUGCAGUCUCCAUAGUGGUCCUGGGCUGGUGCGUAGGUCGGAAUUUUUUUUUUCUGCUGCGUUACCCUUCAGCGCAGCCUCUCCCCCUCCCCUAUAUAUAGUGGGGGUUUUGGGGCUGCCAGAGACAUGAGAACAUCUCCCUCAUAGCGCAGCCCUACCCCUCUCCCUCCUCGUCUCUUGCGGUGCUUGGCGAAGCCCUGCUGGAGUGCCACGCUCCUCCACCACCACCACGCCGUUGUGCUGCUGCUGGACGGAGUCUUCCCCAACCUCUCCCUCUCUCCUUGCUGGAUCAAGGCGUGGGAGACGUCACCGGGCUGCACGUGUGUUGAACGCGGAGGCGCCGUGGUUCGGCGCUUAGAUCGGAAUCAACCGUGAUCUGAAUCGCUACGAGUACGACUCCUUCAUCCGCAUUCUUGCAACGCUUCCGCAUCGCGAUCUACAAGGGUAUGUAGAUGCACCCCCCUUCCCCUCGUUGCUAGAUUACUCCAAAUAUUGAUCUUGGUGAUGCGUAGAAAAUUUUGAAUUUCUGCUACGUUCCCCAACAUCAAGCACACUACCUUGGCGACCCCGUAUGUCGAUGAACACAAGAACAGUCUGCGCUCCGAACAGUAGGAGCAGUGUGACGACUGGAUUACAUGUGAACACAUCAGGACUUUCGGCAGUUGGUUGGAAACACGUCUCAGAGGUGACAACAUUGUUUGUGAUGAGCUGUACUCGUUGUCCAGGGGACCAUCUUCGACUGUAUUGACUUACAAAGGAUACGACAUAAAUGGGAAUACAUUUAACACGAUCGCCCAAUAUAAGAAUAGCACCAACCAAAACAGCGGUGUUCGCUUUGAUGCAUUAACCAAGAGGGGAAAGGACACAUAUUAUGGUUACAUAGUGGACAUAUCGGAACUUGACUACGGAGAUGAUUUUAAGGUCCCUUUGCUUAAGUGCAAAUGGGUCAAUCUGUCAGGAGGCGGGGUACAGGUAGACCCACAGUACGGAAUGACAACAGUGGAUCUGAACAAUCUUGGGUACACAGACGAACCGUUCGUCCUAGCCAAUGAUAUGGCGCAGGUUUUCUAUGUGAAGGACAUGUCUACCAAACCGAGAAAAAGAAAAGAUAAGGAAGGGAACACAUCAUACAAUGAGCCAAAGAGCCGCAUAGUUCUUUCUGGAAAAAGAGACAUCGCGGGAGUGGAGGGCAAGACAGACAUGUCCGAAGAUUAUGAAAAGAUUCAUGAAAUUCCUCCCUUCAAAGUCAAGGCUGACCCAAGCACCCUGUUAAACAAUGAAGAUUAUCCAUGGUUACGGUGCAAUAAGCAAAGGACAGAAGCGAAGAAAAGGUGAAGACUUUCUCUCCACGACUAUUAUGAUGAUGCCUUUGAUCUAGAAUAUCCAUGUAACAGACGAGUUUCCGUAUGAAACCCUGAUACUUCGAAAGAGAUUGUCCGUUUUGUACACGAAGUGCAUCCAGUUUUUACCAUAACCCUCUCAACUUUUUAGCACAUGCUAUUUGGGUGAAAUGAUGAUACCAUGCCAACUUUCAACCUUUUCAGAGUCCAUUUGUAAUUCUUUUCAAUUUCAGGGUCAUUUAGCUCAAAAAAAUCAGUAAAUGCAUGAAAAAUAACAAAUGAAGUCAGAAAGGGUUGAAAAUUGAUGAUAUUGGUUUGAAUGGUGCAUAUUGAACACACAAAAAGUCUGGAGUUCAAAUAAGUUCAAAAAAAUGAAAUCCCUUUGUAAUAGAUGAGUUUUCGUCCGAAACCCUCAUACUUCGAAAGAGAUUGUCCAUUUUCUACACGAAGUGCAUCCAGUUUUUCCCGUAACCCUCUCAACUUUUUAGCACAUGCUAUGUGGGUGAAAUGAUUAUACCAUGCCAACUUUCAACCUUUUAAGGGUUCAUUUGUAGUGCUUUUCAAUUUCAGGGUGAUUUAGCUCAAAGAAUGAACUAAUAUAAAAAAAGAAUGAACUAAUAGCAAAAAAAGAACUAAUAGCUAAAAGAAUGAACUAAAAAUAAUCAAUUAAAAUAUUCUGUUAUGAUCAACUAAAACAAAACUAUAAUAUUCUUCAAUAGCAAAAAGAAAAUCAACUAAAAAGCUUUUAUAAAACUCUAAUAGCAAAAGGAAUCAACUAAAAAGCUUUUAUACACCUCUUGUAUUUUUUAAACUAUAAUUAUACAAAAUUUCUGCAACUAAAAUUAUCAAAGUAUUUUCUGUUCAAAACAUGAAAAGCAAAAAGAAUUAUCAUAAAGAAUUUUUUGUUAGAAACUUUAGUAGCAAAAAGAAUUUUCAUAAAGAAUUUUUCUGAUAGAAACUAAAAUAACAAAAUCUGUUUUUGAAUAUAAUGAUAAAAUGCGGUAAUAUUAAAUAGCAGAAAAAAGAAUCACUCAAAAUAUAUUUUUGUAGUGAAGUUACUCACAAACUAGUGAUUCACAAAAAUUUCAAAGAAUUCAAAUUUAAACUAUUCAAAUUUGGAAACUAAUGGCACUAACAGAAAGUUUAUAAUUAUUCUGACCUAAAAGCAACAAGAAUUAAAAAAUAUAGCAAAAAACAAAAGAAAAUAAAUAAUUCAAAAAACAAAACAAAGAAUGUAACUAACAAUACCAACACCACUACAUUUAAAUUUGGGCAUGAACUGUGCUUUAAAAUGGACAUAUUAAGUGCUAGAAAUUUGGAAAAACAGAAAUAAAUCAACAUUUCGCCAAAACAUUAGCUCUUAUUAUGAAUCCCUGCAUAGAAAGUUCAUAUAGUCUACAGUCUACGAUAUACGAAUAUGAAUAAGAAUGUUCCUAUAAUCUAUGAACAAACAAUGUAACUAAUAAUACCAACACAACAAUAUUAAAAUUUGGGCAUGAACUCUGCUUUAAAAUGGACAUAUUAAAUGCUAGAAAUUUGGCGAAACGGAAAUAAAUCAACGGUUUGCCGAAAACAUUAGCUCUUAUUAUGAAUCCCCGAAUCAACAUUUCGCCAAAACAUUAGUUUCUAUAAUCUAUGAUCUAAGAUCUAUGAAUAUAAAUAAGAAACUUCGUAUAAUCUAUGAACAAAGAAUGUAACUACAAUCUACGGUCUAGAAACCCUAGCCGUAACCCCAUAACUCACGUACUCCCAACUCCAACCCUAGCUGCCCUACCAAUGUGGGGGCGGCCACAGGCCAUUGGUUUGGUGGCGGCCACGACAGCGUUUGUAUUGGUGUUGGUGGCGGCCAAGGCCGCGUUGGCCCCAUCGAUCGACUUGGUGUUGGUGUUGGUGUUGGUGUUGGUGGCCACGACCGUUGGUGCGGGUGACGGCGGGGACGACGAGAUCGUACCAGAUCCCAUGGCGACGGCGACGAUAGUGCCGACGGGGGCGACGAAGAGGACGGCUGGAACGACAGGGGCAAGGAAGAGGAUGGUGUGGCCAACGGGGCCGGUGGCCAGGAGGACGGCGGGCCUGACGGGGCCGGCGAAGAGGACGGUGAGGCAGUGGCGACGGGGGUGCGCGUGGGUUGAUAAACUGUGUUCUUGCUACGGCGGGCGGCAACGAGCGACCGCCACAGCUACUUUCUGACAUAAGUGAACAUGUGGCAUGUAUAACUAGUGGCGGUUGCAUGGAGCUACCCGCCAGUGCUUACUCACAUACUUGUGGCAGGCACUAGGAUGCGCCCAUCACUGCUGAGUUACGCAAACAAGGGCUCCCACUAGUAGAAAACAGUGCUUUGGUUCAGCCCUGGCCAACCCAUUAGUCCCGGUUCAGUCACGAACCGGGACCAAUGGAGGCAUACGUCCCGGUUCAUAAGCCCGGGGGGCCGGCCGGGCCUCAUGGGGCAUUCGUCCCGGUCCGUAUGGACCCAUUUGUCCCGUUUCUAGGCACGAACCGGGACCAAUGGGCCUCUCUCCUGGCCCACAGCCAUUGGUCCUGGUUCGUGCCUGGAACCGGGACAGAAGGGGGGCCUUUAGUCCCGGUUCCAGCCACGAACCAGGACCAAUGAGGUGCCUAUAAUACCCGUGAGAAGAGCACUCCACUACUCUGUUUUUCUGGCCGGCGAGGGGAGGGCAUUUUGGUGCUCUAGCUCACCUCCUAUGUACAUGAGGUGUUGGAUGAAGUGCCCAAGCCACACUAGUUAAGCUUUCUCCUCUCCAAACUCGACCUCCAAGCUCCAUUUUCCUCAAGAUUUGUCUAGGUUUAGCGGACCAUCACGUCUCGUCCCCGUCUUCACCGCAGUUGAUUGCCCGCGCCGUUCUCGUUGCCGGCACCACCGUGGUGAGCCUCUUGUUCUUAUCUUCUUUCUCAAAGGAAAAAAUUCUUAAUUGUAUGAUUAGAUAGAUACUUGUCUAAUUUUCUUACUUCUAUUAUUGCUUGUUAUUAUAUAGUGCGAUGGUUUUGGUAUCCGGCCCCGUCGGCCCUUGUCCUGUCUAUGUUUCGGAUGUGGUAUAUAUUAUCUUUUGUAACUAUUAGGUUCAUUUAUUGUUCAUGACAAUUAUGCCGACCAACGUGACAUAGAUUUUAUUUAUCUAGGAUGUAUGUGAACCAGAAAUUCCAACCGACCCUAUUGUCGAGAGGUCAAAUUUAGUUGAAGAAGAAAACAAUUACUUGAAAGAAAAAAUAAAAAAAAUUGAGGAGGAGAAGAUGAUAUUGGAGUUGCAUGUUGCGGAUGUCCUCGAUGGUCACAUGAUCAAGAUGGACGCAAUGCCCUUGAAGAUAAGAAAGAUUAGAAAAUAUGCCAUUCAUACCGAGGCUUGGUAUCAUUGUGCCAUUGGAUCAUUUGUUACCUUGGUUGCGAUUAUGAUCGCAUUUGGUGUUGCAUUAAAAUGUUUUACAUAGUUUCAAUGUAUGGUUUAAUUAGAUGCUCUGGCGAGAAUGAGAACUAUGUAUGUACUUUGGUUUUAAUGUGAUGAUGAACUUCUAUUAAUUUGGUCACUUAUCUAUCCAUGAUGUGCUGUAAUGGUUUUUGACACACUUAAUUAUAUAUAAUGCACGCAGAUGAACCGGCAAUGGAUGUACGGUGACAGCCAAACGUCCCAGUAUGUUAAGGGCGUGCAUAAUUUUCUCGAAGUGGCUGAGGCAAACAAUCAGAAUGGUUUUAUGUGUUGUCCAUGCCCUAUAUGUGGGAAUACGAGGUCUUACUCUGACCGGAAAAUCCUUCAGAGCCACCUGCUUUAUAAGGGUUUCAUGCCACACUAUAAUUUUUGGACCAGGCACGGAGAAAUAGGGGUUAUGAUGGAAGACAGCGAAGAAGAAGAGGACAAUGACAACUAUGUGCCCCCGGAAUACGGUGAUGCUGCAAGGGGGAAGCUGCUGAAGAUCUAGAGGAAGCAGACGAUAUUGUGCCCGAUGAUGAUCUCCGCCGGGUCAUUGUUGAUGCAAGGAGACAAUGAGAAAGUCAAAAGGAGAAGCUGAAGUUCGAUCGCAUGUUAGAGGAUCACAAAAAGGGUUGUACCCCAAUUGCGCAGAUGGCAACACAAAGCUCGGUACCGUACUGGAAUUGCUGUAGUGGAAGGCAGAGAAUGAUGUGCCUGACAAAGGAUUUGAGAAGCUCCUGAAAAUAUUGAAGAAGAAGCUUCCAAAGGAUAACGAAUUGCCCGACAGUACGUACGCAGCAAAGAAGGUCGUAUGCCCUCUAGAAUUGGAGGUGCAGAAGAUACAUGCAUGACCUAAUGACUGCAUCCUCUACCGCGGUGCGUAAGAGGAUUUGAAGGUAUGCCCGGUAUGCGGUGCAUUGCGGUAUAAGAUUAGACGAGAUGACCCUGGUGAUGUUGAUGGCGAGCCACCCAGGAAGAGGGUUCCUGCGAAGGUGAUGUGGUAUGCUCCUAUAAUACCACGGUUGAAACGACUGUUUAGAAACAAAGAGCAUGCCAAGUUCAUGCGAUGGCACAGUGAGGACCGCAAGAAAGACGGGAAGUUGAGAGCACCCACUCACGGGUCGCAGUGGAGAAAAUCGAGAGAAAGUACCAGGCUGAGUUUACAGGUGACCCGAGGAACGUAUGGUUUGGUUUAAGCGCGGAUGGCAUUGAUCCUUUCGGGGAGCAGAGCAGCAAUCACAGCACCUGGCCCGUGACUCUAUGUAUGUACAACCUUCCUCCUUGGAUGUGCAUGAAGCGGAAGUUCAUUAUGAUGCCAGUGCUCAUCCAAUGCCUUAAGCAAGCCGGCAACGACAUUGAUGUGUACCUAAGGCCAUUAGUUGAGGAACUUCUACAGUUGUGGAUUGGAAAAGGUGUACGUGUGUGGGAUGAGCACAAAUAGGAGGAAUUUGACCUGCAUGAGUUGCUGUUUGUAACCAUCAACGAUUGGCCUGCUCUCAGUAACCUUUCAGGACAGAUAAACAACGGAUACCAUGCAUGCACACACUGUUUAGCUGAUGCCGAAAGUAUAUACCUGGACAAAUGUACGAAGAAUGUGUACCUGGGCCAUCGUCGAUUUCUUCCGACCAACCAUCAAUGUCGAAAGAAAGGCAAGCAUUUCAAAGGCGAGGCAAAUCACGGGAAGAAGCCCGCCAUGCGUACUGGUGAUCACGUACUUGCUAUGGUCAAUGAUUUACACGUAAUCUUCGAAAAGGGUCCCGGCGGACUAUCUCUUCCGAAUGACGAUGAGGGACGCGCACCCAUGUGGUAGAAGAAAUCUAUAUUAUGGGACCUACCCUACUGGAAAGACCUAGAGGUCCGCUCUUCAAUCGACGUGAUGCACGUGAUGAAGAACCUUUGCGUGAACCUGCUAGGCUUCUUGCGUGUGUAUGGGAAGACGAAAGAUACACCGGAGGCACGGGAGGACCUGCAACGUUUGCACGAAAAAGACGGCAUGCCUCCAAAGAAGUAUGAAGGUCCUGCCAGCUAAGCUCUUACCAAAGAAGAGAAGGAAAUCUUCUUUGAAUGCCUGCUCAGUAUGAAGGUCCCGUCUGGCUUCUCGUCGAAUAUAAAGGGAAUAAUAAAUAUGCCAGAAAAAAAGUUCCAGAACCUAAUGUCUCAUGACUGGCACGUGAUUAUGACGCAACUGCUUCCGAUUGCAUUGAGGGGGCUUCUACCGGAAAACGUCUGAUUAGCCAUUGUGAAGCUAUGUGCAUUCCUCAAUGCAAUCUCUCAGAAGGUGAUCGAUCCAGAAAUCAUACCAAGGCUAAGGAGUGACGUGGCCCAAUGUCUUGUCAGUUUCGAGCAGGUGUUCCCACCAUCCUUCUUCAAUAUCAUGACGCACAUCCUAGUUCAUCUAGUCAACGAGAUUGUCAUUCUGGGCCCCGUAUUUCUACACAAUAAGUUCCCCUUUGAGAGGUUCAUGGGAGUCCUAAAAAAUAUGUCUGUAACCGUGCUAGGACAGAAGGAAGCAUCUCCAUGGGCCAUCAAAUAUAGGAUGUCAUUGGAUUUUGGGUUGACUUCAUUCCUGGCCUUAAUAAGAUUGGUCUCCCUAAAAUCGCGGUAUGAGGGGAGACUAACUGGAAAAGGCACGCUUCGAGGCGACUCAAUAAUUUGCAGGGACGUACAUUCUUGGUCUCAAGCACACUACACAGUUCUACAGAACUCUACCUUGGUGACCCCGUAUGUCGAUGAACACAAGAACAGUCUGCGCUCCAAACACCCGGAGCAGUGUGACGACUGGAUUACAUGUGAACACAUCAGGACUUUCGGCAGUUGGUUGGAAACACGUCUCAGAGGUGACAGCGUUGUUUGUGAUGAGCUGUACUCGUUGUCCAGGGGACCAUCUUCAACUGUAUUGACUUAUAAAGGAUACGACAUAAAUGGGAAUACAUUUUACACGAUCGCCCAAGAUAAAAAUAGCACCAACCAAACCAGCGGUGUUCGCUUUGAUGCAUUAACCAAGAGGGGAAAGGACACAUAUUAUGGUUACAUAGUGGACAUAUCGGAACUUGACUACGGAGAUGAUUUUAAGGUCCCUUUGCUUAAGUGCAAAUGGGUCAAUCUAUCAGGAGGCGGGGUACAGGUAGACCCACAGUACGGAAUGACAACAGUGGAUCUGAACAAUCUUGGGUACACAGACGAACCGUUCGUCCUAGCCAAUGAUGUGGCGCAGGUUUUCUAUGUGAAAGACAUGUCUACCAAACCGAGAAAAAGAAAAGAUAAGGAAGCGAACACAUCAUACGAUGAGCCAAAGCGCCGCAUAGUUCUUUCUGGAAAAAGAGACAUCGCGGGAGUGGAGGGCAAGACAGACAUGUCCGAAGAUUAUGAAAAGUUUCAUGAAAUUCCUCCCUUCAAAGUCAAGGCUGACCCAAGCACCCUGUUAAACGAUGAAGAUUAUCCAUGGUUACGGUGCAAUAAGCAAAGGACAGAACCGAAGAAAAGGUGAAGACUUUCUCUCCACGACUAUUAUGAUGAUGCCUUUGAUCUAGAAUAUCCAUGUAACAGACGAGUUUCCGUAUGAAACCCUGAUACUUCGAAAGAGAUUGUCCGUUUUGUACACGAAGUGCAUCCAGUUUUUGCCAUAACCCUCUCAACUUUUUAGCACAUGCUAUUUGGGUGAAAUGAUGAUACCAUGCCAACUUUUAACCUUUUCAGAGUUCAUUUGUAAUUCUUUUCAAUUUCAGGGUCAUUUAGCUCAAAAAAAUCAGUAAAUGCAUGAAAAAUAACAAAUGAAGUCAGAAAGGGUUGAAAAUUGAUGAUAUGGCUUUGAAUGGUGCAUUUUGAACACACAAAAAGUCUGGAGUUCAAAUAAGUUCAAAAAAAUGAAAUCCCUUUGUAAUAGAUGAGUUUUCGUCCGGAACCCUCAUACUUCGAAAGAGAUUAUCCAUUUUCUACACGAAGUGCAUCCAGUUUUUCCGGUAACCCUCUCAACUUUUGAGCACAUGCUAUGUGGGUGAAAUGAUGAUACCAUGCCAACUUUCAACCUUUUAAGGGUUCAUUUGUAGUGCCUUUCAAUUUCAGGGUCAUUUAGCUCAAAGAAUGAACUAAUAUAAAAAAAGAAUGAACUAAUAGCAAAAAAAAGAACUAAUAGCUAAAAGAAUGAACUAAAAAUAAUCAAUUAAAAUAUUCUGUUAUGAUCAACUAAAACAAAACUAUAAUAUUCUUCAAUAGCAAAAAGAAAAUCAACUAACAAACUUUUAUAAAACUCUAAUAGCAAAGGAAUCAACUAAAAAGUUUUUAUAAACCUCUUGUAUUUUUUAAACUAUAAUUAUAUAAAAUUUAUGCAACUAAAAUUAUCAAAGUAUUUUCUGUUCAAAACAUGAAAAGCAGAAAGAAUUAUCAUAAAGAAUUUUUUGUUAGAAACUUUAGUAGCAAAAAGAAUUUUCAUAAAGAAUUUUUCUAAUAGAAACUAAAAGAACAAAAUCUGUUUUUGAAUAUAAUGAUAAAAUGCGGUAAUAUUAAAUAGUAGAAAAAAUAAUCACUCAAAAUAUAUUUUUAUAGUGAAGUUGUUCACAAACUAGUGAUUCACACAAAUUUCGAAGAAUUCAAAUUUAGACUAUUCAAAUUUGGAAACUAAUGGCACUAACAGAAAGUUUAUAAUUAUUCUGACCUAAAAGCAACAAGAAUUAAAAAAUAUAGCAAAAAACAAAAGAAAAUAAAUAAUUCAAAAAACAAAACAAAAAUACUGGAAAAAAAAUGCCGCCUACUUGGUCACAUGGCCUGCAUAUGACUAGGAACCCAUCUAUACAUGGGCCAGGAUGCAGGCCCGCAAGCCCAAUAGGCCCAACAGGGCAGUGACAAGGGUAGGCAAGUACUGCCUGCAUAUUAGAGAGGAUGUAACAUCCCAAAAUUCUAAAUUUUGGAAUGUUAUAUUAAAUAAAUAUUUAUGCUUGUUUGUUUGAUUAUUGUGUGACUGAUUGUGUGAAAUUGAGUGAAAUUUGAAAAUUUUGAAAGUUGAAUGAGAGGGAAUGAAAUGACUUUCCCAAACUUUCACCCUUGCAUUUAUGAUCUCCAUGAAUUCAAAUUAUUUCAUCACAAAACCCUAGAGUGAAGAUGAUAUGACUUCUUCCAUUUAAAUAAAUGAAAAAAAAAAGUUUUGAAAAGAUUUGAAGUCCAUUUGGAAAUAUUUCAAAUUCGGAAACUUUAUGCAACUCAAUGAUUUUUAGGAGAGAAGAUAAAAUGACUUCUUCAAUUAUAUGAAAUAUGAGUUGGAAGUUAAAAAGAAUCAAAUUGAAAGUCAUUUGAAAGUAUUUUGAAACUCCUUUUCAAAUUUGGAAUUAUUUGGAUUUUAUUCAAAUUAUUUUUCUCCUAAAAAUAAAUAAAUGGAAAUAAGGGUAAAAUGAUUCCCUUCAAUGGAAAAUUAGGAGAAAAUAAUUUUUAAAUAAUUUUGGUAUUUUAAAAAUGAUUUGUGUUGGAUUCUAAUGCAAUAGUAGCACUGUUUGCUUUAUUUGAUUUUUUUUGGAUUUUAUUUGAUCUAUAUAAAUAGUUCAUGUUUUAGGAAAUGUUUUUCUGAAAAUUUUGAUAUAUUAUAUGUCCUAUAUAAUAUUUUUUCUAUAUAACUUAUUUUCUCCCUGUCUUAUUCCAAAAAAAAAGAGGGGAAAACCUAGCGCUAGCCAGGCCAGGCGGCCCAGGAGCCAGCCAGCCACUCGAGCCGCGGCCCAGCCAGCGCCGUCGCCCGAAGCCCCUCUCCUUCGGUCGCCCGCUCCUCUCUCUCUCGCCCUUGUGCCACUGACCGCUGGGCCCCACUGCCCGAUCGCCCUCGCCCGCCGUCUUCUUCCUCCCCACGCCAAGUCGCGCCGCCGCCGCCGGAAUCCCGAUCUUCUCGGGAUCACGAAUCCCCUCGCCCCGUCCUCCAAGAAUUCCUCCCCCUAUAAGUACCCCUCUCCCUCGACCCGUUCCCCUCCUUUCCCCUCACCAAAACCCCUUGCCUCGCCCGUAAUCUCUCGCCAGAGCCGAGCACCGCCGCCGCACCAUUGAUGCCCUAGAGCCCGCCUCCGACCUCCCCGACGGCCCCGAGCAAACGCCCAGACUCCCCUCGUUCCUGCGCAUUCCCUGAGCCGCUCCGCCGUCGCCAAGGAUCCCUGGAGCCGUCGCCCUCUUCACCACCGGACAUCACCGCCGCUGUCGAGCUCGCCCCGCUCGAGACCGCCGUCCCCGAGCCACGCCGAGGCCACCUUCAUGCUCGUCACCGUCUCCCACGUCGAACGGAGCCCUCCCUAAAGCCGGAGACCCACGGGAGGAGCCGCCACCGCUGCCGGCGACCUCGCCCGAGUUCACCUCCACCGCGGUGAGCACUCCACUCCCCCUCCACCGUCCGAUCUAAAAUAAACACCCUAGAUUAGAUCUAAUCUGGACGGUUAGGUUAUUUUUACUAGAUCGGUUUAGCUUCGGUUUAUUUACGGUUUAGAUCUAAUCGGUUUAGCCGGUUUUUCUUUUCUGUGCAAGCGCGUUAGUCUNNNNNNNNNNNNNNNNNNNNNNNNNNNNNNNNNNNNNNNNNNNNNNNNNNNNNNNNNNNNNNNNNNNNNNNNNNNNNNNNNNNNNNNNNNNNNNNNNNNNNNNNNNNNNNNNNNNNNNNNNNNNNNNNNNNNNNNNNNNNNNNNNNNNNNNNNNNNNNNNNNNNNNNNNNNNNNNNNNNNNNNNNNNNNNNNNNNNNNNNNNNNNNNNNNNNNNNNNNNNNNNNNNNNNNNNNNNNNNNNNNNNNNNNNNNNNNNNNNNNNNNNNNNNNNNNNNNNNNNNNNNNNNNNNNNNNNNNNNNNNNNGUUUCGUUAAGUUACGACCGAGCGUUGUUUAGUUCAGAGCGCCCACUGCUUAGGCCCAAUUGCAGCCCGACGCGUAGCUCCUGCCCGUUUGUUUUUUUCAGUUUAUUUUCGUUUCUGUUUUAGAAACAGAAAUAGUUUCAAUUUUAGAUUGCUUAUAACUUUUAUGUUUUAUAUCCAAAUUGAGUGAUUCUUUUUGCGCUGUGUCACAAAUUUGUUUAAGUUUCUGUUUUUGUACUUAGGUUUCAAAUUUGAGUAGUUUAAACUUGAGUUUGAUGAAAUUUGUUCAAAUCACUAAUUUGGCCGUAUCUUGAGUUUUAUAAAAUAUUUUUGAUUGAUUCUUUUUGCUACGGUUUUGUUAUUGUUUUGUCUAUCCAGAGUCAUAUAGUGAUUUAUUUUUAGUUUAUUUUAAAUUAGGUUUUUAGCAAAACGGUACUGUUUUAGUUAUAGUUUUGUUUUAGUCUUUUCUUUAUUGUUUUUAUUAGUUUUAAAUUAUUUCUUUUUGUCACUCUUGAAAAUUUUAGUUUUGUUUCUGUUAGUCAAGAAAAGAAAAUUUUGUUUUUAUUUUAAAAUUUUAUUUUACUUAGUUUUCUAUGAAAACUUGUUUAGGUCAUAGUUAGUGUUUCAUAAAAGCUUUUUAUUUGUUUCUUUUUGCUAUUAAAAGUUUAUGAAAAAUACUUUCUGUUAAAAUUAGUUGUUUUAUAUUUUCUUUUCUGUUUAUUUAUUAUGUUAGCAUUUUAAUUGUUGUUAAGUUUUUACUUAAGACAAAACUAAUUUGUGUUAUGUCUUAGAGUUUUCUUUAGUAGUUUCGUGGUGUAGUUUUCCUUUGUUUUUAUUUGGUGUCCCUUGUUGAUUUGCAUUUUAUUUGUGGGUUUUAUUAUGAGUGUUAGAAUUUCUUGCUAGUAUGUUUGCUUAUAUGAAUGCUAUGUUUGACUAUAUAGAUUUUCAACGGAGUGACGAAUAGUUCUACCAGUCAUUAUUCUGAGAGCUUUGUUAUCUUCAUCAAGUAAUACCAGGCAAGUUCACUUUGACCAUGCUUUCAUACCUGUGUUUUACUGCAUUUAGUGGCAUCUUUGCAACAACCCUCCAGUAGUGAUAUUGAAUUCUUGUAGUUGAGUAGUAUGCAUGAGGUAGGAACCCAUCACCCUAUUACCAAGCCCGGGACGUUAUUUAUUUUAAUGCUACGCUAUAGUAGACGGGGUUUGGUAUGAGUGCACGAGAGUGGUGUGAAGAAGGAGGACUCUACGUCAAUGACAACAAUUCCAUGAUGGCAUAUGCGAGGACUGCAUCUUCAAGGCCUCAAGACUUCAAGACUCGAGACAAGAAUUCAAUACACACUACUGGGUGAAGGACGGUUGACGGGCACCCUGGAGAAACCAGUGGAUGGCCGGGAUGCAUGGAGAAGCGCCAUGACAUCUUGCGGAAGCUUCACCCAGACUCAAAGAGACGGAAGAAUACUUCAUGCCCGGAAGCUUACCUGUGCAACCGCAAGUCACUAUGGGCUCUGGCUUGGUUGACCUUAGUUGUGACUCUGGCUGGGACGGUGCUAGCAGAUGUAGAACUACGGUAGGAUUGGAUGAGCACCGGACAGUGGUCAAAGGAUCUCUUUGGAAGACCAUGUUUCGGUCAUCUUGUUCUCAAACACCCUGAAGUGCGAGAACGUAAAAAGAGGGAUCGAAUCUUGCGGGUAAAGUGUACAAACCUCUGCAGAGGGUUUUAACCUAAUCGAUUAGCCGUGUCCCCGGUUACGGACAAUUUGAGCCUCUGGACUUGGAUCUAUCUCGGAACUCUCAACACCAGACUGAUAAUUUAAUUGUGGGCAACUUAUGAUGAUUCGGGCAAUGAGACAUCGGUUGGCGAAACCAUGUCAUGAUAGAAAACUCCGUAGUACAGACUCCUGAUAUUCCUUUGAUGUAGGGAAAAUAAAACCAGCUUUUACGCAAAACAAAACUCAGACAUAGAGCCACAAAGCCAUAUUGCAUAUAGAAUAGUUUUAUCAUCUGCUUUCUCUUAUUGUGAUCUUGCUAGUACAUUCAAUGUACUGACCUACACGGCUGCAACGUAUCAUGUUGCAGGAUUAUCUCCAUGAAGAGUGAGUUUCGUUGUUGGGUUACGGUCUACACUCAACCUGCCGAUGGCGUUGAUGGGACUCCACACCCGAUUGUUUGUUUCCGCUGAGACUUAUGAGGUAUAUAUCAGUUUUACGUUAUUUAUACAUGUGAUUGCACUUUGAUAUAUACAUUGAUGUACUGUGUGUGCCAGCAUACUGAUCCAGGGAUGGCACAGAUACACAGAGACUUGACCGUCUGAGGUUGGGUCGCUACAGAUAUGGUAUCAGAGCACAUGUUGACUGUAGGACGUGACCCUAGAAAUCGAAAAGCCCUAGGACAGGAAAUCUCUAAGACUUUAUUUUUUAAAAGGACCCAUUUCUUCUCAUCUUUUCUAAUUUUUAUCAAAUAUCACCUCUUACCUCAAAUAGUUAGAAUAUACCCCUUUCCCUUUUGACCACCCGGAGGAUCAACUGAAGCCGCUUCAAGAAGGAUAAGAACACCGGACAAAUGAUGACCAAUUCAGAGUAAAGAGGAUUACACUAUAUAUUUCGGAGGAAAGAAGCUACAGCAGAUGAAGACUCUAAAGGCUUGAAGAAUUCAGAGACUCUGAAGAUUUAUUUGACCGUUAGAGGACCAAACCCCUGUUAUACACUUACGUUAGAUGCGACGAUUUCUGAGCUAUCAUUUGUUUGAUGUUUUCCGACAGCUACAAAGUAAAACCCGUUUCUUCAAAACUAUUGUUUGUAUUGUGUGUAUCCCUCCCCACCUCUCUCUUAUCUCACCCCAAAGCCCUUGGACCCAAUAGAUGAGGAAGGAAGAAGGACUAGUAUUCUUUGGACCGAUGACUCAGCCGAAGGCAGAGCUAUGGAUUAAAAACAUGGAGGAUCACUUCGGGGAAAAAAUGAUUUCAAGGAAGUACGAGGUUCAAGAUGCUAUUCAGUAUUUUACCGAGAGUGCUGCAACCUGGUGGAAAAUGCAUCAAGCCAUACAAGGAUGCAAUGGAGCAAAGACUUGCAAGAAGACUCUGACAAGAUCUCGUCUUAUCCGGAAGCACCAUGAUAACCCGAAGAAGAAACCUUGUGCGUGCAAGAUUUGCAGAGAAAUAGGACACACCCAGGAGGAACACAAGGAUGGAUGCCCUCAUUGUGAGGAGAAUCACCCAACCGAAGAAUGCCCGACUGGGCAGGUUACUUGUUUCCUGUGUGAAGGAAUUACUCAUUUCCCGGCUCAGUGUCAUAUUUACCCCAAGGUACAAGAAAUUACCAAGCAGCAGAAGAAAGCAAUGAAAGAAGCCCUCAGGGAAAGUUUGAAAGAACCUAUGAUGAAGGAAGAUGUUGACGACCCUAAUGGAGAAGGCCUAAACAGAUUUUACUCCAAUGCCUGCUAUUCAUGUGGGAGAGAAGGACAUUAUUCUCAGUAUUGCACGAAGGAAAGCCAAGAGUAUCUCAGAGAUUUCCCGACAGCAGAAGUGAAGUUUGACCCUCAGGAAAUAGAAUCUCUGAUCAUUACGGAGAAAUCCAGGAAGAGAAAACGAAGGCAACCCCAGAACAACCCGACUUCUGCAAAGAAGGACCUGAGUCAGAUCACUUGUUACAAGUGCAAGACCUUAGGUCACUAUGCCAAUAAAUGUCCAGAGAAGAAGCCUAGAAUCCAAGGAGCCUACAUAAUCACAAAGAAGGCCCGAGACAUUUGUUUUCGCUGCAAGGAAGCAGGACAUUUUUCUAGGGAAUGUUCAAAUCAGAAGAAAGCUGGAGCUGAGUAGUUGAGAUUUUGAUAUGGAUAAUAAGAGUGGUAGAAAGCAAUCUUAUUUUCAUAAGUUCGGUGAGUUGAGUUAUGUAAUGGGUGCUCAGAGAUUGUAAUGAAUUCAUGAAAUCAAUAAAGUUAAUGUGUUAUGAUUUCAUAUGUUGUAUUAUGUGAGUUUUUACUCUAUGAACAAAGAUUUUGGACCAGUUUCGAGGAUAUGAGAAAUAUGGUCUAUGGAUGGAUUUGUGAAUUUCACUUAAGGGUGGUAGUACCCUGUGAAGAACACUUGACCCAUGGAAAGGAUAAUGAUAUUUCAGGGAGUGAAGUUUGGACAAAAUAGGUAUGAGUUUUGUUUUGAUAUGUUGGUUACCCAAGAAUAUGAAGGAAUGAAGCAAUAUUGGAAUUUAAGGAGGUGUAAUGUUGGAAUAUGGAACCAUAUAACCCAAAGGGAUGAGUUAAAGCUAUGCAAGUAUUGAAGUGGGCCCACAACCCACAGGCCGAGGAAUUAAUAAAGAUCAAGUACUCCCUGCAAGAAGAAAUUUUGGAAGAAGAUGUGAUUUGAUGAGCAGAUGUUCUUUAGGAGGCUACGAAACCCCGAGAGUUGUGAAGUAACGAUAGAUGUUUCAUUCAGCUUGCGGAAUCAAUGGAAUUAUCCGAACUAAGUUCGUCGACAAGAGAAAUUCUGCAAUGCUUGUGAGAAUUCCCGAGUGUUAGAAAUGCGAGAUUCGCUAAACCUUAUACAGAGUAAUGAUUUGGGUGCGGAAUGGAUUGAUCACCAUACCGACUUACUCUGGUCAUUCGCUCUUGCUAUUUGGAAUGGUAAAUCUGAGUGACUUACCCAUAGUAGAGAGACGACGAUAUCAAACCUUGUUUGAACCAUAGAAUGCUAGAACGAUGGAUCCCUAUAACAGGCAACCAUUGCCAAUCGUAGGAUAUACGGUCAGAUUCAACCCAAAUCCUUUUCUGCAGGAGAAACCAUUAAUUGUUGACCACCAAGAGAUUUCGUUAAUUAAUUAGAAUUGGCGACAGACCUGUCAGAUAUGAAGACCCAGUCUCGGAAGAACCUCACCAGGAUGAAAGGACACGAGUUUGAUGAAAAGGUUAUGCCCUACUGGAAGAGCCCCAGUGUAGGAGUUACUCCGAAGAUGUGAGAAGACCGAUAGUGUCCACACUAAGGAUGGAGUACAUAAGAUCUGUUGGAACCAUAGCCCUGUUUUUAAGUGUGGUAGCACACUAGACCAUUCUGAUUGAUGGAUUUGCUAGAAGACCCCCCAAACCCUAACCUUUUCUUGCUAGCCUCUUUGAAUCUCGAGGACGAGAUUCAUUUUAAGUGUGGUAGGUUUGUAACAUCCCAAAAUUCUAAAUUUUGGAAUGUUAUAUUAAAUAAAUAUUUAUGCUUGUUUGUUUGAUUGUUGUGUGACUCAUUGUGUGAAAUUGAGUGAAAUUUGAAAAUUUUGAAAGUUGAAUGAGAGGGAAUGAAAUGACUUUCCCAAACUUUCAUCCUUGCAUUUAUGAUCUCCAUGAAUUCAAAUUAUUUCAUCACAAAACCCUAGAGUGAAGAUGAUAUGACUUCUUCCAUUUAAAUAAAUGAAAAAAAAAGUUUUGAAAAGAUUUGAAGUCCAUUUGGAAAUAUUUCAAAUUCGGAAACUUUAUGCAACUCAAUGAUUUUCAGGAGAGAAGAUAAAAUGACUUCUUCAAUUAUAUGAAAUAUGAGUUGGAAGUUAAAAAGAAUCAAAUUGAAAGUCAUUUGAAAGUAUUUUGAAACUCCUUUUCAAAUUUGGAAUUAUUUGGAUUUUAUUCAAAUUAUUUUUCUCCUAAAAAUAAAUAAAUGGAAAUAAGGGUAAAAUGAUUCCCUUCAAUGGAAAAUUAGGAGAAAAUAAUUUUUAAAUAAUUUUGGUAUUUUAAAAAUGAUUUGUGUUGGAUUUUAAUGCAACAGUAGCACUGUUUGCUUUAUUUGAUUUUUUUUGGAUUUUAUUUGAACUAUAUAAAUAGUUCAUGUUUUAGGAAAUGUUUUUCUGAAAAAUUUUGAUAUAUUAUAUGUCCUAUAUAAUUUUUUUUCUAUAUAACUUAUUUUCUCCCUGUCUUAUUCCAAAAAAAAGAGGGGAAAACCUAGCGCUAACCAGGCCAGGCGGCCCAGGAGCCAGCCAGCCACUCGAGCCGCGGCCCAGCCAGCGCCGUCGCCCGAAGCCCCUCUCCUUCGGUCGCCCGCUCCUCUCUCUCUCGCCCUUGUGCCACUGACCGCUGGGCCCCACUGCCCGAUCGCCCUCGCCCGCCGUCUUCUUCCUCCCCACGCCAAGUCGCGCCGCCGCCGCCGGAAUCCCGAUCUUCUCGGGAUCACGAAUCCCCUCGCCCCGUCCUCCAAGAACUCCUCCCCCUAUAAGUACCCCUCUCCCUCGACCCGUUCCCCUCCUUUCCCCUCACCGAAACCCCUUGCCUCGCCCGUAAUCUCUCGCCAGAGCCGAGCACCGCCGCCGCACCAUUGAUGCCCUAGAGCCCGCCUCCGACCUCCCCGACGGCCCCGAGCAAACGCCCAGACUCCCCUCAUUCCUGCGCAUGCCCUGAGCCGCUCCGCCGUCGCCAAGGAUCCCUGGAGCCGUCGCCCUCUUCACCACCGGACAUCACCGCCGCUGUCGAGCUCGCCCCGCUCGAGACCGCCGUCCCUGAGCCACGCCGAGGCCACCUUCAUGCUCGUCACCGUCUCCCACGUCGAACGGAGCCCUCCCUGAAGCCGGAGACCCACGGGAGGAGCCGCCACCGCUGCCGGCGACCUCGCCGGAGUUCACCUCCACCGUGAUGAGCACUCCACUCCCCCUCCACCGUCCGAUCUAAAAUAAACACCCUAGAUUAGAUCUAAUCUGGACGGUUAGGUUAUUUUUACUAUAUCGGUUUAGCUUCGGUUUAUUUACGGUUUAGAUCUAAUCGGUUUAGCCGGUUUUUCUUUUCUGUGCACGCGCGUUAGUCUGUUAAAGAACGACCGAGCGUUGUUUAGUUCAGAUCGCCCAUUGCUUAGGCCCAAUAGCAGCCCGACGCGUAGUACCUGCCCGUUUGUUUUUUUUUGUUUUUUUUCGUUUCUGUUUUAAAAACAGAAAUAGUUUCAAUUUUAGAUUGCUUAUAACUUUUAUGUUUUAUAUCCAAAUUGAGUGAUUCUUUUUGCCCUGUGUCACAAAUUUGUUUAAGUUUCUGUUUUUGUACUUAGGUUUCAAAUUUGAGUAGUUUAAACUGGAGUUUGAUGAAAUUUGUUCAAAUCACUAAUUUGGUCGUAUCUUGAGUUUUAUAAAAUAUUUUUGAUUGAUUCUUUUUGCUACGGUUUUGUUAUUGUUUUGUCUAUCCAGAGUCAUAUAGUGAUUUAUUUUUAGUUUAUUUUAAAUUAGGUUUUUAGCAAAACGGUACUGUUUUAGUUAUAGUUUUGUUUUAGUCUUUUCUUUAUUGUUUUUAUUAGUUUUAAAUUAUUUCUUUUUGUCACUCUUGAAAAUUUUAGUUUUGUUUCUGUUAAUCAAGAAAAGAAAAUUUUGUUUUUAUUUUAAAAAUUUAUUUUACUUAGUUUUGUAUGAAAACUUGUUUAGGUCAUAGUUAGUGUUUCAUAAAAGCUUUUUAUUUGUUUCUUUUUGCUAUUAAAAGUUUAUGAAAAAUACUUUCUGUUAAAAUUAGUUGUGUUAUAUUUUCUUUUCUGUUUAUUUAUUAUGUUAGUAUUUUAAUUGUUGUUAAGUUUUUACUUAGGACAAAACUAAUUUGUGUUAUGUCUUAGAGUUUUCUUUAGUAGUUUCGUGGUGUAGUUUUCCUUUGUUUUUAUUUGGUGUCCCUUGUUGAUUUGCAUUUUAUUUGUGGGUUUUAUUAUGAGUGUUAGAAUUUCUUGCUAGUAUGUUUGCUUAUAUGAAUGCUAUGUUUGACUAUAUAGAUUUUCAACGGAGUGACGAAUAGUUCUACCAGUCAUUAUUCUGAGAGCUUUGUUAUCUUCAUCAAGUAAUACCAGGCAAGUUCACUUUGACCAUGCUUUCAUACCUAUGUUUUACUGCAUUUAGUGGCAUCUUUGCAACAACCCUCCAGUAGUGAUAUUGAAUUCUUGUAGUUGAGUAGUAUGCAUGAGGUAGGAACCCAUCACCCUAUUACCAAGCCCGGGACGUUAUUUAUUUUAAUGCUACGCUAUAGUAGAUGGGGUUUGGUAUGAGUGCACGAGAGUGGUUUGAAGAAGGAGGACUCUACGUCAAUGACAACAAUUCCAUGAUGGCAUAUGCGAGGACUGCAUCUUCAAGGCCUCAAGACUUCAAGACUCGAGACAAGAAUUCAAUACACACUACUGGGUGAAGGACGGUUGACGGGCACCCUGGAGAAACCAGUGGAUGGCCGGGAUGCAUGGAGAAGCGCCAUGACAUCUUGCGGAAAGCUUCACCCAGACUCAAAGAGACGGAAGAAUACUUCAUGCCCGGAAGCUUACCUGUGCAACCGCAAGUCACUAUGGGCUCUGGCUUGGUUGACCUUAGUUGUGACUCUGGCUGGGACGGUGCUAGCAGAUGUAGAACUACGGUAGGAUUGGAUGAGCACCGGACAGUGGUCAAAGGAACUCUUUGGAAGACCAUGUUUCGGUCAUCUUGUUCUCAAACACCCUGAAGUGCGAGAACGUAAAAAGAGGGAUCGAAUCUUGCGGGUAAAGUGUACAAACCUCCGCAGAGGGUUUUAACCUAAUCGAUUAGCCGUGUCCCCGGUUACGGACAAUUUGAGCCUCUGGACUUGGAUCUAUCUCGGAACUCUCAACACCAGACUGAUAAUUUAAUUGUGGGCAACUUAUGAUGAUUCGGGCAAUGAGACAUCGGUUGGCGGAACCAUGUUAUGAUAGAAAACUCCGUAGUACAGACUCCUGAUAUUCCUUUGAUGUAGGGAAAAUAAAACCAGCUUUUACGCAAAACAAAACUCAGACAUAGAGCCACAAAGCCAUAUUGCAUAUAGAAUAGUUUUAUCAUCUGCUUUCUCUUAUUGUGAUCUUGCUAGUACAUUCAAUGUACUGACCUACACGGCUGCAACGUAUCAUGUUGCAGGAUUAUCUCCAUGACGAGUGAGUUUCGUUGUUGGGUUACGGUCUACACUCAACCUGCCGAUGGCGUUGAUGGGACUCCACACCCGAUUGUUUGUUUCCGCUGAGACUUAUGAGGUAUAUAUCAGUUUUACGUUAUUUAUACAUGUGAUUGCACUUUGAUAUAUACAUUGAUGUACUGUGUGUGCCAGCAUACUGAUCCAGGGAUGGCACAGAUACACAGAGACUUGACCGUCUGAGGUUGGGUCGCUACAGAGGAGCUCAGCACCUGAGCCGCAACGCAGCUUAUAAACAGGUGCUGAGCUCCCUCAGCUAGCGAGGUGGGACUAAACUCCCACCACACCACCGCUGUGCCACCCUUUCAUGCCGGUUGGUGGCACCAACCGGGACCAAUGCCCACCUUUGGUCCCGGUUAGUGGGACGAACCGGUACGACUACCCCCCUUUGGUCCCGGUUCGUGCCACCAACCGGGGCCAAAGGUCUCUGUUUCCCGCCCUUUGGGCUGCUGAAAAGAGACCUUUGGUCCCGGUUGGUCGCACGAACUGGGACUAAAGGUAGGCAUUAGUCCUGGUUGGUGCCACGAACCGGGACCAAUGCCUUUGCUAUAUAAGCCAGCACUUAGCAGUUUCUCCAAAAUCCAUCACUUUCUUCUCCGCCCGACGCCCCCGCUCCUCGUCGCCGUUGCCGCCGAGCCUUGCCGCGACGCCGUCGGGCUGGUCCACCUCGUCGUCGCCGCCGACGCCAUCUGCCCCGACGCCGGCGCAGCUCCACGCGCCCGUGCGCCCGCCCCAACGCCGCCCGCCGUGCCCCGCCACCCCCUGUGAGCACCUGCCUCGCUCCCGCACCCAUGCCCUACCUCGCGCACCUGCGCCCCUGCCCUACCNNNNNNNNNNNNNNNNNNNNNNNNNNNNNNNNNNNNNNNNNNNNNNNNNNNNNNNNNNNNNNNNNNNNNNNNNNNNNNNNNNNNNNNNNNNNNNNNNNNNNNNNNNNNNNNNNNNNNNNNNNNNNNNNNNNNNNNNNNNNNNNNNNNNNNNNNNNNNNNNNNNNNNNNNNNNNNNNNNNNNNNNNNNNNNNNNNNNNNNNNNNNNNNNNNNNNNNNNNNNNNNNNNNNNNNNNNNNNNNNNNNNNNNNNNNNNNNNNNNNNNNNNNNNNNNNNNNNNNNNNNNNNNNNNNNNNNNNNNNNNNNNNNNNNNNNNNNNNNNNNNNNNNNNNNNNNNNNNNNNNNNNNNNNNNNNNNNNNNNNNNNNNNNNNNNNNNNNNNNNNNNNNNNNNNNNNNNNNNNNNNNNNNNNNNNNNNNNNNNNNNNNNNNNNNNNNNNNNNNNNNNNNNNNNNNNNNNNNNNNNNNNNNNNNNNNNNNNNNNNNNNNNNNNNNNNNNNNNNNNNNNNNNNNNNNNNNNNNNNNNNNNNNNNNNNNNNNNNNNNNNNNNNNNNNNNNNNNNNNNNNNNNNNNNNNNNNNNNNNNNNNNNNNNNNNNNNNNNNNNNNNNNNNNNNNNNNNNNNNNNNNNNNNNNNNNNNNNNNNNNNNNNNNNNNNNNNNNNNNNNNNNNNNNNNNNNNNNNNNNNNNNNNNNNNNNNNNNNNNNNNNNNNNNNNNNNNNNNNNNNNNNNNNNNNNNNNNNNNNNNNNNNNNNNNNNNNNNNNNNNNNNNNNNNNNNNNNNNNNNNNNNNNNNNNNNNNNNNNNNNNNNNNNNNNNNNNNNNNNNNNNNNNAUCUUCUCCUCUAUUCCUUUCUUCUUCUCCUCUUUUUUUCCUUCUUCCUCUUCUUAUUUUUUAUUGGGUAUGUCGUUGUCGAUAUACCCCCUCCCCGAUAACUUCGACAUGAGGGGGGGGUUCGAUAUACCCCCUCCCUGAUAACUUCGACAUGAGGGGGGGAGGGGGUCGCCGAGGGUUUGAGGGGGCGAGGGUCGGGAACUUGCUAGGGUAGAGGUUCAAGGGUCGCUGAGGGUUCGAGGGUCGAGGGGUCGAGGGUCGAGGGUCGAGGGGUCGAGGGUCAUCGAGGGGCCGAGUGUUCGAGGGUCGAGGGUCGUCGAGGGGACGUCGGACAAUCAUGAGAGAGGCGGUCCGGCCCAAACGCUAGAAGCGCUGCCGAGGCCACCCAAAUUUACCAAGUUAAAAGAGCGUUGUCGUCGAGGCCACCCCGAACCCUAUAAGCGUUGCCGAGGCCACCCCAAACCCUAGAGAAGCAUUGAGGCCACUAAUAUGAUUCCUUGUUGUGAUUAGCUAGCUAGGUCUACGUUUGCCAUUAAUAUAUCCACCUGCUGUCAUGUUUGUAUAAUAAUUGCCAUGUUUUAAUAUUUGCAUAAACAAUGGAGCACGGAUGAGAUGAGGAAGCAGAACAGGUGUUGGGGGACAUAAUCGCAGCGGGAGCUGAUGUCUUGUCGUAUCUUAACGAUAGCGAUGGUCUGGAAGGAUAGGGUGAAGAAGCAGGCUACGGUGAUCGAACAAUGAAGGAGGAGGGACAUGAUUAUGAUGACUCCGGUGACCGAAUGCUGGUGGAAGAAGAACACCGUGACGACGGCUCCGAUGACCGAACGGAGUCCGGCCAGGUAUAUAUAUUAAUUAAGCCUAUGCUGACUAGCUAAUUGAUGCAUUAAUUGUUUUGGUAUGUACACAUAUUAACUCUCUUCUUUCUUCUUUUUUCUAGCCCUCCGGAUCGAGCCAAACUUCGGUAACGAGACGAGGCCCGAAGAAAAGGUUGCGCCAGGAUAAAAGGUUCACGAUCACAGAAAUCGCGCGCGAUGGCCAACCGAUUGCACCCAUCCGAACCAAGGAAGCAUUUUAUGCCCAGUGCGGGGUUCUUGUUAGGGACAUCAUCCCGAUCAGCAUCCAGCAAUGGUAUAAGCCUAAGGAGGAAGACCCUGAGGUUUCUUAUGUCAACGAUAGGCAGAAAGAUGAUCUUUGGACCGAGCUAAAGGCAAAUUUCACCCUACCGCCAGAGGUGGAUCCAAAGAAGCCAGUUAUAGAGCAAUUGGUCAAGGCUCAUGCUCUUAAGAAGAUGGCGGAUCUAUUCAGGAGGUGGAAGACUGAGCUGAAAACAAAGUUUGUCGACAAAGACAAGACUCCAGAAUUCACCGGCCGGUUUGAGAAGAUCAGAGAUCACUAGGACGCAUUUGUGGCCCACAAGACAUCGCAAAAGAGUAAGAAGAUGUCAGCGACAAACAAGAUAAAUGCUGCGAAGAAGGAGCAUCACCAUCGCACGGGGUCAGGUGAAUGACCUACUUGAUAAAGGGGUCAAACCAGAGACAUUGAACUGGCCAGACCGUUCAAGGACUUGGUUCUUCGGGGUUGGCGGAACCUUGGACCCUGUAAUAGGGAAGUGCGUUUGGACGAACGAGCAACUGCGAAUACCCGUCACGAAGCUUCAGGACUAUAUCGCACAGCGCAGGAAGGGACGUUCAUUCCAGACAGAGAGAAUAAUGAGCUCACAAUGGCCCUCGGGAAUCCAGAGCACCCUGGACGGACACGAGGCACGCCAGGCUCCGUUCUGUGGAAUGCUGGGUUUCUGGACGUAGGCGGUUACAAAUGCCAGGAGAGGAGGAAGUAAGUGGAGCAGACCCAACUGUAGAAGCUGCAUGCAAGGGUACAAGCGUUAGAGGAAUGAGAAGCAGUUCGCAGCAAGUGACCUGCCGAAGCUACCCCGCAAUCUCAGCGGAGAAGCAGCGUGGCUUCCACUGAGUUGCUUCAAGAGCCUGUCUUGACGGCUCCUACUAGCGACCCCGUGGAUGCUAUCACGGAGUCUCAACAUUGCCACCUUAUGACGCAAUGGCAGCAAUUCAAAGUCAAGGCGGCUGUCGGCUCUGUUCGACCUCCUGAACCCGGUGCAACUUUUCACUGCCGUCCAAUUCCAGAAGGAUAUGCUAGGGUGACGGUGGACGAAAUAACGGAGGGAUUUGAGGACCUCGAGCUUGACCACCCUACCGGUGAAGAGGAGACUCUCGGCUGGGUUCUGCUCUGAAGACUCCAUGCCUAUGGCGGAAGGAGCUCAUCAACCUUCUGAGCUAGACACCUCCGCCUCCUCCUCCUCCUCCGGCGAGUCCGGGCACUCCGCCUCCUCCUCCGCCUCCUCCUCCGGCAAGUGAUCAGGGCACUCCGCCUCCUUCUUCGGCGCGUGGCGGCACUCCGCCUCCUUCUCCGCCUGCGCCGGCGCGCCCGAGCAGCCAGCCUCCUCCUUCUCCGCCUCAUCAGCAAGGGAAGAAGAGACCCGCCGCCGCUCCGGCUGCUCCGGCACGUCGUAGUCCUUCUCCUCCGCCUCGUAAGCAAGGAAAGAAGACAGCCGCAGCCGCUCCGUCUGCUCCGGCGUCUAGCAGUACAGCCAGAGGCGGGAGGCAAUACAGAUUCAGUCCAUCUCUCAAGCCUCUAGAGAAGUUACCAUACGAGAGGACCGACGAUGAAAAUGCGAAGAUCUGUAAAGCCGAAGUGAGGGACUUAUUUGAAGCGGUGAAAGCAAAGAAACAUCCACCUCCGGAGGAGAAGAUAGAUCUGGUGAAAGUGAAGCGCACUAUCGAUGCCCUGAAGCAACCACCACCUUCUCCGCCGCAAUCCAACUAUGAUCGCAUUAUUGAAAGGUCAUUUAUCGCAGCGGAUCGGUCAGGAAGUACUAUCAGUGAUCGAAGGUUAGCAGAACGACGAGCUGGGAAAAAAAUUGCCCAGCUCGGCGAACAACUGAACCAAUCGUGCCCCCCGCUCAAGGUGUCUAGUGAUAUCGUCGUUAAUCAUUCGGAGAUUUGCCCGGUACCGAUCUUGGAGAUUACCUGCCCGACGAUAUAUAUUAUGAUACAAUGGAGGUGGACGAACACAAAUACCAUUACGGGAAGCCUCUCAUCAAAGAUGAAAGAUCUCUAACAACGAUGAUGCGAAGAUUCCAUGAUUGGUACAUGAAAACCUGUAGAGAGUCUGGGGGAAGGAUACUUUGACACUGAGAGUUAAAGAGGAGCAUGACCUCGCUGGAAUUGAACUGCUGACUCUUCCAUUUGAGGAGUUCUUCCAGUUUUUUAAUCAAAAGGCCCUCGAUAAUUUAAUGGUCACUUGCUACUGUCUGUAAGUACUACUUCUUUCAUUAAGUCUCUAUAUAUAGCUCAGCUCUUUCAUUGCAUGUAUAUAUAAUUAUCCUCACUAUAUUAUGUAGAUUGAAGAUCGCCGAAUGAAGAAAAUACAAAUCGGUGAUAUUGGGUUCAUUAACACAAAUCUCAUAGAUGAAUAUACGGUUAAAUUUCAUGCCAAAGAUACCGAGGCCAACUUGCUACGAUCGUUGGUAAAAAAUCAAAACAAAGAUAUAAUACUCUUUUCUUACAACUUCAAGUGAGUGUUACUGUCUUGUGCAUAUUCGAUUUCCCUUAUUAGUCGAGGUUAUAGUAAUGUAAUUGAUGAGUUAUGCAUGCAUGCACAGCUUCCACUAUAUUCUCCUAGAGAUUAAGCUUGAGCAGGGACUAGUAACCGUCUUAGACUCGAGACGAAAAGAUCCCCAGGAGUAUGCGGACAUGACUGAAAUGCUCGAGAAGUAAGUUAAAUCGAUCAUUAUCGCACCAUAUCGGCAACUUUGUUCAUUUCCUGAUAUCAAGUAAUUGUUUUCUUUGUCUGGCAGGGUUUGGAAAAAAUUCACCGCAAAAGCUCCGGGACUGCCGGGGAAGCUGCGAUUUACACACCCGAAAGUAAGUACUACUAGCUAGUUCUGCUCAUCUCCUAGUGAUUCAAGCGCUAGUUUCAUCAAUACCAUUUAGCAUGCUUGCUUAUCAGUUUGAUUGAUCUCUAUUUCUUCUAAAGUGGUUGUGGCAGGAAGCCGGGAAUAAUUACUGUGGAUACUACGUUUGCGAGUCCAUCCGCCACACGACUUGUGAGCGGGGCUACUCUAACAAACAAUAUGAAGUGCGUAAGCAAUAAUAUUCACAAUUUUAUUUUAUUACCAUCAUUUGUGUUGAGUUCCAUUCAUUCAUAUAUAUGUAUUGACCCCCUUAUUCAAAUUAGGUGUUUCAGAUGCGGGAUGAACUCCUAGCACAAGAUCGCAUGCGAGCAAUUCAAGAGGAAUUGGCGUGAUUCUUUCUUGACCACGUGAUCAAUAAAGACGGAGAAUACCAUGUGGAACCUGAGUUCAUAUAUAAUUAGGGGAUUAUAUUGUAAGAAAUUUUAUAUUGUAUAUAUGUAGCCAGUAGCGUCGGAUAGAUAUACGAAAACUUUUUGUUCGACCAAUCUCUCGGAGAAGGAGAGGUCAAUAUCACUUCUCUCUGUAUGCAUAUGUUCAUGACGAUCUUCUGUACUUAAUGGUUUCCUUCAUUUGCUUACUAGCUAGCGUGUCGAGUCCUCUCUAUACGUAUAGCACGUAGCAUCGACCAAGCAAGGAGAUAAGAGAGGACACUUCUCUCUAUUAAUUAGCUAGCUAACACAAUAUAUGAAACACCUAAAUUAACCCUACAAAACCNNNNNNNNNNNNNNNNNNNNNNNNNNNNNNNNNNNNNNNNNNNNNNNNNNNNNNNNNNNNNNNNNNNNNNNNNNNNNNNNNNNNNNNNNNNNNNNNNNNNNNNNNNNNNNNNNNNNNNNNNNNNNNNNNNNNNNNNNNNNNNNNNNNNNNNNNNNNNNNNNNNNNNNNNNNNNNNNNNNNNNNNNNNNNNNNNNNNNNNNNNNNNNNNNNNNNNNNNNNNNNNNNNNNNNNNNNNNNNNNNNNNNNNNNNNNNNNNNNNNNNNNNNNNNNNNNNNNNNNNNNNNNNNNNNNNNNNNNNNNNNNNNNNNNNNNNNNNNNNNNNNNNNNNNNNNNNNNNNNNNNNNNNNNNNNNNNNNNNCACGUACGUGGUAGCUUAUUGGUCCCGGUUGGUGCUACCAACCGGGACAAAAGGCCCCCCUGCCAGGGCAAGCCGCAGCGGCCACGUGGAGCCCCAUCUGUCCCGGUUGGCAUAAGAACCGGGACUAAAGGUGUUGGGCUUUAGUACCGACCCUUUAGUCCCGGUUCCCAAACCGGGACAAAUGGGCCCUAUGAACCGGGACAAAUGGCCCUUUUUCUACUAGUGUCCCGAGGUGAACGUACCUGUGGCGGGUUACUUCCCCCGCCUGCCAUAGUUAGACUAUUGGUUGUGGCGAGCAUGUAUUGGCACCCGCCACUGCUUGUUUUCAAAAUAGCUGCACGGGUGCCACGCCUUGCCCGCCACUAGUUUAUGAUCUCCUAUAGGCCCUUUCCCUAUAGUGUCUUUUGGAUUUCCAGUUUUUAAAAUGUUUUAUCUCUUAAAUGAAACACCCGAUUAAAAAUCCGUUUUCACCAUUAAAUCCGUCACACCGAGAUCUUCGAAACUACAUCUCAAUCGAUAUGUUUCGAUGACUUUUUUUUUAAACUUGCCAUGUCUAUUGCACAUAAAAUGCCAUGGUGUUUAGAUUGAAGUUGCCAUGAUAUGUUUUAACUACCUUUUCUUCUAUGAUUAAAGUAAAUUUUGACAUAUUAUGAAAAAAUAAAUUAAGAAACUAAAGUUGACAUGGUGAAUUACUAAAAGUUUCCUUGAUCCAUGAAAUAAUUUUGACAUGGUUCAUAAUUAAAAAAAAUUAUGUCAUCAAUUAAAAUUUAUGCUCAAUGAAUUAAAUUAUCCAUGAACCAUAAAAAAAUUUCCAUGGUGAAUUACUUAAAUUUGCCAUGAUACAUGCACUAAAAUUUGCCAUGGUCCAUGCAUACAAAAAAAUCAUGGUAAAAAAACUAGAAAUUUCCAUGGUCAAAAUACUAAAAUUGCCAUAAUCUGUAAACUAAAGUUGCCAUGAUAAAUUACUAAAAAUUGCCAUGAUCCAUGAAGUAAAUUUGUCGUGGUUAAUUACUAUAACUUGUCGUGCUCAAUUAAUAAAAAUUUCCAUGAAAGUAUUUGAAAUACAAUGGCAGCUUUAACUAGAAGAAAAAACAGAUGAAACAUAUCAUGUCAACCUUAGUGUAAACACUAUGGCUUCUUUAGUUUAAACAUCAUGGAAACUUUUGGCCUAACAAAACGUCGUCAAAACAUAUCAACAUGGGAUCUAGUUUUGAAGAUCCCGUCGAGAUGGAUUUAAUGGUGAAAAUGGUUUUUAAUCACAUUUUCUAUUUAGGAAAUAAAAUAUGUUUAAGUUUGAAAACCAAAAAGAUUCCCGCUGAUGUCAUAUGUUUUAACGUGGCAAGUGGAUGGCAAUGGAGGCAUUUGGGCCAUGUUGAAUUGUGCCACACAUGUGGACAUUUAGGUAGAUUUUAUGGGCGCUGGCCCACUAAAUCUUGUACACCAGCCCAGUUAAAAUUAUGAAUGUGAGAGGCCUAUUUGAGUUGCGUGGCAAGUGUGUGAGUCAAGUAUCAUAUGCUAUUUAACAAAGUUUAGUACAUGUCACAUCGUCGCGAUGGGUGAAUCGAGUUUGGGCAAUAUUCUGACCAACCCAGGAUCCCGUAGAUCGAUCAAGGAUGAAGUAAGAAGUGAGGAUGUGCAGAACAAUAUUCUGAACACCGCUGACAGAAAUAAUUAGUACACUAGCGGAGAGCAAUUCCUAAGGGACAAAUGAGGUAUAGUCAUUAAAAGCCCAAUACUUUUGCAUGCAGUAAUUACUUCUAAAAAGGAUGUUCGAGUACCCGUCACCUAGGAGCCUACAGGGGCCAGAGUUGCAUCUGCUCCGUCAAUUUCAGAGUGGUGUGCCAUGGGCGCUUCCCUAGGGCUCUCCAGGCCAUAGGAUCGUCCUAGACGUUGCGCACCUGAGUGACUUGCCUCAAUGGUCAAUGACAGGUGGACCGCGGGGGCGUAUGGGUUCACCAUCAUCUGGUGGCUUUCGUCGUGCCCGCUCGCCCAUGAGUGAUGGGCAUGGCUGACCCACCAGUCAACAUCUUCGCCCCUGACGGGCUCGUUCGAUCGCGCCAGGCGAGACAUGCGUCGCGGUCGCAACGAUGGCUUGCUUGUGGGGCCAGUACAUCAGGACUGUUCACCACGUGCCAAGUUGUUUCGGUCUGUUUCGUUGGCACCAACUAGGUGCGCAGGGGCGGGCUUGGUCGCAUGCGCUAACCAGGUGGUCUGCUGCGUGCUAAGUGUAGGUGCGAGUGUGGGGCCAGCCUAUCAAGAUCUUUCACCUCAUGUCCAGAUGAUACAGGUUGUUUGGUUUGCACCACUCGGGUAUGCAUAGGUGACCCUGCUUGGUUUGAGCCCAAUGACAUGUGUCGUCCGGCUAAUGGACGCAAAACCAGAAAGACCACGCACAUGGAUGCACCCGGCUGGGGCGGCCGAAUAUACCCUGGUAGGGUUGUGUUUGUCCUGACAUUCUCUGGCCAGUUAGCAUUGUAAGGUGGUUGCAUGCCUCAUGGGUCCCGUUUGUGCUCCCGUGUCCGCGUGCCCAUCCUAUGUGGGGAUUAUGUCAGCUCGUUUGUCCCUAUGUAGCGGUAAUCUUUAGCCCAUCUCCUUCUUUUGCUUUCUUUUCUCCCGUUUUUCGGGGUGCCCAUCCCUUGCUUGCCUCCACUAGAAGUUCUCUUUGGCUUACUCCCUGUCGUCCCGUCAUGCCACCCGUCGCUCGCGUCACGCCACUAGCGGCUCUCUUCGAGGUCCUCCCUUGCCAUCGAGGUCCGGUGUGGCAUUUGCCUUGGCACUGUCUCAAGCUCGGCGGUUGUGGCUCAGCCCUUACGAGUUUCUUCUUCUCAUUGCUUGGCUCUUAAGUUGCUGCUUCAGGUGAGUUGCUUCUUUGCUUUUCUGUUGCUCUUUUUUCCUUACGUGGUAGGAACAAUGCUUAUGUUUGAAUGUUAAUUGGGGCGUGCAGAGGGUAGGAUAGCAGGCGCCCGCGUGGCAACUUGAGAGCGUUACUCUUCAUACAUCAACAAUGUCAAACAAUUCUCCCUUUUUGCCUCAUCUACCUCCUUCGCUGUGGAUUAACUGCAUUCGAUCCCGGAGUACUACCUUAUGUUGUCAAGUUGCCAUAGCUUUUUUCUCAUUUUUUCGGAGAAAAUGCACAACAUGAUUCGUUGCCCCGUUCCGCCUGCCUGCUCCGACUGUGAUGCCAACUCUUAUCUCGCCACGACCUGUGGUAAUGCUCCCAGUUGUGGAACCAACACCUAUUGCUAGCCGUAAUGCCAGAUCCUUCAACGCCAGCACUUGUCGCGGUUUGAGAUGGGAAUGGCGGUGCCCUUACAAUGAUGCUGUGGGCUGCACCUAACCAUGGGUUUUGGGAGGACUACCGCAAGGGAGGACAUCGCCCGGCUCCGUCCAUCUAAACAGAAGUGUGUUAGAACUUUUGGCAGGACCACGCAGCUGGUGGACGACACCGAAGAGGAGGCCGAUGACAAAGUGAGCACCUUAGACUUGACAUUGGCUUGAGCUUCCAAUAUGUACUUGGAGGCCUCACAACAUCUAAUCGCUAAUAAAACUAGCUUUUCCCUCGAUAAACAAAUAUCAUUCAUGCUUUUUAUACUGUUAUCUUAUAUGCUUGGAUGGAUCACAGGAAAAAAAAACUCUGUGACGAUGAGUUGAAUAUCAUGUUUAAAAUUUAGUAGCAACCUCUAAUUUAUUUAAUCUGGUAUUUCUUACACUGAUCAAAGGGGCGGAGCCACCGGUGUAGCGUUGGGUUCAAGUGAACCCAACGAAUUUUUGCAGCCACGUACGUGUGUAUAGGUAAUUGUGUGUAUGAACCCAGUCGAAAAUCUAGGCUGCACCCAUCAGCAUUGGAAUGCCCGAGCAAAAAGCCUAUUAGCCCCCAAAUCUUAACGCAACUAGCACAGCUGAAGCCCAUAAGUAAAUUUCUACGGCCUCCGUGUGUGUGUCAGAUUCCAUGUCUCGUACCAGAUUGUACACACCAGAUCGCAUCUCUCGCUCGGACUCAGCAAGGUCUUCCAUCUGGUCGCCUCUCCCUAUCUCCAGCAGCAAGCCCGCAAGGAACCAACGGCAGGUCGGUGUGAAGUACAUAUUCAACAUAAUGGGAGAUCACAUCAUGUUCUUUUUUGUAUCUUCUAUUUAUCCUAUCGUGGUAAUGGCCUUUGCCCUAUUUUUCUAAUUAACUUUUCCGUAACUUUGAUUGAUCUAGGAUGUGGAGCGAUAGUUCAUGAAGACAAACUGAUCACAAGAUUCAGAUUGUGAUGUAGGCACUUCAAGGCCACGUGUUAGAUAUUGGUAAAGUGCAUCAAAUGUUGUUUAUCCAAGUAGUGUUAUGAAGCCCACUACACCGAGAAAUAGUAUGAAGAUGAUCCAUCUAUUAGUGGUGUUGCUGCCUUUCACAGAUCACAGCGAGGAAAGUUGGGAGUAGCUGGAAAGGUUGAAAGGGGUCACUCUGAAAUGUGAGUGAUUGUACAUGCUUUUUAUUAUUGAUGGUACGUAUUAUACACUGGUCAAACUAACUUGACAUUUUUUACGGUGUUCUCGAGAAGGAGAAGCCACGCCUGAAGCUAUGUAGUUAUUUUGAUGCUACUCUACUCACAAUAUGUAAACAAGAGAAAUUUAUAGUUUCAAUCAACUGAUAUGUCUUGCAAUUUUUUAUUUUACAAAGGUUGUAGUAUUUUGUGUUCAAUGUAUGAAAUAUGAGUUCUACCGUAUUUCUAUCUGUUAUGUUGUCUUUGGGUCCUAUAGUCUUGUUACAUGAUAGUGUGAAAUUGGACAUUAUACUUAAUUAAGUCAUACUAAAAUUUCAAAAUGAAUUAAUGACUGAACCCAUUAACUAGAUUUCCUGGCUCCGCCCCUGACUGAUCAUGAUGUGUACACAUAGACCUCAGAGAGAGAAAUAACAUAUGAGAUAAUUUGUGGUGUUCAUAUUUUAUUUCAUAUUAAAUAUAGUGGAGUUCACAUAUAUAGUAACUUGUUUUAGUACAAGGUUUAUGUCAUCUAUGACUUCCAGUUAUAAGGUUCAACGUUUAAGUUUGGAUUCAAUUAUGUUUAAUCUGAUUUGCAUGGGCUGGGUUCGAUGCGAAAAACCACUUCUCUGCAUGUACUCCAAUGAGCAUUAUUUUGAAUAGUGUCAAAAUGGUAUUUUAAAGUUUCAUAUAAUCCAAUAAAAAUUCUAUAUUAAAUUCAUAUGAGUGUACACUACACAUGUGUGAAAUUUAUGUGAGGCGAUAAGUACCUAUGUGAGCUACACAAAAAUCGCAAAAUAAGAUUUUGGGAAGAUGAAUAGUGUAUGUACUGCUUGCUAUUCAGAAAUCAAGAUUUUGCCAUUUUUGUGUAGCUCACAUGUUUAGUUAUUUCAUCACAAUAUUGUACACAUGUGUAACAUGCAUCCAUAUGAACAUUCAUAAUUCAUUUUCGGAAUUUUUUGAAACAAAAAAUGGGAUUUUUGAACUAUAGAAAAUAAAGUGCUUCAAUGCCCGCGUGCUAAAAAAUCAGUCACAUGUAUAUGCCAAAUUUGUAUUCAUGCAUGCAAAUUAAAAAAGGAAAGUCGAUCCUCAGAGGAAGCGCGUGGAUACAUUGUGCGCAAUUUUUUUAGUUGUGGUUGUUGCAAUUGGAAUAUGGGUCGAAUUUUCCUUCAUUGAGAUGGCUUGCGCUGGUAAUAAUUUCUGGAUGAUUUGGUCGACAUAGAAACAUUAUUUAGGGAGAUGUGCUUUGGAACCCAAGCUUCGGUGAGAUAGCUUUAAAAAAAUCAUAUUUGAAAGCCGUAAUGCCGCUCCUAGCUCCUUCAGCGCCCACACGUGUCGCGGUUCCAGAUGGGGAUGGCGGCGCCCGUAGAAUGAUGACGUGGCCUGCACCUUACCGUGGUUUUUGGGAGGACUACCGCAGGGGAGGGCAUCGCCCAUCUCCGUCCAUCCAAACUGAAGUGUGUAUGAGCAUUUGGCAGCACAGCGCAUCUGGUGGACGACACCAAAGAGGAGGCCAAUGAUACAGGGAGCAUCUUGUACUUGACAUUAACUUGAGUUACAAAUAUGUACUUGGAGGCCUCCAACAGCUAAUCGCUAAUAAGACUAGCUUUUCCCUUGAUAAACAAAUAUCAUUCAUGAUUUUCAUACUGUAUUUUCUUAUAUGAUUGGAUAGAUCAUAGGGAAUACAAAACUCUUUGACGAUGAGUUGAAUAUCAUGUUUAAAAUUUAGUAGCAAUCUCUAGUUUGUUUAAUCUGGUAUUUCUUACACUGAUCACAGGAGCGUAGCCACCGUUGUAGUGAACCCAAUGAAUUUUCGCUGCCAUCUACGUGUGUAUAGGUAAUCGCGUGUAUGAACCCGGACGAAAAUCUAGGCUGCACACAUCGGCAUUGGAUUGCCCGAGCUAAUAGGCUAUUAGCCCACAAAUCUUCACACGACAAGCACAGCUAAAGCCCAUAAGUAAAUUUCUACGGCCUCCAUAUGUGCGUCAGAUUCCAUGUCUCGUACGAGAUUGUACGCAUCAGAUUGCAUCUCUCGCUCGGCCUCACCAAGGUCUUCUGUCUUGUCGCCUCUCCCUAUCUCCAGCAGUGAGCCGACAAUGAAGCAACAACAGGUCAGCGUGCAGUACAAAUUCAAGAUAAUGGCAGAUCACAUCACCAUAUGUUAUUUUUGCAUCUUCUAUUUAUCCUAGCGUGGUAAUGGCCUUUGCAUUAUUUUUCUAGUUAACUUUUCCGGAACUUUGAUUAUUUUAGGAUGAGGAGCGAUAUUUCUUGAAGACAAACUGAUCACCAGAUUCAGAUUGUGAUGUAGGCACUUCAUGGCCACAUGUUAGAUGUUGGUAAAGUGCAUCAAAUGUUGUUGAUGCAAGUAGUGUUACGAAGCCCACUAAACUGAGAAAUAAUAUUCAGAUGAUCCAUCAAAACGGGGAAAGUUGGGAGUUGCUGGAACGGUUGCAAGGGGACACUCUGAACUGUGAGUGAUUGUACAUGGUUUUUAUUAUUGAUGGUACGUAUUAUACACUGGUCAAACUAACUUGACAUUUUUGACGGUGUUUUCGAGGAGAAGCCACACCUGAAGCUAUGAAGUUAUUUUCGUGCUACUCUACUCACAAUAUGUAAACAACAGAAAUUUAUAAUUUCAUCCAACUGAUAUGCCUUGCAAUUUUUUAUUUUAAAAAUAUUGUAGUAUUUUGUGUUUAAUGUAUAAAAUAUGAGUGCUACCGUAUUUCUAUUUGUUAUGUUGUCUUUGGGUCCUUAAGUCUUGUUACAUGAUAGUGUGAAAUUGGACAUUAUACUUACUUAAGCCAUACUAAAAUUUCACAAUAAAUUAAUCAUUGAACCCAUUAACUUGAUUUUCUGGCUCCGCCGCUGACUGAUCAUGAUGUGUACGCAUAGACCUCAGAGGGAAAAGAAACAUAUGGGAUAAUUUGUGGUGUUCACAUUUUAUUUCGUACUAAAGAUAGUGGUGUUCAUAUACAUAAUAACUUGUUUUAGUACAUGGUUUGUGUCAUCUCUGACUUCCAUUUAUAAGGUUCAUGUUUCAAUUUGUAUUCAAUUAUGUUUAAUCUCAUUUUCACGCAAGAAACCAUUUAUGUGCAUGUACUCCAGUGAGCACUAUUUUGAAUAGUGUCAAAAUGGUAUUUUAAAGUUUCAAAUAAUCCAGUAAAAUUUAUAUAUGUUUAUAUGAAUGUACACUACACAUGUGUGAAAUUUAUGUGACGCGAUAAGUAACUAUGUGAGCUACACAAAAAUGACAAAAUAAGAUUUUGGGAAGAUGAAUAGUGUAUGUACUGAUCACUAUCUAGAAAUCACGAUUUUGCUAUUUUUUUUGCAAAAAUGAUAAUUAUGAUGUAUUCUCAAAAGCUAAGAGUGGCAAAAGAAAAAUGUUAAAUUUUUAAAUAACGAAAAUUUGCAAAAGCUAAAGUGGCGAAAACAAAAAUCUUCCAUGAAAAUCUAGCAAGAGUGACCAACCACCUUGUAGAAUCUGAGUUAGUCAUUCGAACGAACAUGUGAUUGGAUGGUUAGGAAGACAGUGAUAUCUCUGGCCCAUCUGGGUUCAUGUUUUGGUGCUUGUAUUUUUCUAAAUUUAUUUUAGGAUUUUCGAUGAUGCGCGUUCGGUUCGAGAAAAUGUUCUCGUCGACUACGAGACACUUAUGAUGAAUUUGUCAAUCUCAAAAUGAUAUGCCAGUUCAGAGUGUAUGCACGUGUUUACGAAUGUCUGUGACUGGUGUUAGGAACACGUCCGAGUCACGACAACAGACAUCAGGGGAGUUGGUGAUGUUUCACGUAGACGGCAUGCAGUUCCGUCCGGCUCGCUAUGAAUGAGCAAAGUAAGUCACCAACGUCACAUGAUCAUUAACGGCGCCCCUCGGCUGCUACUAGUAGUAAGAGUAUUUAUCCCCACAUCACUCCCAGGCUCCCAGCUGCCUCCAUCCGUCCCCUUUUCUUCCCCCUCCUCCGACGACACUCCUGCAGGGUUCGCGCCAGCGAGCAUGCACGCAAGACGACUGAUGUCGACGGGAGCCGUAGCGGAGCCGGAGACGGACGACGGCUACGAGGCCGUCUUUAACGUGAAUGUCUUCUCCGACAGGGAGCUGCAGGUAGAGGUCGUCGGCCAUGACGACCACGCGCCCGGGUCCGGCGCCAGCCGCAAGCGCCGCCGUGAGGAGGACAAAGGUGCAUGCAAUAGCCAGCAUCCAAGCCUCCGUUGGUGCGUUGGUCGGUACCGUUGACUAUUUUAGUCUUCUAUUUUCCGUUCCUUUUCUUCAGGGUGUUAGUUUGGUACAACGUCCAUACCAAAUUAUUAACAUCCGUUCCUACACAAAUCUAAAACAAGUAAUUUGGCACGGAGAGUUCUGAUUCUUCAUUAGCUAGUAAAUUCAUUUAAGGUAAUUAAUUUAGCUUUAUGUUCUUCACAUUUUUGGGUAAUUAGUUUUCCACAAAUCCAUAUGCAUAUCUGAUGAAUGGAUAUCAUAUUUAUAAACAGAUUUGUAUAUGUUCUUCAAUCCACUGCACUGCACAUACUUGAAUGCAGCAGAACUUUAUGUAGCUGGUGAGAAAAACUAGAACGAUUUGGCAUAAUUUGUAUUACCUCCAUCCUGAAAAGGUUGCCCUAGUUUUGUCCAGAUACAGAUAAAGUUGUAUCUUGUCAUGGUAAAGAAAUCGGCUGAUUAACCAGUUAACUGACUAAUUAAUCCCUACUCGUAGGGUCACCAAGUAGCCAAUAAAUUGAUUAAUCUACCGAUUAAUGGAUUAAUUGUCUGAUUAGCCUAUUAAUCCUCUACUUGCCAGCCAACCGAGUAGCUACCAAUUAAUGAUAUCGUCAACAUUGAUCGAGCACUAACGUCCUCUUCAGGACGGAAGGAGUAUGUGACUAGAAGUAGACAUUCACUUUGCCUUGCCGUUUCCUUCGUAGGUUUACUUGUUUUUUGGGGUUGUUUUUCGUGUGUGGCUCCUUUUGUGUUCCUUUUCGUAAUUUGUUGGGGGUGGCCAUGUUGUGAGAUCCAUUUAGAACGUAUAAAUUGUUGAAGAGCCCAAGAUCUGAAGCAUCGAAAGAAUCAGUGCACUGUUUUUUAUUCUUCAGAAAGUUCUAUUUAGCAUAGUUUUUCCAGAAAGGUUGAAGAGAAAGCAACUGAGGCAGCACAAGAGCAGGGUGCCUGUGCUAGAACUCAUGGGAGAAAUAAAUACUAGCUUGGCGGAUACUUUUACCUGCAAAUAAAUUGUCUAGCUAGUAAUUCUGCUCACAUUGAGAACAUCAUGUUCCAGAUAUUUUUACCAGCAAAAAGCUUAUCUAGUAAUUCUGCUAUGUGCCUUCUUGUCCUAGUGUUGCAUGUUGCAUUAUAUUUAUCCAAACUUGGUAUUUAGAAGAUAUUGACUCAUCUUGUACUGUGUCGAGUACACCGAUUUUACGAGUUGAGACUAUUUAUGUCAGUUCGGCGAUUCUUGCUGCAAAAAGUAGUUUCUUUUACAAGGUAAUUCGGACGAUCUACUGAAAUGCAUUUGUUCUAUAAUCUGUUGCUCAUCUUUCUGAUGAGCUUCAUGCUUGUUAGGUUUUCUCAAAUGGCAUGAAAGAAUCAGUCAGAACUGCUGAUUCUGGUAACAGUGUACUGUACUACUCUUUGCCAUUGUGAUUUUAUUAUUGUUGUAUGCACCUUUCGAAUUAAACAUGUUAAUAUUGUAGAGGGGCCUGUUUAGAGUUAGUUUGAUGAUUAAUUGGCUAUUGUCAUUUCAUCUACAUACUUUGCCUACCAAAUGCAUAUUUUCUCAUGCAUUAAGGUUUCACAGUUGAUCAUUACACUUCAGUAAUCAUCUUUGCGCAAAACAAUAUUUAUCCCUUUUCUUUUCUACUUCUUUAUUUAAUUUUUAUUACUGUUUGUGAUUUAUUGAACUGUUUCAUUAAUCCUUAUGCCUCCUUGCUUUCAUUUUCGACAGAGGAGAAAGCCUUCAUGGAGCUGUUACGCUUUAUGCAUAGUGGAAAGUUUACAGCAACAACUGAGCCCACUCCUCUGGUUGAUUUACUGAUGGCUUCUGACAAAUUUGAGGUCGUUUCCUGCACGAAGCUUUGCAUUCAGCUUCUCAUGGUCCUGCCUAUGACUCCAGAAUCUGCAGUGAUGGGCCUAGAUCUCACAUGUUCCAUUUCAAUGGCAGCAGACCUGACAGAGGAAGCCAAGAAAUUCCUUGCCGAGAGGUACGUGGAAUUCCUGUCAACAGAGUAUGUGAUCCCAUAUUCAUUGGAUUGGGACACCUCUCCUUUUUCCCAUUCUUAGGAAGCAUGUGGACAUUGUUGUCACAAAAUGACAUGGUUUUGCUGCACUGCAGGUUCCAAGAUGAACUUAUGAUGAUCCCUCCUGCUGGGAUUGAGGCCAUCUUAUCAAGGAAUGACUUCGGGGUUGCUUCUGAAGUAACUGUCUAUGACUUCGUGCUCAGGUGGGCCUGUUCACCAUGCCCAAAUUCUGAAGAAAGGAGAAAUAUCUCGAGUUCUCGCUUACUUCCAGUAAUGCGUCUUCGUAUGACCAAUGCUGUUUAUUAUUCUUGUCGUACGGUUGACUGGGCUGUAAAGCGUGACCAGUGCCGUUCUCUACGUAUGCUGAGAGCAAUACUCAGUCAGCCAUUCUGUUGGGAAGAGUAUGUCUUCUCCCUCUCGGUACACUGGGUUGGUCAUCUUGGUCUCUAUAUAGAGAUGGAAAAAAACAAAGGGCCAACAAGAGCAGUGGUUGUUCACAUGUAACCCAUCCUAUGAAACUGAGAUUAAACAUAAUUGAAUCCGAAUUUUAGCGUCGAACUAUAUUAAAUGAACUAAUAGCUAACACAAACCAUUUACUAAAAGAAGCUAUUGUAUAUGUGAACACCACAAUCUUUAAAACAAAUAAAAUGUGAACACCACAAACUAUCUCAUAUGUUAUUUUCCCUCUGAGAUCUAUGCGAACACAUCAAGAUCAGAGUAAGAAAUACAAGAUUAAACAGACUAGAGAUUGCUACUAAAUCUUAACCAUGAUAUUCCAUUUAUCGUCACGUGGUUUUGUUUUUCCUGAGAUCUAUCCAAACAUAUAUGAUAAUCGUAUGAAAUGCAUGAAUCGUAUUUGUUUAUGGAGGGCAAAGCUAGUAUUAAAGAUGACUAGCUUUUCGCCAGGCCUCUAAGUACAUAUUUGUAGCUCAAACCAUUUUAAGAAAGUAAUAGACGAGACAAAACAUGUAUAUUAAAAGAAGCAAUUAUAUGUCUGGGAACAUCAAUCAUCGUUCAUGUUGUCUUAUUCCUUUGAGAUAUAUCCAAACACAGCAACAUCGUUUAUGGAGGCCCCCAAAUCCCGUUGGCCCGCCUACACCUCUCCUCCUCCUCCUUCUCCCUCGCCGCCGCCUGAGGGCGUGGCGGGCCCUCAGGGACCUCCCGCUCAUGAGGGGCUGGCGUGGGCCGGCGCCCCCGGGCCAGAGUGUGGCGUGCGGCCAGGCGUCACAGGUGGUGGUGGCGGCGCUCCGCAAUCCCGUACCUUCGCGGUAGGCGGCUUCAAGGUCUUGGGAGUCGCGGUAGCCUUGGACGGCGGCGGUGUGUCCGGAUCGGCGGCGGCGUUGUCGAAUCUAGGCCCAGGCGUGGGCUUGGUCACCGCGUCGCGGUCGGCGUGGUGGCGGGUGCGACAAGUCGGCAGCUGGGCGGAUCUGUCGGAUUCCCCCCUUGUCUAGUCCUUGACAGUGCGGUCAACUCCGAGGGAAACCCUAGAUCUCCUUGGGAUCGAGCGAUGGCGGUGCUUUUGCGUCGUAGUCCUUCUUCAGGGCAUUGUUUUGGAGUUUUCUCCAGUUAAAAGGACCAGCGUCGCCGGCGGCACACGCCCGGUGGCGCAACUGCCGAUGAAAAUCGCGCCGACUACGGUCAUGGCGGACGAUGACGGCGUCUUUGAUGUCAUUUUCCUUUUCGAGGCAGCGUCGUUGCAGUUUAUGUCAUCAGGCUCGGGAUGCUCUAGUGGAAAUCCUAGAUCUGGAUCUCCUAGAUUGGACGGUGGUGGAGUUCUCAGUAACGCUUUCCCUCCUGGGGGCAUCGUUUUGGAGCAAGUGAUGGUCGGAGGUUACAAGAGGAGCGGUGUUACUCAAGGAAAUAUGCCCUAGAGGCAAUAACAAAGUUAUUAUUUUAGAUUUUCUUAUUCAUGAUAAAGGUUUAUUAUUCAUGCUAGAAUUGUAUUGAUCGGAAACCUUAAUACAUGUGUGAAUACAUAAACAAAUGACGUGUCCCUAUUGAGCCUCUAGUAGACUAACUCAUUGACCAAAGAUGGUUAAGGUUUCCUAACCAUGGAUAGGAGUUGUCAUUUGAUAACGGGAUCACAUCAUUAGGAGAAUGAUGUGAUGGACAAGACCCAUCCGUUAGCUUAGCAUAAUGAUCGUUAAGUUUUAUUGUUAUUGCUUUCUUCAUGUCAAAUACACAUUCCUUCGACCAUGAGAUUAUGCAACUCCCGGAUACCAGAGGAAUGCCUUGUGUGAUAUCAAACGUCACAACAUAACUGGGUGGUCAUAAAGAUGCUCUACAGGUAUCUCCGAAGGUCUUUGUUGAGUUGGCAUAGAUCGAGAUUACGAUUUGUCACUCCGAGUAUUGGAGAGGUAUCUCUGGGCCCUCUCGGUAAUACACAUCAUAAGGUUGUAAGCAAACGACUAAGGAGUUAGUCACGAGGUGAUGUAUUACAGAACGAGUAAAGAGACUUUUCGGUAACGAGAUUAAACUAGGUAUGAAGAUACCGACGACCGAAUCUUGGGCAAGUAACAUACCGAUGGGCAAAAAGAAUUACGUAUGUUGUCAUAACGGUUCGACCGAUAAAGAUCUUCGUAGAAUAGGUAGGCGCCAAUAUGGGCAUCCAGGUUCCGCUAUUGGUUAUUGACCAGAGAGGUGUCUUGGUCAUGUCUACAUAGUUCUCGAACCCGUAGGGUCCGCACGCUUAACGUUCAAUGAUGAUAUAGUAUUAUAUGAGUUAUGUGAUUUGAUGAACGAAUGUUGUUCGGAGUUCUGGAUGAGAUCACGAACAUGACGAGGAGUCUCGAAAUGGUCGAGAGGUAAAGAUUGAUAUAUAGGACGAUAGUAUUCGGACACCGAAAGUAUUCUGGAGGGUACCAGGUACAUAUUGGGUCACCCGAAGGGGUUCCGGGCACGUGCGACAAAAGAUAUGGGCCAUAUGGGCCAAGAGGGGAAAUGCACCAGCCACAAGGGGCUGGUGCGGCCCCCAUAUGGGCCGAACCAGGAGAAGGAAAGAGGGGAAGGGAAAGGAAAUUGGGGGAAGGAGGGGGAUUCGGCCUCCCCUUCUUUCCCUCCUCGCUCCUCUCUUUCCUUCCGCCUCCGGCAAAUAUGGCAGGGGCGCACGGCCAAGGGGAGACCCCAAGUAGUAUUCGGCCUACUUGGGCGCCUCCUGGCAGCCUCCCCUCUCCCUCCCACCUAUAUAUAUAGGGCUGGACUAUUCUGUUACUAGUAACAGAAUAUUAUUUUAUUACCCCUUGGCCCUAUAAGGGCGCGACGCGCAGGCCACAGCAGAAACUCCCCGACCCGACCCCAACCUAACCAGCCUCCUACCGCCGAAGGGAGCCGUCGCGGGCGAGCGAGCGACGACGGCAGCCGGAGCGAGGGAGCCCGCGGCGCCGUGACGGGUCGCUCCUNNNNNNNNNNNNNNNNNNNNNNNNNNNNNNNNNNNNNNNNNNNNNNNNNNNNNNNNNNNNNNNNNNNNNNNNNNNNNNNNNNNNNNNNNNNNNNNNNNNNNNNNNNNNNNNNNNNNNNNNNNNNNNNNNNNNNNNNNNNNNNNNNNNNNNNNNNNNNNNNNNNNNNNNNNNNNNNNNNNNNNNNNNNNNNNNNNNNNNNNNNNNNNNNNNNNNNNNNNNNNNNNNNNNNNNNNNNNNNNNNNNNNNNNNNNNNNNNNNNNNNNNNNNNNNNNNNNNNNNNNNNNNNNNNNNNNNNNNNNNNNNNNNNNNNNNNNNNNNNNNNNNNNNNNNNNNNNNNNNNNNNNNNNNNNNNNNNNNNNNNNNNNNNNNNNNNNNNNNNNNNNNNNNNNNNNNNNNNNNNNNNNNNNNNNNNNNNNNNNNNNNNNNNNNGCCGCGCACCACCAUCCCCGCCCCGCGCCGCCACCCCGAUCCCCUCCGCCGUGCGCCGCCCCUCCGAGCCCCGCCGCCCUGCGCCUGUCACCCCCCGCCUUGCGCAGCAUCCUACCGACCGGACCAGCCGCCGGCCGAAUCCAGCCUCACUCCCGAGCUUCGUCUUCUUCCUCGCCGAGACACGAGACAGUCACGCCAGUUCGGGCGUAGUAAGUACCUAAGUACGAGUUAAAAACGGUGGCCGUUCGGAAUAAAAAGAAAUGGCAGAAAUUCAAAUUGUAAAAGUUCAAGCAAAAAAAGAAACCCCAUGAAAAUCCUGCUUAGUAAGUACCUCAGUACAAGUCGUAAAAUGAGAGAAGUUCAGAACAUCGUUGUCAAAAUAAUGUUGAGUUCAAAAAAAGAAACAAAAUAAAACAUUUUAUUUUUGAAUAAAAUAUCAUUCAGUUCGAUGAUACAAACCAUGCAAAUACAGGGGCGACAAUACAGUAAAAACCGUUGAAAAUUUACGAGCAAAAAUAUUACCCAAAAACAGAGCAAAGUCUAGUUAGUGAAAACAUGCUUAGUACAAACUCAUGCAAACAUCAUUACAAGUACUCUUUUUCAGAAUAAUUCAAAAUUACUCUACAAAAAAUAGCUCAGUACAAACACACACAUAUAUCAGUACGAGUAUUCUGUUUUCCAGACGGGAAAACAGCAGGAUCCGUCUUGCCGUAUUCAAAAUUACUCUUAACCAAUUGCGAAUUUGAGAAAAUGUUUAACAUGACUAAGUUUCGCAUUUUCGGUAGCUUUUCAAUGGCAUAUUAUUUGCACCAUUUCAAUAAACUUUUUAACAAAAUCACGUCCAAAACCAACUUUAAUCGUAUUUGAAUUCGUAUUUAAACCGCAAGGAAUUAAAAAAACUUUCUAUACGCAAAAGUUGAGCAUUUUCCAUAGCUUUACAACGCUGUAUUAUUUGCGUCAAUCCGACAAAAUGUUUGCAAAAAACAGCGAAAAUACGUUUCACCCAGAAUUUCACCAUUUUUCAAAUUACUUUUAAAUCAUAUAGAAUUUGAAAAAAUAGUAGAUAUAUGGAAGACGCGGAUUUUCACAAGCUUUCCAAAGCCAUCUCAUUUGCUCAAUUCCGACAAACCGUUUAAAAAUUAAGUCCAAAAUACGAUUUGCAUUUUCGGUUUUGAAAAAACGGUUUUUUCAAAACUGCUCUUAAACCAUAUUUUUUUGUAAAAACAAAUUAUAAAAUUGUAAUUUAGAUGUCAAGAGCUUUCCAACGAUAUAUUACACGCCCCGUUUCGACAAAAAAAUUGCAAAAAAAUUAAACUAAAGAAGACGAUUUUUAAGAGAAACAAAAAGCAUCAGUUUAAGCGCUCGAAUUUCAUCAGUUCAGCCGCUUGACUUCAUCAGUUUUUGUAGGGUAAGAAAAUAGCCCAGAUACAACGCCCCUAUAUAAGGCCCGAUGAGAAUCAUCCCCAACUUCCGAACCGGAUGCGACAAAGAAAAAAAAUGCAGCCCACCUUCUUCCCCCGUGCUCUAUCCCACCCCGAUUCCACCUUCCCCCGCACACAACCACCGGCAGCCAUGGCCACCCCUGCCUCGCCCCUGCCCCGCCCCCAUAUUCGACCUCCGCGCCGCCUCAGCCCCCGGAUCCGGCCGCCGGGCUGACUCCGCCCCUGGAUCCGGUCGCCGGGCCUCCUCAUUCCCCUGGAUCCACCCGGCACCGAUCCCGCCACUGCCAGCGACCACCAAGCGCCGGCGCGCGGCCCCGCCGUCUACCUGUAGUACGCCGCCGCCCCUUCCCUGCCACCUAGGCUGCCCCCGGCCUCGCCCAGCUUCUCUUCCGGCGACGGCGGCCUCGUCAGCAGAGGAGCCCGCCAUGGCCAUGGGAGACGGCGACCUCCCCGACCUCCUGCGGGCCCUCUGGCCAACCGCUACCUCCCCACCCCGUCCCCCUCGCCUCCCGACCAACCACCGCCUCCCCAUCCCUUCGGCCGACCUGCAGAUGGGGGAGGUCUCGACCUGCAGCUGGGAGGAGUUCCGACCUGCACCUGGUCGCGCGCGCCGCUGCCAUUGAGGUCCACCACCAACAGGCGGCACGGCGGCAACCACCCCCGCCGCCGCCCCAUUCCGGCUCUCCGGCCGCCGGCGUCCAUCUCCGCGCAGCCACCGAGUCCCGGCAGCCAACAAGCUGUCUGGCGACCGUGGACCUUAGCCGAACACAAAAGCUGGCCCAGCCCCACCAUGCCUCUCCUCUUGUCGCGGCAGGCUCCUGCGCGCUGCAGUUCAUGAUGCCCUGGUCGAGGCGCUCAAGAGCUAUCUCCAUGGAGGGAUUGCAGCGGCACACCACGAGCUAUGAGUAGUCCAGACCCACCUGUGCUACUGUUGUUGUUGGUCCUCAGGUUGGCUGUGCCCAAAUCCAACGAGGAGCAGUAGUAGUAGCAGGUACCGGAGGAGAUCAAAGUGUGUGCUGUGGCGAGGAGUGUUGUUUGCAAAAUUUCCGUUGGCCUUCUCUAGUUGCGUCCUCGUUACUGCUGCUCCAGACAAGUAUGGACUGCAGGACGCCUCCACAGCAUGACCAAGUGUUGGUCUUUUUCUCUGAACCUCUUCCUUUCUGCUUGCACACUCUGAACUUGUUGCACCUCUGUUAGUAUGGAAUGAUUGUACAGUUGCCAAAACUAAUCGAUGCUGAUCCGGUACUCCAUUAACGUGUAGUAUAUUUGUUGCUGAGAUGAUUCAUUGACCAUACUUGCAUAUUCUUUAUUUUUUUUCUUGCUGUGCUCUCUCUGUUGCUAGCCUGCGUGUUCAUGGACAUAUUCAUGGCGGUUAGUAGUUGUGGCUGCUUCACAAAAUUUUAGCGCCAAGAGCUGCGUCUCCAACUUUGCUGAGUAGGUCCAGACGAAAAGCGAGUCAAAAACCAUUGCCCCUUGUGAUGCAAUGGAUCGGACACCAUAGGGUUCAAAGGAUUGGAUCUGGUUUCCUAUUAAUGCAUGCCUCACCAGCUGCUCAUAAAUAUGUGAUGUUAUGUCCUUUGAAUGCACUAGCCUGCGAGAGAUGACACUCCAUCCGCGCAUUGUAUGCUUGCCCAGAUACAAACAUCCGUCCUUUUGGACAUUUACAUCGUUUUUAUGGUACUAUUGGACCGCUAGUAAUUCCGACCGUAAUUGUUGCAUGACGAAAUAGGAAUGGUUUUGCUAAAUUUCAGCUAUCUAAAAAUCUAGUAAAUCUCAAUCACUUUAAUUAGUAAAAUUUGGUUCAUAUGAUAGGAAUAUCAUAAGAAUAGAAAAAUCAUAGAAAACGAGAUGACAUGCAUCUCGAUUUCUAUAUGGAAGGAGAUGUGCUCCACCAAGGAUGGCAAAAAAAAAUUAUAUUUCCUUUAUAGUGUGUGUUUUUAUUAGAAGAAAAGAAAAAGAGAAGUUCAGUUUGUAAUGAUGAGGCCGUUCAACGUGCAAACCAAUUGAAAAACUAUACAGGUUCGCCUACCAAAAUGUCCAAACUUUCUUGUGGAAAAAUUUCACUCUAUUUUUUGAACUCUUCGUUGAGAACUUUAUGCUCUUUCAGAUGUGUUCAUUCGUUUCUGUGUAAAUGCAUGUAGCACACGAAGUGUAUGUGUAUUGUUGUGUGUAAUUUUCUUGAAAUUCAAUAGCAUGCGAAGUUCGUGUUUCAAAAAUUCAUAAGUUCACGUGUACCACAUAAUGAAGAAAAAGAUGGAGAAGUUCGAUGAUUAUAAAAAACUCAGAUUUUCCUCGUUAUUAAAGAAUGGAAACAAGAAGUUCAAAAAUAAAAUAGCAAGAAGUUCAACUUUUAAAAAAUAGAGUGCUUCAAAAUUUCAUAAAAAAAGUUAAGAAAUAAAACCAGGAAGUCCAUAUUAAAAAGAUGGAGAAGUUCGAUGAUUAUGAAAACUCAGAUUUUCCUCGUUAUUAAAGAAUGGAAACAAGAAGUUCAAAAAAUAAAAUAACAAGAAGUUCUACUUUUAAAAAAUAGAGCACUUUAAAAUUUCAUAAAAAGAGUAAGAAAUAAAACAGGAAGUCCAUAUUAAAAAUAUGGAAAAGUUCGAUGAUUAUAGAAAACUCAGAUUAUCCUCUUUAUUAAAGAAUGGAAACAAGAAGUUCAAAAUAAAAUAACAAGAAGUUCAACUUUUUAAAAAUAGAGCGCUUCAAAAUUUCGUAAAAAAUAUUAAGAAAAAAAAACCAACAAGUCCAUAUUAAAAAGAUGGAGAAGUUCGAUGAUUAUAGAAAAUUCAGAUUUCCCUCAUUAUUAAAGAAUGAAAACAAGAAGUUCAAAAAUAAAAUAACAAGAAGUUCAACUUUUUUAAAAAUAGAGCGCUUCAAAAUUUCAUAAAAAAAGAUUAAGAAAAAGCAAAUUGAUAUUAAUAAACUCAGAUAUUUUCACGUAACCGAGAGAAGUUCAGAUUGAUAACUGCUAGAAGUUCACGUACUACACGGUGCGCAUUUUGUAUUAAAAAAUAAUGAAAAAGUAAAGGCUAAAUUUUUUGUUUCUAGAAGUUCAAGUCCUCGGUCGGAGAAGGUUAAAAAAUUUAUUGUGAGAGGGGUUUGUACAAAAGGAAUACCAUUUGUGUAACACUAAUGAAUGGAUGAGAAAAUUACAAACAAAAAUACGUCACAGAAGUUCAACGUGAAAACAGCAGGAAGUUCAACUACUGUACUGAAUAAAUUUUAGAUGAAAAAAUUUUAAACCGUCGUGAGUAUGAAAAAAUGAUCAACAAUGGAAAGUUGCGUGUUUACAGCAGAUUUCCAUCGGCAUAUCACUUGCUCAAUUCCGGUGAGUGGAUGGAGAGCUACGAGCCAAAAAAACACGUGAAAACAGAGUGAAGUUCAAGUACACACGCCGAGAAGUUCAAGUUCUUCAUGCGAUGCAUAUUCAACGAAUCUGUUUCACGAUAAAGGCAGAACGAAUGAUCUCGGCAUUUUCAAAAUUACUUGAAAAUAGCUAGGAAUCAGAGAAAACUGUCAACAUAAAAAAGUUUCGCAUUUUCCGUAGCUUUUCAACGGUGUAUUAUUUGCCCCAUUCCAAUAAAGUUUGUACAAAUUACGGCGAAAAUAUGUUUUUCGCCAUUUUCGAAAUUGUCUUAAAAGCGUAAAUAUUUGGGAGAAACAACACAUAGGAAAAAGUUUCGCAUUUGUUCAAGCUUUCCAACGCCAUAUCAUUUGCUGCAUUCGCACACACGGUUAAAAAAUGAGCUCCAAAAUAUGAACUCGGUAGGACUUGUACCGUUUUCUAAAUUACUCUUAAACCAUUCAGAAUUAGAAAAAACUUUCAACAUGAAAAAGUGGCGCAUUUUCAUAAGCUUUCCAACGCAAUAUCAUUUGUCUCAAUUGGAUUAGCCGUUUAGAAAUGACAUCGAAAAUACAAACUCGGCUCUUCGGUUUGCGAAAUUUUACGUUUCUCCAAAUUACUCUUUAAACGUAGGGAAUUAGAGAAAACUUUCAACAUGUGGAAGGAGCGGUUUUGUAGCAGCUUUCCAACGCCAUAUUAUUUGCCUCAUUCCGAUAAAUGGUUUAGAAAUGCGAUCGAAAUUAAGAUUCACGUUUUUUGUGUGAAGAAAAAAGGUUUUCAAAACUGCUCUUAAACCAUUUACAUUUUGACAAAAAUUUAAGUUGGGUCAUGAUACUGGUGUCCAUAGCUUUCCAACAGUAUAUCGCAAGCCCCGUUUGGGCAAUGUUGGCGGAAGUUCAACCUAGUUCAGAGGGAAGUCCAGCGUACUACUAGCGGGCAGGUCAGGUUGUGAUCAGAAUAUUAUUCUCAUCCCGUGAUCAGAAUAGUGUUUAUAUGUGUGUGUGUCUAUAUAUAUAUAUAUAUAUGUGUGUGGGGGGGGGCGCCCUAGCACACACCAGAUCAUUUGUUACCCGUGUGCGGCGCCCCCAUCCACCGUUUACAAUCCCGUUCAUAUUUUCGUAGUGCUUAGGCGAAGCCCUGCGAGGAUGACUUCAUCACCGUCACCACGUCGUUGUGCUGACAGAACUCAUCUACUACCUCGACGACUUGCUGGAUCAAGAAGGCGAGGGACAUCACCGAGCUGAACGUGUGCAGAACGCGGAGGUGCCGUGCGUUUGGUACUUGAUCGAUUGACAUGAGAAAAAGUUCGACUACAUCAACCACGUUUUGAAACGCUUCCGCUUACGGUCUACGAGGGUACGUAGACACAUUCUCCCCCUCGUUGCUAUGCAUGUCCAUGGAUAGAUCAUUGCGGGUGAGUAGAAUUUUUUGUUUUCAUGCAGUGAUUCCCAACAGUGGCAUCAUGAGUCAGGUCUAUAUAUGCAUAGAUGAUAUGCACGAGUAGAACACAAAGAGUUGUGGGUGGUGAUAGUCAUGCUGCUUACCACAAACGUCUUAUUUUGAUUCGGUGGUAUUGUGGGAUAAGGCGGCCCGAACCAACCUUACAUGUCCUCGCACAUGAGACCGAUUCCAUCGAUUGACAUGCAACUAGUUUUGCAUAAAGGUGGCUGGCGGGUGACUACAGACGGUCCUUGAAGAAGGUCAAAACAACAAACUUGACGAAACACCAUUGUGGUUUUUGCCGUAGGUAAGAACGGUUCUUGCUAGAAACCCGUAGCAGCCACGUAAAACUUGCAACAACAAAGUAGAGGACAUCUAACUUGUUUUUGCAGGGUAUGUUGUGAUGUGAUAUGGUCAAGACAUGAUGUGAUAUACAUUAUUGUAUGAGAUGAUCAUGUUUUGUAAGAUAUCUGGCAACCAGCAGGAGCCUUAUGGUUGUCUCUUUAUUGUAUUAAAUGCAUAUGCCAUGUGAUUGCUUUAGUUUAUCGCUAUGAGUUAGCAAUAGUUGUAGAAGCAAUAGUUGGCGAGACGACCACAACACAAUGAUGGAGAUCAAGCUGUCGAGCCGGUGACGAUGGAGAUCAUGACGAUGCUUUGGAGAUGGAGAUCAAAAGCACAAGAUGAUGAUGGCCAUAUCAUGUCACAUAUUUUGAUUGCAUGUGAUGUUUAUAUUUUAUGCAUCUUAUUUUGCUUUGUACGGAGGUAGCAUUAUAAGAUGAUCCCUUGACUAAAUUUUAAGGUAAAAGUGUUCUCCCUGAGUAUGCACCGUUGCUACAGUUCGUCGUGUUGAGACACCACGUGAUGAUCGGGUGUGAUAGACUCUACGUUCACAUACAAUGGGUGCAAGAUAGUUUUGCACAUGCGGAAUACUUAGGUUAAACUUGAUGAGCCUAGCAUGUACAGACAUGGCCACAGAACAAUGGAGACCGAACGGUCGAACGUGAAUCAUAUAGUAGAUAUGAUUAACAUAGAGAUGUUCACCAUUGAUGACUACUCCAUCUCACGUGAUGAUCGGGCAUGGAUUAGUUGAUUUGGAUCAUGUAUCACUUAGAUGACUUGAGGGAUGUCUAUUUAAGUGGGACUUCUUAAGUAAUUUGAUUAAUUGAACUUAAUUUAUCAUGAACUUAGUCCUGAUAGAAUUUGCAUAUCUAUGUUGUAGAUCAAUGGCCCGUGCUACUGUUCCCCUGAAUUUUAAUGCAUUCCUAGAGAAAGCUAAGUCGAAAGAUGAUGGUAGCAACUUACACGGACUGGGUCCGUAACUUGAGAAUUAUCCUCAUUGUUGCACAGAAGAAUUAUGUCCUUGAUGCACCGCUUAGUGAAAGGCCUGCUGCAGGAGAAGAUGCUGAUGUUUUGAACAUCUGGCAAGCUCGAUGUGAUGACUACUUGAUAGUUCAGUGUGCCAUGCUUUAUGGCUUAGAAUCGGGUCUUUAAAGACCUUUUGAACGUCGCAUAUGAGAUGUUCCAGGAGUUGAAGUUAAUAUUUCAAGAAAAUGCCUGGGUUGAGAGAUAUGAAGUCUCCAACAACUUUUAUAGCUACAAGAUGGAGGAGAAUAGUUCUGUGAAUGAGCACAUACUCAGAAUGUUUGGAUAUCAUAAUCACUUGACUCGGCUGAGAAUUAAUCUUCCAGAUGAUAGUGUUAUUGACAGAGUUCUUCAAUCACUGCCACCAAGCUACAAAGAUUUUGUGAUGAACUAUAAUAUGCAAGGGAUGGACAAGACAAUUCCUGAGCUCUUCGCAAUGCUCAAAGCUGCGGAGGUAGAAAUCAAGAAGGAGCAUCAAGUGUUGACAGUUAACAAGACCACUAGUUUCAAGAAAAAGGGCAAGGGAAAGAAGGGGAACUUCAAGAAGAAUGGCAAGCAAGUUGCCACUCCCUGGAAGAAGCCAGAAGCUGGACCUAAUCCUGAAACUGAGUGCUUCUACUGCAAAGGGACUGGUCACUGGAAGUGGAACUGCCCCAAGUAUUUGGUGGAUAAGAAGGAUGGCAAAGUGAACAAAGGUAUAUUUGAUAUACAUGUUAUCGAUGUGUACCUUACUAUUUCUCGUAGUAGCGCCUGGGUAUUUGAUACUGGUUCGGUUGCUCAUAUUUGUAACUCCAAACAGGAGCUACAGAUUAAACGAAGAUUGGCUAAGGACGAGGUGAUGAUGCGCGUCGGGAAUGGUUCCAAGUUCGAUGUGAUCGCCGUCGGCACGCUACCUCUACAUCUACCUUCGGGAUUAGUUUUAGACCUGAAUAAUUGUUAUUUGGUGCCAGCGUUGAGAAUGAACAUUAUAUCUUGAUCGUGUUUAGUGCGAGACGGUUAUUUAUUUAAAUCAGAGAAUAAUGGUUGUUCUAUUUAUAUGAGUAAUAUCUUUUAUGGUCAUGCACCAUUGAAGAGUGGUCUAUUUUUAUUGAAUCUCGAUUGUAGGGAUACACAUAUUCCUAAUAUUGAUGCCAAAAGAUGCAAAGUUGAUAAUGAUAGUGCAACAAAUUUGUGGCACUGCCGUUUAGGUCAUAUUGGUGUAAAGCGUAUGAAGAAACUCCAUGCAUAUGGGCUUUUGGAAUCACUUGAUUAUGAAUUAUUUGAUACUUGCGAACCAUGCCUCAUGGGCAAGAUGAUUAAAACUCCGUUCUCCGGAACAAUGAAGCGAGUCGAUGACUUAUUGGAAAUAAUACAUACCGAUGUAUGUGGUCCAAUGAGUGUUGAGGCACGCGGCGGGUAUCGUUAUUUUUUGACCUUCACAGAUGAUUUGAGCAGAUAUGGGUAUAUCUACUUAAUGAGACACAAGUAUGAAACUUUUAAAAACUUCAAAGAAUUUCAGAGUGAAGUGGAGAAUCAUCAUAAUAAGAAAAUAAAGUUUCUACGAUCUGAUCAUGGAGGCGAAUAUUUGAGUUACAAGUUUGGCCUUCAUUUAAAACAAUGUGGAAUAGUUUCACAACUCACUCCAACCUGGAACACCACAACAUAAUGGUGUGUACGAACAUCGUAACCGUAUUUUAUUAGAUAUGGUGCGAUCUAUGAUGUCUCUUACCGAUUUACCACUAUCGUUUUGGAGUUAUGCAUUAGAGAUAGCUGCAAUCACGCUAAAUAGGGUACCAUCUAAAUCCGUUGAGACGACACCAUAUGAACGGUGGUUUGGCAAGAAACCUAACCUGUCAUUUCUUAAAGUUUGGGGUUGCAACACUUAUGUCAAAAGGCUUCAGCCUAAUAAGCUCGAACCCAAAUCGGAGAAGUGCGUCUUUAUAGGAUACCCUAUGGAAACAAUUGGGUACACCUUCUACCACAGAUCCGAAGGCAAGAUCUUUGUGGCCAAGAAUGGAACCUUUCUAGAGAAGGAGUUUCUCUCGAAAAAAGUGAGUGGGAGGAAAGUAGAACUUGAUGAGGUAAUCGUACCUUCUCUCGAAUUGGAAAGUAGCACAUUAGAGAAAUCUGUUCCCGUGAUGCCUACACAAAAUAGAGAGGAAGGUAAUGAUGAUGAUCAUGAAACUUCAGAUCAAGUUACUACUAGACCUCGUAGGUCAAACAGAGCACGUUCCGCACUAGAGUGGUACGGUAAUCCUGUUUUGGAAUUCAUGUUACUAGACCAUGGCAAACCUACGAACUAUGAAGAAGCUAUGAUGAGCCAAGAUUCCGACAGAUGGCUUGAGGCCAUGAAAUGUGAGAUAGGAUCCAUGUAUGAGAACAAAGUAUGGACUUUGGUCGACUUGCCCGAUGAUCGGCAGGCCAUAGAAAAUAAAUGGAUCUUCAAGAAGAAGACUGACGCUGAUGGUAAUGUUACUGUCUACAAAACUCAACUUGUCACAAAAGGUUUUCGACAAGUACAAGGGGUUGACUACGAUGAGAAUUUCUCACUCGUAGUGAUGCUUAAGUCCGUCCGAGUCAUGUUGGCAAUUGCUGCAUUUUAUGAUUAUGAAAUCUGGCAAUGGAUGUCAAAACUGCAUUCCUUAAUGGAUUUGUUAAAGAAGAGUUGUAUAUGAUGCAACCAGAAGGUUUUAUCGAUCCUAAAGGUGCUAACAAAGUGUGCAAACUCCAGCGAUCCAUCUAUGGACUGGUGCAAGCAUCUCGGAGUUGGAAUAUACGCUUUGAUAAACUGAUCAAGGCAUAUGGCUUUAUACAGACUUUUGGUGGAGCUUGUAUUUACAAGAAAGUGAGUGGGAGCUCUGUAGCUUUUCUAAUAUUAUAUGUAGAUGACAUAUUGUUGAUUAGAAAUGAUGUAGAAUUUCUGGAUAGCAUAAAAGGAUACUUGAAUAAGAGAUUUUCAAUGAAAGACAUCGAUGAAGCUGCUUAUAUAUUGGGCAUCAAGAUAUAUAGAGAUAGAUCAAGACGCUUAAUAGGACUUUCACAAAGCACAUACCUUGAUAAAGUUUUGAAGAAGUUCAAAAUGGAUCAGUCGAAGAAAGGGUUCUUGCCUGGGUUGCAAGGUGUGAAGUUGAGUCAGACUCAAAGCCCGACCACUGCAGAAGAUAGAGAGAAAAUGAAAGGCAUUCCCUAUGCCUCAGCCAUAGGUUCUAUCAUGUAUGCUAUGCUGUGUACCAGACCUGAUGUGUGCCUUUCCAUAAGUCUGGCAGGGAGGUACCAAAGUAAUCCAGGAGUGGAUCACUGGACAGCAGUCAAGAACGUCCUGAAGUACCUGAAAAGUACAAAGGAUAUGUUUCUCAUUUAUGGAGGUGACAAAGAGCUCAUCGUAAAUGGUUACGUCGAUGCUAGCUUUCACACUGAUCCGGAUGACUCUAAGUCACAAACCAAAUAAGUAUUUAUAUUGAAUGGUGGAGCUGUCAGUUGGUGCAGUUCCAAGCAGAGCGUCUUGGCGGGAUCUACGUGUGAAGCAGAGUACAUAGCUGCUUCGGAAGCAGCAAAUGAAGGAGUUUGGAUGAAGGAGUUCAUAUCUGAUCUAGGUGUUAUACCUAGUGCAUCGGGUCCAAUGUGACAAUACUGGAGCGAUUGCCUUGGCAAAGGAAUCCAGAUUUCACAAGAGAACCAAACACAUCAAGAGAUGCUUCAACUCCAUCCGUGAACAAGUCAAGGAGGGAGAUAUAGUGAUUUGCAAAAUACAUACAGAUCUGAAUGUAGCAGACCCGUUGAGUAAGCCUCUUCCGCGAGCAAAACAUGAUCAACACCAAGACUCUGUGGGUGUUAGAUUCAUUGCAAUGUAAUCUAGAUUAUUGACUCUAGUGCAAAUGGGAGACUGAAGGAAAUAUGCCCUAGAGGAAAUAACAAAGUUGUUAUUUUAUAUUACCUUAUUCAUGAUAAAGGUUUAUUAUUCAUGCUAGAAUUGUAUUGAUCAGAAACCUUAAUACAUGUGUGAAUACAUAAACAAACAACGUGUCCCCAGUGAGCCUCUAGUAGACUGGCUCGUUGAUCAAAGAUGGUUAAGGUUUCCUAACCAUGGACAUGAGUUGUCAUUUGAUAACAGGAUCACAUCAUUAGGAGAAUGAUGUGAUGGACAAGACCCAUCCGUUAGCUUAGCAUAAUGAUCAUUAAGUUUUAUUGCUAUUGCUUUCUUCAUGUCAAAUACACAUUCCUUCGACUACGAGAUUAUGCAACUCUCGGAUACCGGAGGAAUGCCUUGUGUGCUAUCAAAUGUCACAACUUAACUGGGUGAUCAUAAAGAUUCUCUAAAGGUAUCUCCAAAGGUGUUUGUUGAGUUGGCAUAGAACGACAUUAGGAUUUGUCACUCCGAGUAUCGGACAAGUAUCUCUAGGCCCUCUUGGUAAUACACAUCAUAAGCUUGCGAGCAAAGGACUAAGGAGUUAGUUACAAGGUGAUGUAUUACAGACCAAGUAAAGAUACUUGCUGGUAACGAGAUUAAACUAGGUAUGAAGAUACCGACUAUCGAAUCUCGGGCAAGUAACAUACCGAUGGACAAAGGGAAUUACGUAUAUUGUCAUAACGGUUCGACCAAUAAAGAUCUCCGUAGAAUAUGUUGAAGGAAAUAUGCGCUAGAGGCAAUAAUAAAGUUAUUAUUUAUUUCCUUAUAUCAUGAUAAAUGUUUAUUAUUCAUGCUAGAAUUGUAUUAACCGGAAACAUAAUACUUGUGUGAAUACAUAGACAAACAGAGUGUCACUAGUAUGCCUCUACUUGACUAGCUCGUUGAUCAAAGAUGGUUAUGUUUCCUAGCCAUUGACAUGAGUUAUCAUUUGAUUAACGGGAUCACAUCAUUAGGAGAAUGAUGUGAUUGACUUGACCCAUUCCGUUAGCUUAGCACACGAUCGUUUAGUAUUCUGCUAUUGCUUUCUUCAUGACUUAUACAUGUUCCUAUGACUAUGAGAUUAUGCAACUCCCGUUUACCGGAGGAACACUUUGUGUGCUACCAAACGUCACAACGUAACUGGGUGAUUAUAAAGGUGCUCUACAGGUGUCUCCGAAGGUACUUGUUGGGUUGGCGUAUUUCAAGAUUAGGAUUUGUCACUCCGAUUGUCGGAGAGGUAUCUCUGGGCCCACUCGGUAAUGCACAUCACUUAAGCCUUGCAAGCAUUGCAACUAAUGAGUUAGUUGCGGGAUGAUGUAUUACAGAACGAGUAAAGAGACUUGCCGGUAACGAGAUUGAACUAGGUAUUGAGAUACCGACGAUCGAAUCUCGGGCAAGUAACAUACCGAUGACAAAGGGAACAACGUAUGUUGUUAUGCGGUCUGACCGAUAAAGAUCUUCGUAGAAUAUGUGGGAGCCAAUAUGAGCAUCUAGGUUCUGCUAUUGGUUAUUGACCGGAGACGUGUCUCGGUCAUGUCUACAUAGUUCUCGAACCCAUAGGGUCCGCACGAUUAAAGUUUCGAUGACAGUUAUAUUAUGAGUUUAUAUGUUUUGAUGUACCGAAGGUUGUUCGGAGUCCCGGAUGUGAUCACGGACAUAACGAGGAGUCUCGAAAUGGUCGAGACAUGAAUAUUGAUAUAUUGGACGACUAUAUUCGGACACCGGAAUGGUUCCGGGGGUUAUCGGAUAUAUACCGGAGUACCUGGGGGUUACCGGAACCCCCCGGAGGUUAUUGGGCCUCAUGGGCCCAAUUGGUGGAAGAGGAGAGGCGGCCAAGGGGAAGCCGCGCGCCCCUCCCCCCCCCAAGUCCGAAUUGGACAAGGAGGGGGGCGCCCCCCCUUUCCUUUCCCCCUCUCUCUCCUUCCCUCUCCUCUCCUAAUCCAACAAGGAAAAGGGAGGGAGUCCUACUCCCGGUGGGAGUUGGACUCCUCCUGGCACGCCCCUCCUGGCCGGCCGCCUCUUCCCCCUUGCUCCUUUAUAUACAGGGGCAGGGGGCACCCUAGAGACACAACGAUUGAUCUGUUGAUCUUUUAGCCGUGUGCGGUGCCCCCUCCACCAUAGUCCACCUCGAUAAUACUAUAGCGGUGCUUAGGCGAAGCCCUGCGUCGGUAGAACAUCAUCAUCGUCACCACGCCGUCGUGCUGACAAAACUCUCCCUCAACACUCGGCUAGAUCGGAGUUCGAGGGACGUCAUCGGGCUGAACGUGUGCUGAACUCGGAGGUGCCGUGCGUUCGGUACUUGAUCGGUCGGAUCGUGAAGACGUACGACUACAUCAACCGCGUUGUGCUAACGCUUCCGCUUUCGGUCUAUGAGGGUACGUGGACAACACUCUCCCCUCUCGUUGCUAUGCAUCACCAUGAUCUUGCGUGUGCGUAGGAUUUUUUUGAAAUUACUACGUUCCCCAACAUAUGUAGGAGCCAAUAUGAAGAUCUAGGUUCCGCUAUUGGUUAUUGACCAACGAGGUGUCUCGGGCAUGUCUACAUAGUUCUCGAACCCAUAGGGUCCGCAUGCUUAACAUUCGAUGACGAUAUAGUAUUAUAUCAGUUAUGUGAUUUGGUGACCGGAUGUGGUUCGGAGUUCCGGAUGAGAUCACAGACAUGAUGAGGAGUCUCGAAAUGCUCGAGAGGUAAAGAUUGAUACAUAGGACGAUAGUAUUCGGACACCAGAAGUGUUUCCGAGGGUACCAGGUACAUAUCGGGUCACCGGAAGGGGUUCCGGGAACCCCGGCAUAAGAUAUGGGCCUUAUGGGCCAAGAGGGGAAACGCACCAGCCACAAGGGGCUGGUGCGCCCCCCCAUAUAGGACGAACCAGGAGGAGAAGGAAAAAGGGGAAGGGAAAGGAAAUGGGUGAUUCGGCCUCCCCCUUCCUUCCCUCCUCUCUCCUCUUUCCUUCACCCUUCGGCAAAUAUGGUAGGGGGGCGCGGCCAAGGGGAGACCCCAAGUAGGAUUCGGCCUACUUGGGGGCCUCCUGGCAGCCUCGCCUCUCCCUACCACCUAUAUAUAUGUGAGGGGGGCGGGCGCCCUAGCACACACUAGAUCAAUUGUUAGCCGUGUGCGGCGGCCCCCUCCAUCAUUUACACCCCCGGUUAUAUUUUCGUAGUGCUUAGGCGAAGCCCUGCGAGGAUCACUUCACCAUCACCGUCACCACACCGUCGUGCUGACGGAACUCAUCUACUACCUCGACGACUUGCUGGAUCAAGAAGGCGAGGGACGUCACCGAGCUGAACGUGUGUGCAGAGCACAGAGGUGCCAUGCGUUCGGUACUUGAUCAGUUGACGUGAGAAGAAGUUUGACUACAUCAACCGUGUUGUGAAAUGCUUCCUCUUACGGUCUACAAGGGUAUGUAGACAAACUCUCCCCCUUGUUGCUAUGCAUCUCAAUGCAUAGAUUAUUGCGUGUGCGUAGAAUUUUUUUUGUUUUCCAUGCAUCGAUUCCCAACAGUUACAUUUACCACAAGGCCGAUGACGGAUCACGGCGACAUGGCGCUGCGGAGUUUCAGUGAUGGGCGCGUGUGGAUGGACACGCGUGGGAUGGUGGCGUUGUCUGAUGUCGUGGUGACGUCGACGGCAGGCCUGACAAGGUUCGUGUGUCAGUACCUGCUUUGUAGAUGGAUGAGUCGUUGACGGUGGCGGCGGCCUCUGAGAGUGCACCAGACCGAUGUGUGACCCAGUCCCGGCAUUGUGGCUUGGUUGGGGCAUCCGGCUUUAGAUGUUAGGCUUUGGUGUGAUGUCUGUUUGGUAUUAGGCUCGGACAUUUGGCACCCCUUCAUCAAGGGGAUAGGAGUAGGUGUGUUGCCAAGAUGAUGGUUUCAGGCAUACUGAUAUAUUACUUUGUAAGGUCUUUGUGAAUAAUUAAUAAAUUAGAUGCAUGCAUCAUCCAGAUGGAGAGGCCGAGGGUAUAUCCUCCUUUUCAAAAAAAGAAAAAGAGAUCGUUUUGCUAAGUCUCAGUCGACUGAGACUUCGCUAAGUCUCAGUCGAUGUUAUAUAUUUUUAUAUACUAUAUCACUUGAUUGAGACUUGGUUAAGUCUCAGUCGACUGAGACCUAGGCACACCCAAAAAGAAAUACCAGAGUAAACAAACUAGAAAUUGGUGCCAAAUCUGUUAGAAGGGAGAGAGGGAUAUGGUGGAAUAGUUUGUUGUAUUGCUUGAGCCUCGUGGGCAUAUAUAUAUAUAGGAGUACAUGAUCUACUUGGAGUACAAGGCAAGCUAGAAUAUUUCCUAGUCUAACCUAUGUUUCCUAAUACAAUCACGUUACUCAACAUCCCCCCGCAGUCACAACGGUAGCAACGCAGACGGUGAGACUAGAGAAGAAUACAAAGGCAAGCUGACGGACACCCCCCCACAGUCGUAACGGUCGACGCAUCGCAGAGUCGUGGCUGGAGUGGAAACCAACGAGGUUGCUCAAGCAGGCGGUAGCCCUUUGUGCCGUUUGUCGAUGUAGCCAAGAGCGGGGGUGGUGAAGCCGUGGUCGAGGUAGCCAUGCGAAGAAUGCCGUGGUCGAUGUCGAGUCGGGGUGGCCGGUGUCGAGGAAGUCGUCGUGGAGCCACGGGCGCAAGAGGGCGCCGAGUUAGCAUGGGCGCAGUGGUGUCGAAGUAGGGGUGCACCGGGAAGAAAAUGUUGUUGACGACGCGUCGCGACGGAUUUGCCAAGCCCGGGGACACAUGGUGGACGAAGGCACGCCCCGGUGUUGCCAGCACCGGGCAUGCGUAGACGAACGAAGACGAAGUUGACGAAGCGCUGCUACCUCUUGAGCACUGCGUUAGUUUUCCCUUGAAGAGGAAAGGGUGAUGCAGCAAAGUAGCGUAAGUAUUUCCCUCAGUUUUUGAGAACCAAGGUAUCAAUCCAGUAGGAGGCUACGCGCGAGUCCCUCGCACCUACACAAAACAAAUAAAUCCUCGCAACCAACGCGAUAAGGGGUUGUCAAUCCCUACACGGUCACUUACGAGAGUGAGAUCUGAUAGAUAUGAUAGGAUAAUAUUUUUGGUAUUUUUAUGAUAAAGAUGCAAAGUAAAAUAAAAGCAAAGUAAAAAGCAACGGAAAUAACUAAGUGUUGGAAGAUUAAUAUGAUGAAGAUAGACCCGAGGGCCAUAGGUUUCACUAGUGGCUUCUCUCAAGAGCAUAAAUAUUUUACGGUGGGUGAACAAAUUACUGUUGAGAAAUUGACAGAAUUGAGCAUAGUUAUGAGAAUAUCUAGGUAUGAUCAUGUAUAUAGGCAUCACGUCCGAGACAAGUAGACCAACUCCUGCCUGCAUCUACUACUAUUACUCCACACAUCGACCGCUAUCCAGCAUGCAUCUAGAGUAUUAAGUUCAUAAGAACAGAGUAACCCCUUAAGCAAGAUGACAUGAUGUAGAGGGAUAAAUUCAUGCAAUAUGAUAAAAACCCCAUCUUGUUAUCCUCGAUGGCAACAAUACAAUACGUGCCUUGCUGCCCCUACUGUCACUGGGAAAGGACACCGCAAGAUUGAACCCAAAGCUAAGCACUUCUCCCAUUGCAAGAAAGAUCAAUCUAGUAGGCCAAACCAAACUGAUAAUUCGAAGAGACUUGCAAAGAUAACCAAUCAUACAUAAAAGAAUUCAGAAGAUUCAAAUAUUGUUCAUAGAUAAACUUGAUCAUAAACCCACAAUUCAUCGGUCUCAACAAAACACCGCAAAACAAGAUUACAUCGAAUAGAUCUCCACGAGAGAGGGGGAGAACAUUGUAUUGAGAUCCAAAAAGAGAGUAGAAGCCAUCUAGCUAAUAACUAUGGACCCGAAGGUCUGAGGUAAACUACUCACACAUCAUCGGAGGGGCUAUGGUGUUGAUGUAGAAGCCCUCCGCGAUCGAUGCCCCCUCCGGCGGAGCUCCGGAACAGGCCCCAAGAUGGGAUCUCGUGGGUACAGAAGGUUGCGGCGGUGGAAUUAGGUUUUUGGCUCCGUAUCUGAUCGUUUGGGGGUACGUAGGUAUAUAUAGGAGGAAGGAGUACGUCGGUGGAGCAACAGGGGGCCCACGAGGGUGGAGGGCGCGCCUGGGGGCGGGGGGUAGGCGCGUCCCCCUACCUCGUGGCUUCCCUAUUGGUUGCUUGACGUACGGUCCAAGUCUCCUGGAUCAUGUUCGUUCCAAAAAUCACGUUCCCGAAGGUUUCAUUCCGUUUGGACUCCGUUUGAUAUUCUUUUUCUGCGAAACUCUGAAAUAGGCAAAAAACAGCAAUUCUGGGCUGGGCCUCCGGUUAAUAGGUUAGUCCCAAAAAUAAUAUAAAAGUGAAUAAUUAAGCCCAAUAAUGUCCAAAACAGAAUAUAAUAUAGCAUGGAGCAAUAAAAAAUUAUAGAUACGUUGGAGACGUAUCAAGCGCCGACCAGGCUUGCCAGGCCCGGGGACACGUCGUGGAUGAAGGCACGCAUCGGUGUUGCCAGCACCGGGCAUGCGUAGACGAGGGACCUGCACGAGCUGUAUGCCAUGUCGGAGAAGUCGGAGGGGCCAGCAGAGAAGAACUCGACGACGAUUGCGGCGUCCAUCGACACGGGUGCGAUGUCACCAAUGGUGGAUGGAGUAGACGAAGUGGUCGGAGUAGAUGACGGCGACGCUGGUGACGGGCUGGUGCUUGGACGAAGACGAAGGGGUUGGACGGGCGGCGGCGGCUACGAAAGUAGCGGCGGCGGCGGCCAAAGAAGAGGGGCGACGGCGGCCUGAUGGCGGCGGCUAGGUUAGGAGUGCGGCGGCGGUGCUCGAAGUAGGCGAAGAACCCUGACUGCGUGACGAAGACCGGCGCAGACGGUGGCGUUCUCGCGCCAAGGGAGACGGCGCGGCGCAUACCACGGGAGGUCGACACGCGGUGACGGUGGAGUGGACCGCGGGCCGCGGUGCUACGGCCCAAAGGGGCGACGGCGGGGACCGCGGGCCGCGACGCUGCGGCCUGAAGGGGCGACGCACCGGCGGUUCGCGAGUCGGUGCAGCCGCGGGGACGGCCUCUGGGUGGCGGCGGGGACCACGUAUCGCGGCACUAUGACCCGAAGGGACGACGCAGCGACCACGCAUGAGUCGAUGCAGACGCAAGGAGAACCACGGGGCGCCGGCGCUGCGGCCCGACGGGGCGACGCAGCGGCAGCCCGAUGCUCGAUCGGCGGAGAGGUGCGCGGUACUUGGGACGAUCUUCACUGGACAUGAGGAGGCGCGCGUAACCGACAGGCCAGGUCGGUCGCGCGACGUAGAUGAGGCGGAUCGUGGCGGCGAGCGGGUCAUCAAGCCGAUCGCGCGCGAGGUCGGGGACGCCGAUCGGUGGAGACGGGGUGGCGGCAGAGUCCGCGAUGAGGCCGGCGACAACGGACGACGUGGGACGUCGUGCGAACGAGCUUGUCAGCACCGGCACCCGGGAUGCCAAAGCAGCGCCGGCGCUCGGGCAGCGAGGCCCAAGCGACCAACGGAACAACGGCGUUCGAGUUGAGGCAGCCGACGAGCCUGACGGAGCCGUCCCGACGCACCCGAGAACGAGGCCGGCGAGGUAGACCGCCGGGCCGCCGUGCAGACGCGGCAGAGGCGGGUGACGUGGAUCGAUGGGUGGGCUGGCAUGCGAGCGACGGCUAUGAUUGGCCGUCGCAUGGCGCGAGGCUGCUGGGUCGGGGCGAUGCAGGUGUCCCGGUCGGAGCAGGGCAGUGACGGCCGACGCAGGGCGACGGGCGUACCGACGCGCGGACGGCGGCUGGCCCUGACGGGCCGCCUCAGCGCGCUUGGCCGCCGGGUCGGAGGAGAGGCCGGCUGGUCGCGCCGGGGUCGGAGUAGAGGCGCACGGGGGUCGACGGCGGCGGCGGGCGACGCAAACCGAUCAAGAAUAGAUCGGAAAAGCAAAAAGAAAAACGCCGAUCAAAACGACUGGCAAGAGAGCGAAAAAACCCGGAGCAAGGGCUCGGGAAAAAGACUCUCUAGGGCAGCCGGCUAACACGGCCGGCGGACGAACCCUAGGUACGGACGGCGCGGCCCCCGGGGGCGGUCAUGGAGGCCGACCGCCCCGGAGGCGGCGCGCGGGUGCGGAAGCGGCGGCGGCUAGGGUUUGGAUCGUGAUUAGGCUGAUACCAUGUUAGAAGGGAGAGAGGGAUAUGGUGGAAUAGUUUGUUGUAUUGCUUGAGCCUCGUGGGCAUAUAUAUAGGAGUACAUGAUCUACUUGAACUACAAGGCAAGCCAGAAUAUUUCCUAGUCUAAACUAUGUUUUCUAAUACAAUCACGUUACUCAACAAAAUCUUAAACUUGAAAUUCAUUUUAUCGGCACAUGGUUUUACUUCUCCUGAUCGAUCUAUCUAAAAGCCAAAUAACAGUAUGGAAAGCAUGGAUCCUAGUUUUCAUGGAGCGAAGACGACUAGCUUUCUCGAGGCCAUCAUGUACAGAACAGGGGAUGAAGCCAAUGCCAGGUCCAAGAUGCCCGUUCAAGCCAAAUUGCUAUUAAAUCUUAAACAUGAUAUAUUCAUCUUAUGAGGACAUACUAGCACAUAUGCCCGUGCGUUGCAACGGGAGAUUUUUUUGCGACAAGCAUCGGGAGAGGUAAUUGAUGUGUUCAUCAAAACAGUCUCCACACAAUAGUAGGGCGAUAGAGCAGAGAGCCGUGGUGUUCUCGCGGGUCAUGUUUGGCCCGUGAGAUCUUUAUAGUAGUGGGGUUGAUGGGAGUGGCGGCCACUAUCCAAUUCGUACAUUUUUUUCCUCCACGUCCGCCUCCUUGUGAAGAUUGUGGUGACCUCCUGAUUUUUUUAAAACAUGUGAGCAUUUCUUUUGAAAAUAGUUAAUUUCUAGAAAAAGUAAAACAAAACUUGAAAUAGGAAGAUUUUCUUAAAUUCACAAACACUUUUUGAAAACAGGAUCAUUUUUAAGGCGGAGAAACGAAUUUUUUUUGAAUUUGUGAACAAUUUUUUAAAAUGGAUACUUGUUUUGAAUAUUCAAAUCCAUUUUCAAAUUUUUUUUAAUCACGAACAUUAUUUUGAAUUAGUAAACAUUUCGAUAAAAUGAAUAUUUUUCGAAUUUCUAUUAUUUUUGAAAUGAAAUUUAUUUUAGAAAUCUAGAAAAACUUUCAAUUUUUUUUGAAAAAUGUGAACAUUUUUUUAAUUUGAAAACAAUUUGAACGAAAAUAAAAAUGUACAUUUCCAAAUGUUUUUGAAAUUGGGAACAAAAUUUGAAAUUCUAAGAUUCAACAAAAAUUAGUAAAAAAAAGAAAUUUUAGAAAAUUUACAAAAUGAAUUUAUGGGAAAAGAAAAAAUAAAUUGGAAGAGAAAAAAUAAAAUAUAUAGAAAAGCACAGAAAAAAUUGAAAUGGGCGACCGAUGGUAAGCUCCAACAUUGGGCGACCGAUGGUAAGCUCCAACUAUAUGCCGUGCUGUGCGACAAAUAAGGUUUCCCAACUGCGUGCGCAUGAUAUAAAUGGGUAGCUUUUCUGGGCCUUAGUGCGUGCGGCCCACGUACGAAAUUCUGGACAAAACUUUUUAUUUUUAGCAGAUGGACCAUAAAAAUUUAGUACCACCUCGGAUAUAAGAAAAAUAUUUUUGAUGAUGAACGGAUGAAAAAAUUGAAGAAACGCACCUUGCUUUAUUAGUAAGUAUAGAGUUAUGGUUUCCUUGAUCGAUCUCCAAACAGCUAAGAUAACAUCAUGAUCUUGCGAGGCUUCCAAAGACAGAUCGGUGGCUCAAGCCAAGACGAGGUCCAAGGUGCGCCCCGAGCCAUCAGCCUCCUCCUUGGCGCCAUCCACCGGCUGCGCGCUGCUGCUGGACGACUCCCACCGCCCCAGAAAGUCGAUCUCGGCCGGGGGCUCCCCUCCACUGCGGUACUCCUUCCAAAACUCAGAGUUGGCUCCAACCAUGCUACGGGUGCCGCCAUUCCCAGCUCGAACUGCCACAAGUGCUGGAGCCACGGUUGGGGACGCCACCGUGGCAAGCGGCGCUGCAGGGGCUGGCAGCCCUGCGGCCGCCACUGCUGCGAGGUCUUGGUGCCACAGCUGGGAGCGGCACCACGGGCGGAUGCGCGGUAGGGUUUGCCGUCCCAGCCAGGGUCUGCGGCCCUACAGGCAGCCCUCCAUUUGGUCCACAGCCGUCCGGGUUCCAACUUCCAAGCCAUCGGGUGGAUUUGAGUGAAGAACGGGUUGACAGCGAGGAGUAGGAAGAGCUAGCUUGCUUGGGGAAAAUGGGCUGCCAUGGUUACACUUAUAUAGGAUGCGGCUGGACCCCCCAACGGUCAAAAUGGCGUUACAACGGGUCAUCUCGAUGCGGAAACUUAUCACUCGUGCUUUUUUUUUAAGCAGGAAACUUGUCACAGCGGAUGUACUUAUCACUUGUGCUUUUUUAGUAAGAAACAAACGUAUAUAGACGCUAGCUUCCGGUUGACCGGUUUUACACAUCAUGAAGACCGUCAAAGGAAUAAUUAUAUGAGCCAGAGACACCACUUUUAAAUUUUAGUACUUCCUAACAUAUUCCAGGCGCCCAUGAUUGUUGUUUUCACUUCAGUUCGGCCAAGUGACCAAAUAAUUCUCCGUACUUUAUUCCUAGAUCAAGCCCAAGAAUUAUUCCCAAGGAUGUUAGAGUGCCCACCUCGUAGGAGCCUCGAGGGGCAAGAUUCGCCCCGCGCCAUCCGUUUCACGGUGGCAUGCCGUGGGCGCCUCUAUGGGGCUCUCCACGCCAUACGAGCAUCCCGGACGGUGCACACCUUGGUCACUUGUCUCAGUCGUCCAUGAUCGGUGGACAUCGGGGGCGCACGAGGCCAACGCCAUCUGGUGGCUUUCGUCGCACCUGCUUGCCCACGCGUGAUNNNNNNNNNNNNNNNNNNNNNNNNNNNNNNNNNNNNNNNNNNNNNNNNNNNNNNNNNNNNNNNNNNNNNNNNNNNNNNNNNNNNNNNNNNNNNNNNNNNNNNNNNNNNNNNNNNNNNNNNNNNNNNNNNNNNNNNNNNNNNNNNNNNNNNNNNNNNNNNNNNNNNNNNNNNNNNNNNNNNNNNNNNNNNNNNNNNNNNNNNNNNNNNNNNNNNNNNNNNNNNNNNNNNNNNNNNNNNNNNNNNNNNNNNNNNNNNNNNNNNNNNNNNNNNNNNNNNNNNCAGGCGGGGCAUGGGUCAUGGCCAAGAGGACGGCUCGCUUGUGGGGUCAGGACGUCAGAACCGUUAGCCCCAUGACGGGUUGUUUCGGUCUGUUUUAUUGGCCCCAACCUGGUGCACAAGGGCGGCGUGCACGGGCUUGUUCGCGCGCCAACCGAGUCCUCUGCCGCGCCCUAAGCGUCGUUAUGUACGUGGGGCCGGCCUAUUAAGAUCGUUCACCUCAUGUCCGGCUAGUUCUUGUUGUUUCGUUUGCCCCACCCGGAUACGCGUAGGUGACACGCUUGGUUCGAGCCCGACGACAUGUAUCGUCCGGCUAAUGGACGGAAAAUGGGACACGCCACACGCACGAUGCGCUAGCCGAACAUACACGGGUAGAGUUGUGUUCGUCCCGACCUUCUUUGGCCGGUCGACAGCGUAAGGUGGUCGUAUGCUUCUUGGGUCUUGUUUGUGCGCUCGUUUCUGCAUGCCCACCCCGUGUGAUUAUGCCGGCUCGUUUGUCUCAGUGUUACCAUUUUCUUUAGCCCAUCUCCUUCAUUUGCUUUCCUUCUACCCUUGCUUUGGGUCGAUCAUCCCUCGCUAGCCUCCCCUGGAGGUUAUCUUUGGCUUCCUCGCUGCCGUCCGGUGACGACGGCCGUUGCUCUUCUCGCUAAGCUAGCGGCUCUCAUUGAGUUCCUCCCUUGCCAUUUAAGGUCCGGUUUGGCCUUUUGCCUUGCCAUUUAAGGUCCGGUUUGGCCUUUUGCCUUGCCAUUGUCUCAAGCUCGGCGGGUCUGGCUCAGCCCUUACGAGUUUCUUCUUGUCAUUGUUGGGCUUGUAUGUUGCUGCUUCAGGUGGGUUGCUUCUUUGCUUGCAUGAUGCUUUGUUUGUGCUGCUAUUUCCGUACUUGGGAGGAACGAUGCUUAGACUUGACAGUUGCAUGGGGUGUGGAGAGGGCAGGGUAGGGCAGCAGGCGCGCGGCGUGGCAAUUGGAGAGCGUUCCUCUUCAUAUAUCAACAAGGUCAAACAAUUCUCCCUUUUUGCAUAUCCGGGUGGGUUCUCUAUUGCCUCGUCUACCUCCUUCACUUUGGACUAACUGCGUCCCACCCCGGCCUACUACCAUAAGUCCUCAAGUUGCCGUAGCCUUUUCUGAAUUUUUCAAAGAAAAUGCACAACAUGAUUCGUUGCCCCGUUCUGAUUGCAUGCUCUGACUGUGAUGCCAACUCUUAUCUCGCCGCAAGCUGUGGUAAUGCUCCCAGUUGUGGAACCAACACCUAUCGCUAGCCGUAAUGCCGCUCCUAUCUCCUUCACCGCUGGCACUUAUCGCAUCUCCAGAUGGGGAUGGUGGCGCCCGUAGAAUGAUGUCGUGGCCUGCACCUAACCAUGGGUUUUGAGAGGACCACCGCAGGGGAGGACAUCGUCCGGCUCCGUCCAUCCAAACUAAAGUGUAUUAGAGCGUUUGGCAGCACCACGCAGCUGGUGGAUGACACCGAAGUGGAGGCCGAUGAUACAGUGAGCACCUCGGACUUGACAUUGGUUUGAGCUGCCAAUAAAUACUUGGAUCCCUCCCAACAGCUAAUCGCCAAUAAGACUAGCUUUUCCCUCGAUAAACAAAUAUCAUCCAUGAUUUUCAUCCUGUUAUCUUAUAUGCUUGGAUAGAUCAAAGGGAAAACAGAACUCUGUGACAAUGAGUUGAAUAUCAUGUUUAAAAUUUAGUAGCAGUCUCUAGUUAAUUUAAUCUCGUAUUUCUUACACUGAUCACAGGGGCGGAGCCACCGUUGUAGCGUUGAGUUCAAGUGAACCCAACGACUUAUUUCUGCCAUGUACGUGUGUAUAGGUAAUCGUGUGUAUGAACCGAGUUGAAAAUCUAGGUUGCACCCAUAAAUCUUCACAUGACUAACCCAGCCGAAGCUCAUAAGUAAACUUACAUGGCCUCCGUGUGUGCGCCAGAUUCCAUGUCUCGUACGAGAUUGUACGCAUCUGAUCGCAUCUCUCGCUCGGCGUCACCAAGGUCUUCCGUCUAGUCGCCUCUCCCUAUCUCCAGCAGCAAGCCCGCGAGGAAGAAACAGCAGGUUGGUAUAUGUUAGGAAAUAAACCACGAGUGUGUCAUGGUGUGUGUGCCAGGGUCAGUCACGUGCGUGUGUGUGCGUGGAUGGCGCGUGAGUCCGAGCUCAUGUCCAUGUCCAUCCAGCGGCUAGGUCAUGCGGCGAUGGUUGUUAGUUGCAGCGAGCGCAGCAGAUGCAUGAUGGUGACCAGGUAUAGCGGAGGAGCAGGUUGCUCACCGUGUUAGAGGACCGGAUCACCAGGAUGGAUAUGCCUGCAUGGCCCGACGUGCUGUUGGUGCAUGCAUGGUCGUGUCAUGGUGGAGAUUUUUUAGGGUUGUUAGCGGGCGUGCGUAGGUGCUAUUAGUGGCCGGUAUGGUGGCCGGACUAUAUAUACGUGUUUGUGAUGCUUGUAAUCAGUCGAGCCAAGUGAAUACAGAGAGAAAAAAGGCCCUGGCGUUUGUCGCCGGGGCGGGCGUCCGUCGCCCGACAAAAUCCGUCUCCUCGUGUUCUUGUGAUUGUUUGUCGAUCCUUGGUUCCAACAAUUGGUAUCAUGAGCUCGUUCAUCUUGGGUGUCGUCUCCUUGCCGGAGGCAUGCCGGCGGCUACGCGGUGAAGCUCCAGGCCGUGUGUCGGCCUGUGGAGGUGCGCGGCGCUGCGGCAGCCAUGGCGGACGCGGAGGUGGCGCGUGGUGAGUCCACGGCUUGUGGUGUGGUCGGGCUCGCCGGGUGUGCGCGGGACGUGCGGGACGCACCGGUGCGGUUGGGCUCGUCGGGCGCGUCGGGUGUGCGCGGGACGUGCGAGACGCCGAGGGACGUCAGGCGUGUGUCUCCGGCGGAGGAGGAGCUCGGCGUAUGUCGCCGGAGACGUGACGGAGCACGGUGGGACCGGCGUCAAUGUGCCAGGUCGGGUCCGCGGGCUGGGUCACGGUCGUGGCGACAUCGACGACGGGAGCUACACCAACUCCGACGACGACGACAUCAUGGUUUAGGGACAGUAUGUUAGGAAAUAAACCACGAGUGUGUCAUGGUGUGUGUGCCAGGGUCAGUCGCGUGGGUGUGUGCGUGGAUGGCGCGUGAGUCCAAGCUCAUGUCCAUGUCCAUCCAGCGCCUAGGUCAUGCGGCGAUGGUUGUUAGUUGCAGCGAGCGCAGCGGAUGCAUGAUGGUUAUCAGGUAUAGCGGAGGAGCAGGUUGCUCACCGUGUUAGAGGACCGGAUCACCAGGAUGGAUAUGCCUGCAUGGCCCGACGUGCUGUUGGUGCAUGCAUGGUCGUGUCAUGGUGGAGAUUUUUCAGGGUUGUUAGUGGGCGUGCGUAGGUGCUGUUAGUGGCCGGUAUGGUGGCCGGACUAUAUAUACGUGUUUGUGAUGCUUGUAAUCAGUCGAGCGAAGUGAAUACAGAGAGAAAAAAGGCCCCGGCGUUUGUCGUUGGGGCGGGCGUCCGUCGCCGCGGGUGUUCGUCGCCUGACAAAAUCCGUCUCCUCGUGUUUUUGUGAUUGUUUGUCGAUCCUUGGUUUUAACAGUAUUUAGUACAAAUUCAAGAUAAUGAGAGAUCACAUCACCACAUGUUCUUUUUUGCAUAUUCUAUUUAUCCUAGCAUGGUAAUGACCUUUGCCCUAUUUUUCUAACUAACUUUUCCAGAACUUUGAUUGAUCUAGGAUGUGGAGCGAUAUUUCUUGAAGACAAAUUGAUCACCAGACUCAGAUUAUGAUGUAGGUACUUCCAGGCCACCUGUUAGAUGUUGGUAAAGUGCCUCAAAUGUUGUUGAUGCAAAUAGUAUUAUGAACCCCACUAUACCGAGAAAUUAUAUUAAGAUGAUCCAUCUAUUAUUUGUGUUGCUGCCUUUUCACAGAUCACAAACGGGGAAAGUUGGGAGUUGCUGGAAUGGUUGAAAGGGGACACGCUGAAAUGUGAGUGAUUGUACAUGCUUCGUAUGAUUGAUGGUAUUAUACACAGGUCAAACUAACUUGACUUUUUUUACGGUGUUUUCGAGAAGGAGAAGCCUCACCUGAAGCUAUGAAGUUAUUUUGGUGCUACUCUACUCACAAUAUGUAAACAAUGGAAAUUUAAAAUUUCAUCCAACUGUAUGACUUGCAAUUUUUUAUUUUAAAAUGUUGUAGCAUUUUGUUUUCAAUGUAUAAAAUAUGAGUGCUACCGUAUUUCUAUUUGUUAUGUUGUCUUUGGAUCCUAUAGUCUUGUUAGAUGAUAAUGUGAAAUUGGACAUUAUACUUAAUUAAGUCAUACUAAAUUUACACAAUAAAUUAAUGACUGAACCCAUUAACUCGAAUUUCUGGCUCCGCCCCUGACUGAUCAUGAUGUGUACUCAUAGGCCUCCGAGGGGAAAAUAACAUAUGAGAUAAUUUGUGGUGUUCAGAUUUUAUUACGUAUUAAAGAUAGUGGUGUUCACAUAUAUAAUAACUUCUUUUAGAACAUGGUCUGUGUCAUCUCUGACUUCCAGUUAUAAGGUUCAAAAUUUAAAUUCAGAUUCAAUUAUGUUUAAUCUCAUUUUUCAUGGGCUGGGUUCCACGCGAAAAACUACUUCUAUGGAUGUACUCGAGUGAGCCCUAUUUUGAAUAGUGUCAAAAUGGUAUUUUAAAGAUUUAAAAAAUCCAAUAAAAUUUAUAUAUGUUCAUAUGCAUGUACACUACACAUGUGUGAAACUAAUGUGAUGCGAUAAGUAACUACCUGAGCUACACAAAAAUGACAAAAUAGGAUUCUGGGAAGAUGAAUACUGUAUGUACUGCUCACUAUUUAGAAAUCACGAUUUUGUCAUUUUUGUGUACCUCACAUGUGUACUAAUUUCAUCACCAUAUGGUACACAUGUGUAACCUACAUCCAUAUGGACAUUCAUAAUUCAAUUUCGGAAAUUCUUGAAACAAAAAAAAAUGAGAUUUUUGAACUAUACAAAAUAAAGUGCUUCAAUGCCCACGUGCUACAAAAAUCAGCUUUAGGGUUCCUUGUCACAUGUACAUGUCGAAUUUGUAUUCAUACGUGCAAACUAAAAAAGGCAAGUCAAUCCUUAGAGUAAGCGUGUGCACACAUUGUGCACGAUUGUUUUAGUUGUGGUUGUUGCAAUUGGAAUAUGGGUGUAGUUUUCCUUCAUUGAGACGGCUUGCACUGGUACAACUUUCUAGAUUGGUCGACAUAAAAACAUCGUUUAGGGAGGUGUGCUUUGGAACCCAAGCUUCGGUGAGCUAGUUUCUCAAAAAACAUAUUUGAGAGUCGUAAUGCCGCUCCAAGCUCCUUCAACGCCAGCACUUGUCGAGGUUCAAGAUGGGGAUGGUGGCGCCCGUAGAAUGAUGCCGUGACCUGCACCGAACCAUGGGUUUUGGGAGGACUACCGCAGGGGAGGACAUGGCCCGGCUCCGUCCAUCCAAACUGAAGUGUGUCAGAGCAUUUGGCAGCACCACACAGCUGGUGGACUACACCGAAGAGGAGGCCGAUGACAUAGUGAGCACCUUGGACUUGACUUUGGCUUGAGCUACGAAUAUGUACUUGGAGGCCUCCCAACAGCUAAUCACCAAUAAGAGUAGCUUUUCCCUCGAUAAACAAAAUCAUUCAUUCUUUUCAUCAUGUUAUCUUAUAUGCUUGGAUAGAUAACACGGAAAACAAUACUCUGUGACGAUGAGUCGAAUAUCAUGUUUAAAAAUUAGUAGCAAUCUCUAGUUUGUUUAAUCUGGUAUAUACACUGAUCACUAUGGCGGAGCCACCGUUGUAGCGUCGGGUUCAAGUGAACCCCACGAAUUUUUGCUGCCAGGUACGUCUGUAUAGGUAAUCGCAUGUAUGAACCCAGUCGAAAAUCUAGGCACCACCCAUCGGAAUUGGAAUGCCCGAGCUAAAAGCCUAUUAGCCCACAAAUCUUCACGCAACUAGCCCAGCUGAAGCCCAUAAGUAAAUUUCUAUGGCCUCCAUGUGUGCAUCAGAUUCCAUGUCUCAUAUGAGAUUGUACGCAUUGAUACGUCCAUUUUGCAUCAUGUUUUCCUACUGUUGUUUAUAAUAUUUUUGGUCAUUAUUUCACUUUAUGAUGCAAUUAUAAUACCUUGUCUCUUAACUUGCAAGAUUUACAUGGAGACGGAAAGCUACAGCAGAGAUAACUAUUAUGUGGAGCUCCAAAUGACUUGAAACUCUACAGAGAUUUUUUAUUGAGUAUACGAAAAAUAGUGGAACAAUGUUCUAUCAGAGGCGGGCCACCUGCUGCUCACAAGACAACAGGGCGCGCCCUAUUACCUUAUGGGGCCCACAGCUGGCCUUUGCCCCCUCCUCCUGCUAUAAGAACUCAUUUACCCUAAAAAAUGAAAAUGCAGACUUUCGGGACGUAGCGCCGCCGUCUCACGGAGGAACCUGGGCAGGAGCACUUUUGGUCUCCAGCGGAGCGAUUCCGUCGGGGAUACUUCCCUUCGGGAGGGGGAAAUUGAAGCCAUCGACAUCACCAACAAUCUUCUCAUCGUGGGAGCAUCAAUCUUCAUAAACAUCUUCACCACCAGCACCAUAUCAUCUCAAACCCAAUUUCAUCUCUUGUAUUCAAUAUUUGUCCCAAAACCUCAGAUUGGUACCUGUGGGUUGUUAUAGUAGUGUUGAUUACAUCUGGUAGUUGAUGCUAGUUAGUUUAUUUGGUGGAAGGUUAUAUUUUCUGAUCCUUAAGCAUAUCCAAUAUACCUCUGAUCUUGAACGUGAAAAUGAUUUGUGAGUAGUUACUUUGUUCUUGAGGACAUGGGAGAAGUCUUGUUAUAAGUAAUCAUGUGAAGUUGGUAUUCGUUUGAUAUUUUGAUGACUGAACCUAUUAACUCGAUAUUCUAACUCCGCCCCUGACUGAUCGUGAUGUGUACACAUAGGCCUCAGAGGGAAAAAUAUCAUAUGAGAUAAUUUGUGGUGUUCACAUUUUAUUUCAUAUUAAAGAUAGUGAUGUUCACAUAUAUAAUAACAUCAUUUAGUACAUGGUUUGUGUCAUCACUGACUUCCAGUUAUAAGGUUCAAAGUUUAAAUUUGGAUUCAAUUAUUUUUAAUCUCAUUUUCCUGGGAUGGGCUCCAUGCGAAAAACCACUUCUGUGCAUGUACUCCAGAGACCACUAUUUUGAAUAGUGUCAACAUGGAAUUUCAAAGUUUCAAAAAAUCCAAUAAAAUUUAUAUAUGUUCAUAUGAAUGUAAACUACACGUGUGUGAAAUUCAUGUGAUGCGAUAAGUAACUUGGUGAGCUACACAAAAAUGACAAAAUAAGAUUUGGGAAGAUGAAUAGUGUAUGUACUGCUCGGUAUUUAGAAAUCACGAUUUUGUCAUUUUUGUGUAGCUCACAUGUUUACUUAUUUCAUCACCAUAUUGUACACAUGUGUAACAUACAUCCAUAUGAACAUUCAUAAUUUUUUGAAACAAAAAAUGUGAUUUUUGAACUAUACAAAAUAAAGUGCUUCAAUGCCCGCGUACUUAAAAAAUUAGCUUUAUUGUUUUGUGUCACAGGUAUAUGCCGAAUUUGUAUUCAUGCAUGGAAAUUCAAAAGGCAAGUUGAUCCUCAGAGUAAGCGUGUGCACACAUUGUGCAUGGUUGUUUAAGCUGUGGUUGUUGAAAUUGGAAUACGGGUGGAGUUUUCCUUCAUUGAGAUGGCUUGCGCUGGUAAUAUUUCCUGAUGCUACAUUAUAAAUUAAAAAUGCAGUUUUGCCACCCUUAGCUUUUGAAAAUGCAUGGUAGUUGUCAAUCUGCGGCAAAGGAAAAAAAAUCAUUUCACUUUUGACAUUCUUAGGUUUUGACAAUGUUUCUCAAUUGCCACUCUGAAAAUUUUGUUUUUCCUACAAAAUGCCAAUUGUGAUGUAUUACAAAAAUAACAAUUAAGAUGUAUUGUUAAAAGCUAAGAGUAGCAAAAAUAAAACGUCAACUUUUUAAAUAACGAAAAUUGGCAAAAACAAAUUGCAGCCAGGAAAAUCUAGCAAGAGUGAUCAGCCGCCUUGUAGAGUCUGAGUCUGUCAUACGAACCAACAUGUGAUUUGAUGGUUAGAAGGAUUAUGGUAUCUUCGGCACAUCAGGGUUCAAGUCUUGGUGCUUGUAUUUUUCUGAAUUUAUUUCAGGGUUUUCGGCCGGUCGCGUUCAGUUGGAGGAAACAUUCUCGUCGACUACAAGACACUAAUGGUGACGUUAUCAAUUUCAAAAUGAUAUGACAGCUCAGUCUCUAGGAGAUGCUUAUAAAAAUAGGGUGUGUACAUGCGUGUUUACUAAUGUCUCUGCCUGGUGUUAAGUAAACGUCCUAGUGACGACAACGGACAGUGAGGGAGGUGGUGAUGUUGCACGUAGACGGCAUGCAGUUCCGUCCGGCUCGCUGUGAAUGAGCAAAGUAAGUCAUUCACGUCACAUGAUUAUUAAUGGCACCCCAUAGCUGCUACUAGUAGUACGAGUAUCUAUCCCCCACAACACUCCCACGCUCCCAGCUGGCUCCAUCCGUCCCCUUUUCUUUCUCCUCCGCCGACGCCACUCCUGCAGGGUUCGAGCUAGCGAGCAUGCACGCGAGACGAGUGAUGUCGAUGGGAGCCGGAGCAGAGCCGGAGACGGACGACGGCCACAAGGCCGUCUUCAACAUGAAGGUCUUCUCCGACAGGGAUCUACGGGUAGAGGUCGUCGGCCGCGAUGACGACGCGCUCGGGUCCGGCGCCAGCCACAAGCGCUCCCGCGAGGAUGACAAAGGUGCAUGCAAUAGCCAGCAUCCAGGCCUCCGUUGGUGCGCCGGUCCGUACCGUUGACUAUUUUACUCUUCUAUUUUUGUUCCUUUUCUCCGGGGUGUUAGUUGGUACAACCUUCAUCCAAAUUAUUAACAUCCGUAUCUAGAAAUUUCUAAAACAAGUAAUUUGACACGGAGAGUUCUCUUUGUUCAUAGCUAGUAAAUUCGUCUAGAUUUAAGGUAAUUAAUUUAGGUUUAUGUUCUUCAUAUUUGUGGGUAAUUAGUUUUCCACAAAUCCAUAUGCAUAUCUGAUGAAUGGAUAUCAUAUUUAUCCUGACAAAGCAAUCAAAAGAUAAAUAUGUUCUUCAAUCCACUGCACUGCACAUACUUGAAUGCAGCAGAACUUUAUGUAGCUGGUGAGAAAAGCUAGAACGAUUUGGCAUAAUUUGUAUUACCUCCGUCCUGAAAAGGUUGCCUUAGUUUUGUGUAGAUACGGAUACAGAUCUAUCUAGUCAUGUUCAAGAAAACGGCCGAUUAACCAGUUAACUGGCUGAUUAAUCCCUACUUGUAGGCUCACCAAGUAGCCGAUUAAUGGAUUAAUCAGCCGAUUAAUGGAUUAAUUGUCCAAUUAGCCUAUUAAUCUUCUACUCGCCACCCAACUGAGUAGCUACCAGUUAAUGAUUUCCUCAACAUUGAUCUUGCACUAACAUCUUUUUUAGGAUGGAAGGAGUAUGUGACUAGAAGUAGACAUUUGCUUUCCCUUGCCGUUUCCUUCAUAGGUUCACUUGUUUUUUUGUUUGUUGUUUUUCGCAUGUGGCUCCUUUUUUGUUGCUUUUCGUAAUUUGUUCGGGGUGGCCAUGGUGUGAGAUCCAUACAGACUUUGCCUACCAAAUGGAUAUUUUCUCAUCCAUUACAGGUUUCACAAUUGAUCAAUACACUUCAGUGAUCAUCUUUGCGUAAAACAAUAUAUAGUUAUCCCUUUUCUUUUCCACUUCUUUAUUUAAUUGUUAUGUUUGAGAUUUAUUGAACUGUUUCAUCAAUCCUUAUGCCUCCUUGCCUUCAUUUUCAACAGAGGUUAAAGCCUUCAUGGAGCUGUUACGCCAUAUGUAUAGUGGAAAGUUGACAGCAGCAAUUGAGCCCACUCCUCCUGUUUAUUUAUUGAUGGCUGCUGACAAAUUUGAGGUCGUUUCCUGCAUGAAGCUUUGCAUUCAGCUUCUCAUGGUCCUGCACUCCUGCCUAUGACUCCAGAAUCUGCAGUUAUGUGCCUAGAUCUCUCAUGUUCCAUUCCAAUGGCAGCAGACCUGACAGAGGCAGCCAAGAAAUUCCUUGCUGAAAGGUACACGGAAUUCC
RNAcentral lists this long non-coding RNA (101439 nucleotides) under Triticum aestivum (bread wheat). Its description in RNAcentral is "long non-coding RNA (TAES_LNC009331)". The record is from RNAcentral. Lineage: Eukaryota; Viridiplantae; Streptophyta; Magnoliopsida; Poales; Poaceae.